AAUCAAAACAUUCAUAUAUAAUCAAAUUAGUGACUCUGCUUAACUUUCUCCUGUAGUGAUUGUGUCUGAAGAAUAUGAGAAACUUAAAGUAUAUGUAAACUUCAAAAAAUUUAAUUGUUUAAUAAACUUUUUACAAUAUAUACACGUGUAAUUGAAUUAAGGUAAAAGGCAAUUGGACUCAAAAUUGCUUUCAUUAUAGAUUGUAAUAUCUAUGGUGAAGCAAUUGUGUCUUAAGUUUGAAGAAUAAUAUAUAAACAUAUUAAUGUAUAAUUAAUUCAGUAUUUUUUAAAUUACCUACUUUAUUUUAAAGUCAUACUUUUCAAAAAAUUCAAAUUUUAAAGAAUAUAACUUAAUAUAAAAAGUCUUUGGAAUGAAUUCUAAUUUUCCAAAAAGUUUUGUAUUCCAUUUUUUUUACCAAAUUCACUUAGUUUUAUUUUUAUUCAAGUAUUGAUUUGAGGGCAUAUAUCUUAACAGUAACAAAGCUAAAUCAAUAAAGAUACUGAUAAGAAGAUUAAUAAUAAUCUAUUUAUGGAAUUAAUAGAAUUAAUUUUGUUACAACUGUAAAUAUGUAGCUUUUGUGUUCCAAAAUAUGUAACCUGAUUGCUACAGUGAAUGUUUUGUAGAUUCAGUGAAGCAACUUCUGUUUUUUUCUUUUUAUCAAAAUCAAGUAACCUUAUUUGGACACAUGUGUUUUGAUAAGGAUUAAUUAGAUAUGGAAUUUUUGUAGACCAUUAUAUUGAAUGGUAUUCAAAAAAUAUAAGGGUUCUAUAAUUUAUUUAUUUUUUUAUAAUCUUGAGAUUUAUGUGCAUCUUAAUAUUAGAUCUUGCACAUUUUUUAAUUUUUUCUAUUAAUUUCUAUUCAUUUAUAUACUUGAUAUUGUAUGGUAGAUGAAACAAAUAUAUUUAAAGUGCAAAAAUAUAUUUGAAUCAAAUAGCUUACAAUCAGGUGGUUUGAAUCAUGAUUACUAUUGCAAAAUGAUUUGAUCUGAGUAACUACAUGAAAGUCUAUAUAUAAUCAUCAAUUAUAUAAAACAACUUAGGUAUAAUAUAACGAGACAAGACAAAGAAGCCUUCUCAUUAGUGCCUAAUAACACAAGUUAAUGCUAUAUAUAUAUAUAUAUAUAUAUAUAAUUCUCUCAAAAUACUAUAUCUCUACUAGUUUUGUACCAAUAAAUAUAUUAGCACUAUCUCUACCAAAACUUUAUACAAUCAUUUGAAUGAUGUAGGGUGAGAAAAAUGUUAUUGAUAAAUAAAAGGACUCAUUAAGUUUAUUGUCCUAAUUGACAUCCAAAUUAUAGUUUUUUUUUUUUUUUUUUUUUUUUUUAAUCUACUUGUAACUUUCUCAUGUCCGGUUUAUUUGAAGGGAAAAGAAUUUAAAAAAUAAAACAAAACUGGGUAUUUGUUAGAACGUGUUCAGUUCCAAUGCACUAUUUAACUUUGAGGGUAUUUCAAAAUUUGCAUUUAAACUUAUUUUUAAAUGUUUAAGGUUUUAUUGGUUACAUUUGAAGUUUAAUUUGCAAAGAAAAUCACAAAUCCAUCAUAUGGUGAUAGAUUGAAUAAAUGAAAUUUUUAUCCUUUGAUCAUUGUUUUUAUUUUUCUUGUAAAAAAACCCAAAAUCAAAUGCAUUUGUUUAAGAAAAAGUUAUGAUUCUUACUUAUUUAAUAUGUAUAUGUAUAUUGCUAUAAUUUUCAAAAUAAGAAUAACAACAAUAACAAUGUAAAAAAAAAAAAAAAACAAACAAAACAAAACAAAACUGAGGUUAACCAUUCCAAUCAGAACCAGCGCAUUAUGAAGAAGAACUUCAUGAAUUUACACUUCUCUUUGUUUGUUAAAUAUUUGCAAGAGAUGUAAAAACUUUUCAAAUCUUUGUGUUCAACUUUUUCCGUGUAUAAUUUCAUGAUUUUACGAACUUAUGAAAUUAUGUAAGUAAAUCAUGAAAUUAUAUAAAGAAAAGUUGUGAAGAAUCAUAGUUUAGUUUCUAGAUUACCAAUCUCAGGAGAACAACAAAACCGUGGCCAUUAAUUUCUUUUAUCAAAUCAUCCAGGUCACAAUCUUGCAGCGUGAACUGUCCUUCAUAAACAAUAAACAAUAAAAUAUGUUAAAAACUGAUAUGCUAUAUCAAGGUGCAUGAAUUGCUACUCAACCACAUCAACAUAACUCAAAAAGCUUUCACUUACUUAACUGCACACCUAAAAGAUGUCCAAAAAAUAUUUACAAUUAUACAAAUAUAUACAUACAUGAUUAUAAACCAAAACCUAAGGAGAUUUAAACCAUACCCUCAAUCACCUCUAAUUUUAUCCAAAAGAUGCACAACUUUGCACUAAAAACCUCAAUAAAUGUGUUCCUCGCUUUGUAGAAGCAAAUUCAAUGAAUAUGAAGGAGGUACCAUGUAACACCUUUUGUAAGAAUUGAGUCUUAAAAAUGUAAUUGUAAUGGUAUUGUCAUCCACUCAUGAGUUAAAGCUUCCCCGGACAUAUCUUUCCCUAAUACAAAAUUGUGCAACACAUUGAAAAUCAUAUAAUAAAAUUGACAAGAAUAUAAAUAUAUAUAUAUAUAUAUAUAUGAUUCAUAUAGAAAUUUUAUGACACAAACAAAAAAAAAACUAUAAGUAUUUAGGGAACAAUAAAUACAUCUAUGAAGAAAAGAGUUGUAGUGAGGAAAAGGUUCUUCAAGGUCUUUUCGAAGCUUUAACUAAUGAGAGGAUAUUGUCAACAUGCACAAUUACUUGCAAUAGCAGAAAUGUUGGGAAAAUGUUUAUUCACCAUAAUUUAAAAACUAUAAAAAAUUAAAAAUUAAAAACUUGUAAAGCACUUGUGUGUGUGAAUAUAUAUAUAUAUAUAUAUAUAUAUGCAAAUAUAUAUCAGAAAAGCAUCAACAUGAAUAUUUAAUGAUGCAUUUUUAUAAAAUAAAUGUAAAAAUGAAUAACAAGAUGUUCUUUAGAUAAAUAUUAUUUAAAGAGAUUUACUUUACUUGGAUUGCUGCUGGACUAGUACCAACCAUUAUAGCUUUAUGUACAUACCUAUUAUUAUUAUUAUUAUUAAUACAUUUUUUUUAACUCAUUAACAAUACACUCUCAAACGUGGUGUCACCUUUGUAAUCUAAUUUUAUUCAUUUGUAUACUUUGUACACUUGAAAAUUGCAUGAUUGCUUUGUAUAUAAUAUUUAAGUUUUGUUUGGAAUGUUGAUUCAUCGUGAUUUUUAUGAGUUUUUAUGAUUUUUAUGAGUUUCUGAUGUCAACGAGAAUUCUGAUUCUCAAACCUCGUAUGUCAUUCGUGCAUAUGGGCAUAAAAAUUACAAAAUUUUAGUGUGCAAAACCUUUAAAUAUAAACUAUAAUUGAUUUCUACAUAAUGAUUUUGCUACCAAGUAAUAUAACAAUGUUAUCAUUGUGUUUAAGACCACUCUAAGUAGCCCCUUCCUCCACUUAAGCAAUCAUGCAAUGUAUAAAAUAAUUUUAAUCUAUCAUAAAUUACUGAUAUUCAUUUAAAUCUUAUACAUAUACUCAGUAAUCAAUAGUAACAUGAUAUUAAUAUUUUGCAAAAAUAAUCUUGUAUUGUCAAUACAAAGUAAACAUAUACAUAAAUGUUUUAAACAACCUAAAUAAUAGAACUUCAUUUGGAAUGCACUUAAACAACACUGUCUUAAACAGAAUCAAUGUGAUCUUAAAAACAUGAUUAGUACAUAACAAGGGAGGAUGCUUUAAUAUGAAGCACCCACUUCUACAACAUGGUCCUUCAAAACCCAACUCAAUCUCAAUGCUUUGAGAUGCAUUGUGAAACUCAUAACUAUUUCAAAAUGCUGCAUCACAUCAAAGCUUCAAACUAUGUUGCAAUACCUUUUACAAACAAAACUUGUGUCUUAUCAUCUUCGGAUCACACCAAUUGGUUGCACAACAUGAACCUUGUAUUUGAAUCCUUUUUUUUUCUUCUAUUCAUCUCUUCAAUCAAAUAACCAUGUAAUAAAUCAUGCAAUGAAGUUAGGUAUAUGCAAAUUAUGCAAGUGGGUUUGUUUGCAAUUGUAGGUCAACUUGGAGCAUUUUAAGAAUCUUGACAUGUGUGCUCAAAAUCAACUUUGCAUAAUUUACAAUACAAUUCCAUCCACCAACAUUAUAAAUUAGGUAGAAUAUAUAUAUAUAUAUAUAUAUAUUUCAUUUUAUUUUAGAUAUGAAAGUAUUGAAAAGAUUUCAUACAAAUUUAUGAAUAUAUAACUUAUGAAUAUAUGAUCUUUUAUUCAAAACCUUCCCUUUAUGACUUUUAAUGCAUAUCUAUAAAUGAGGUAAAUUUGAUUAAAUUUAAUCUUUAUAAAUUCAUAUUGACAAAUGUGAAUAUCUUUUUUCUAUUUGCCUAUCACUUCAAGUUCUGUAACCAUUAAUAUAUAUAUAUAUAUAUAUAUAUGUAUGUAUAUCUGAAUAAGAAAUAAACUUAAAAGACCUCUACAAAAUAUUAAUGAUCCCAGUUAUACAUAAUUCUUAAAGAUCUUACAUUAUUGUUCUAAAGUUGCUAUUACAAAGUAAUCAAUUAUGCUCCAUUAUUGUAUCACCAUCCAGGAUCGUGAACAAUAAAUUCUGUUUAUAGCUACAAAUAUUUUGCUAAGCAAGUAUAGAUACUUAAAAACUCUCAAACUAAAAUUGUUUUUUAUUUGUUAAUGCACAUUCUUAAAGUUGAUCUAAACUUAUGUUUUGACUUUUCAUGGAAAGCUUUAUCUCUCUCUCUCUCUCUCUCUCCCUUUCUACAGAUAUAUAUAUAUAUAUAUAUACAUACUAGAAAAAGCUCAUGUAGCAAGCUAAAUGAUUGUGUAACCAUUGCAAUAACCUUAAAUCAUUCAUAUUUGUAUAUAAAAGAAAGAUGUGUUUGUGAUGAAAAUGUAUUACAAAAAAGUUACCAAAAAAGUUACCAAAAAUCUAUUGCAAUCUUUAAAAGUUGUACAGCCAAUCAGCCAAUCAGCCAAUCAGUGAUUAUUGUAGACACAAUGACAUACACCAUUUAUAUAUAUAUAUAUAUAUAUACAUAGAUAGAUAGAUUCACACAAUAUAUAUUAAAAAAAUUACAAUUUAGACGCAAGGAUGAAAAUAUAUACAUAUAUGAAAAUUUGGAGAAUUAAUGAAGUUAAAUGCUUAAGGAAAGUUUUGGGUUUGGUCUUUAAUGAUGUAACUUUAAAACUGAAGUGCAAAUAAACAAGCACCUUUGUCAUACACAUUAUUCCACCUACCAGAGAGUUCCAUCAGUUUCUUCACAUACACAUCACUUUUGUACGUACAAUGCAAAAGCAAAACAAAAUAACAAUAUCAAAUACUUAGGCAACAAAAGAAUAUUCAAACCAAUGAUUUCAAACUAUUCCAAAAUAAAAUAAAAAUACACGUUCAAGGAAUCCUUCAACAUAUUACUAAACAUAUUAUUAGGAAUAUACAAAUUAAACGGAAUAAACAUGAUGUCUGACUAAUUGUUAAGAACCCACACUGAUAUGACCUAAUUUAAUAGCAAACUUGGAGAAUUUCAGUUUUAAUAUUAUUUUUAUUCACGUGAUCGAGAAUAUCUUCAUGGGAUUGUGAUGCCACCAGUGUGAAAAGGCUCCUACAUGAUAAGUUCCACCAGUAGGAGAUAUAGUUUAAAGUCGUAAAGCCAACUUUAAAGGUAAAUAAAAAGCACCUUUAAAGGCUAAGGGCACGAGUUUAUUGACUUUUUCCCAUGACGAAGCGGAGCCAUGUUCUAUAGAUUAACCAAACCCUACCGGUGGACAAAAAGCAAAAGGAGCGAUACUACCCCCCCCCCCCGCGACUUUUUCAUGCCGACCAAAAAGACCCGAGUGUUUGUCUUGAAUUACCCUAACACCGUGGACGUGCAUAAAAGCCUAUGUAUACGUGGCACAUAGGGAGUGGAUGCGGUUAAUGGCCCCGCUGAAGGGAGGAGUCGCGGUGAAGGGGGCCUCUCCAACCCCGCGCUUUCGUUUCGAACCCCGCGCUCAAGGCCUCACUUGGACCAUUUCUUCCCUUCGCCCUCGGAUUGUAUCUCCUGGUGCUGGUUCGUGAUUCUGCGUCGUCGAUUUCUCAUCUCAACCAUGAUCGCAAUUACGGGGAUUGGGAUGGUGGUGGUGGGGUCGGCGCCACGGGCGAACGCAAACGGCAUUUUAGGCUUUUACGGAUUUUCAAAAUUUCUGGUUCGCCGUCGAAGGGUUGCGAUGGAGUCUGGUUUCGUCGGAUUCGCUACGCAUGAACCGUAACAGUAAAGCUUUUUACACUCCCCCAGACGUUCACUCUCGGAUUACGUGUGUUGGUCGUAUAUUCAAUUUCCUUGGUGAUAAUGGGAACCCUAGGAUGACGUGAAUUGUCCCUGUGUUGCUUAAAUUUGGGCUGAAAGUUCGGCUGGUAUGGUUGUUGAGAGAGCCUUUGGGGUAAUUCGGAGGUUGUGUUAAACUUUAGAGAGAGAUUCGUGAUUGAGUAGAGGUGUUUGUGGUCAUUAGUUGUUGGAGAGCAGGUAGUUGUGUAGUUCAUUGAGUUCUGUGUCGUGCUGCGUCGCGUUGAGUGGCGAGCUGUGCGGUGGAGCGCGACGAAUAACUGCAUUAGAGCAAGAAUUUUUGGUUGCGUUUGGAGUUAGUGCGUUUUGAGGUCUGUAGAGCUAGACAAGUGGUUAGUCGACCGACUCUUGGUGACGAAUCGUUUUUCUGACAGGUUUCGAAGUACAGCAGGUGCGUCGUGUUUUUCUUUUCGCAGGUCUUUUCUUGUUUGGAGAAGACUUGUGUUUUUUGUAGGAGAGUGUUGUAUCUUGUUUGCAUUGGGGCUGGACAUGUCCUCCAUGGAACUCUCAUGAGGCGUUCGUGAGGUAGAGAAUUCCGUGGUGCACAAAGUAAGGGUGUGUAUCACGCACCAGCACCCAAGAUUUGCGCUUGGAAAAAUGGAAUAGAGGGACAUGAUAAUGGAAGAUGUUCAUUAUUGCUGUGAAUGCCUCUUGGUACAUUGUGGACAGGUCUCUUUACACGUUCAUGUCCAGACUCUCUUUCAGAUACUGUUCACUCGGUGUCUAAUUUUUUUAUUAAUGCCUUGUUGGAUUGUGUGCCGACCUGUGCUGUCGUUGGAACUCGCAACUAUAAGCUGUCUAGUCGCAGCUUUCUUUGCGCUUUUGCCCUAUGCUGCUGGUUCCUUUUAUUUGUUCUAUGUGUGGGAAACCUGUAAUGAAGAAGGAUUGUGUAGCGUCAGGUGGAUUUGUGUGUCAGUAAUUCUAUCUUCGCGAUUACCUGAGAGCACGGACUUGUGCGCAGUCAAAAUGCCUGGACAUCAUCACAAGAAGAAUCGACACAAGACAAAACACCCUGAAACUCAUGAGAAGACGAUGAGUCCUCGCCAGGAAGCGGGCACUGGCGGUCUCAGGGUGGAGACGAACUAUUCUGAGAAGAGUAACAGUCAACCAGCUAGCCAUGGAGCUAGCGGAGAUGAGGGCGAUUCUUUGGCAUCGACCAACUCUACUCCUCGGUACCCACAGAACGGUCUGGUGUCUUGGGAAGCCUCUGCGUCUCCACGCUCAUUGUCUCCUCGUGUCGCAGGUGUGUCAACUUUGUUCUUCUGCCAAUAAUUAGACAUCUUUUUUCUUUCCUCCAAAUUGACUGUUAUAAGUUGUUACUUUGGACCUCACAAGAGUGGUCGUGUAACUUGGGUUCUGGGUGGUAUAGCUGGAGAAUUUCUGCUUCAUAUUAGACACUUUUCAUUUCUUCUAUUGACUGUGCUUGUUCGAGCCUUCUUUACCUCGUCGCUGGUUCUGGAGAUUCCACCCUCCGAGACUUCAUACUUAAGCUGUAUAUAUAGGAUAUUUUCAGUUUUGGAAACUUAAUUACUAACCACCACUUCAUUCGCACUUAGUUUGUUCAAAGAUUGUCUUUCGCUCGAGAAAGACUGAGCUGAUAUGAGAAUGUUGGGGAGCAGAGAGACCGUCGGCCUCUCCGAGACGUAAGGCAUCGACUGAACGUGCUGACUCCUCCAAACCUCAGUCAGCUCCACCUGCUGAAAGUCCCAGGACGCAAAUCCUUCACGACUUGAAUGACAAACUUUUGAAGGAAAUCAAAAGUCUUCGAGCUGAUAAAGACAUUCUUUCAAAGAAGAUGGCUCAAUUAGAGGAGAAAAUCAAUACGGUAAGUGGUGCACUUCUUUUUCACACCGCUGGCUUUCUGCUGCAUAUCUCGUGUCGCCAGUACAUAUUGAAUUUGAUCAAGGAAUAUCGCUGUUUGACUGGGUGGCAACCGGUUUGUUGUCUAAAUUUUGCAAUUCAGAACCCUUAAAUUACUCAAAACACUGAUUUUCUAUACUAAGGAUGACGUGUCUUGUGCAUUUUUCGUGGCUGUUACUCCUUCAUUUUAAAUCUUCCCAUAAAUUUCCGCAUCAGUGCUUCUUCUGUUCCAUGCACAGGACUUCCAUAAUGUUACUUAUCAUUACUUGUAAAUUUUCAAUGCCCGUUCCCGUCAGCAACCCAAGUAGCUGACAUGAGCGUUUGCAGGCAAAUGAGUCUGAAGAUAAGACCGUCGUCCCAUCUUCUGAACGCCCUAUCGUAGCCGAUGAGCUGAACAAGCAUCAAAUAUCAGAAACUGAGUUUAUUGCACUGAAGGAGUUAGCUGCAACUGCAAGUGUUGAAAAAGACGCACUGGUGAAGGAAAAGAGUUCCUUAAUCUCUGAAAUCAAAGACUUGGAAAAAACUGUAUCUCAAUCUAGGGACGAACUUAAGGAGGCUAAGAGUUCGUCCUCUGCUGCAAACGACAAGAUCAUUGCUCUGGAAAAAGAGAUGGAGUCCUUGGAGAGGGUGCGUGAAGAAUUGGCUGGUUUGAGAGGAAAUUUUUCUAAUCUCAUUGAGGAGAGAGAUUCUCUUGUCUCCGAGAAGAAGCGCUUGGAAGAAACUGUGUGUAAGUCUAGAGAGGAAUUUGAAGAGGUGGAGAGGUCUUCUACUGCUUCAAACGAAAGAGUUGCCAUUCUGGAGAAAGAGGUUGAAUCUCUGGUGAGGUUACAGAAAGAAUUGGCCGAGUUAAGACGAAAUGCUUCAAUGCUCAAUGAGGAAAAGUUAUCCUUACUAGAGGAGAGAGAUAGUCUUCUGUUAGAGAAAGAAGAUCAGAACAACCGCUUGUCCUCACUAGGCAAGGAGCUUGAGGAAGCCAAAAAAGCUGCUGGUGCUGCCAAGGACGAGAUCAAUUCUUUAACGGAGAAGGUGAAUUCGCUCGCUGCCGAGAGUGAGGAACUUCGACAGUCGCAAAUGAAUUUGAAAGACAAUGUCAAAGAUUUGACUCUAGAUAAAACUACCCUUUUGCAAGCGAAAGAGACCCUUACAAAGGAGAACGAAAGGCUGCAGCAGGAGAUCAGGAACACUACACAUGAGCUUGAGGAAGCUGAGAAGCGUUCCUUGGCUGCUAAAGAACGUGUUGAAACUAUGGAGAAAGAAGCUAGGUCAUUAACGUCGACUCUUGAGGAGUUUCAACGAGAAUUGGCGGGACUUAGGGAAAACGUCUCAGAGUUAAGCCAAGAAAGAGAUGGUCUGGUCAAAGAGAAAGACUCCCUCGUUUUUGAGAAAAGGUUAUUGGAAGAUAACCUGAAUAGAUCCAGCGUAGAGAUAGAGGAUGCUCAGAGGAUGAAACAGACUUUUGUAGACAGAGUAGAAGCUCUGGAGAGAGAGGUCGAGUCACUGAAGCAAAUAAACAAGGCACUCGUUGAUUUACAGAUUCCGGAAGAAGAAUUUGUGGCGUUGAAGGAAGAGGCUUCUAGAUUGUUGCACGAGAAAUCCGCAGCAGAUGAAGAGAAGGUUGCAUUAUCUUCUGAGAAGAAGGAGCUUGAGGAUUUUCUCUCGAAAUCAAGAGAGGAGCUUGAGAAAUUUAAAGGACUUGACCUUGCCGGUCGGGAAACGAUAGCUGGUCUGGAGAGUAACUUGCGAAGACUUGAUGCAGAUCUUUCAAGGACUAAGAUGGUACUCAUCCCUUUCUCGUCAUGAGCCAAGUUUUGAAUCUUUCUACCUGUUUACUCUCUUUUAAUUCGUCCUUGAUUGGUCACGAGGCAUCUGCUUAGACUUUCUUUUUUUUCUUUUUUUUCUUUUAAAUUUUUUAUUUUAUUUUAUUUAUCGUGUGAAGUAUAGCACGUCUUUGUACAAAUUGUAUGUUGCGAGUUUUUUUUUUUUAAGAAAGCUGAAUAUGCUAUUGUGGUUCGUUCUUACAGGCCGUUGAGGAGCUCGAGGUCGAGAAUGAGACAUUCAAGAAGGAGAAUGCUAGGCUUGAAGGGACUUUGGCAGAUGCUCACUCACAGAAGGAAGUUUCUUGCAAGGAGAUCGAGAGCCUUGAGCUGAAAGGCAAAGAGUUGAGCGCAGCGGUAGAGUCUCAUAGCACCACUAUCUCAGAAUUGCGUGCAGAGCUCGCUGAUGCGAAAGAAAAGUCGUCCGAGCUUGCUAAGGUUCUGGAAAAGGAGAAAAGUAUUCAAGAGGAUGCGGUGGCUAAAGUUUCACUCUUGGAAACCACUAUUGGUUCCUUAAAGCAGGAACUUGAAAAGGUGGAACGACAAUCAGCAGAAGCUUCUGAAUUGGCUGAAUCUAAAACUAAGGAGUUUGGUGACGAAGUGGAGCGCCUUGAAAAUAUGAUUCUGCAAUUGCAAGAUGAAUUGGGAGCCAGUCGGAAGAGAGCAACUGAAGCAGAUGGAACAUUGGCUACAAGGUCUAGGGAGUUUGGUGAGAAGUUCCAGCAAUCAGAGACCCGGUUCUCAAGUCUGCAAGAGGAGCUGAGCGCUGCUAAAGCUGCUGCAGUGGAGGCCGCAGCAAGGCUCGAAAUAGAGCAGGGAAUUUUUGAUUCUCACACCUCGGAACUAACAAAAAAGUUUGAAGAGUUGCAGAGCAGGGUCGAGAUUAUGGAAAGUCAGCUGCAGACGGAAAGACACGAGGCAGAGAAGGCUGCUCAAAGACAUAAAGAAGAUGAGCAAGGUACGAUUCCUCUCAUGCUUGCCUAUCUGAAUCUUUGUGCUAAUGUUUGGUGUGGUUCAUGGACUUCGGGUGGGAAGAGCAAUGGCAUGCGAGGAGUCUAAAGUGCUGGUAAGAUUGGAGUUGCUUUAGAUGAAAUCUCAUCGAAAUAUUCAAAGUUGGUGUAAAGAUGAUUUUAUAUGUGAUCGUAGUCCUAACUGGUUGCUAUCCACUGGAAUACUUUGCAGCCCUUUCCUCGAAGUUCUCAGUUGCUACUGCUGAGAACGAUAAGCUCAAGGCUGAGCUGAAUUCCUCUUCGGAUAAGAUUCAAAUACUGCAAGAUACAAUCGCAACUUCACAAGCGAACUGUGAGGAACUUGCCGCUGAACUCACGGAGCUGAAGCAUGUGAGGGACAAGUCUGUGGAGGUAAACUCAUGGCAAUCCCAGGUUAAGACCCUGGAGGAAACCUUAGAGACCGCCAAAUGUGAAAGUGAGAGGAAAGAAAAGAUGUACAAAGAGCUGGAACUGGCGAAGGAUAUAUCUGACAAGAAAACAGAUACUACCAAGUACAUUUUGCCAGCUGCAACUGCAACUGGAGCAUUGGCUGCCACAGGGCUGAUGCUCAUCCUGAAGGCAAUUACUCGCCAGCAGUGACUGGUAGGAAUCGCCAGCGCUCCUAGGAAUAGACUCAGUUAUUGACAAGGCCAAUUACUUGGGGUGUUAUGUUCAAUUCGCUACCUCCCCUUCGAGCUGAUUUUUUCCUCUCUCUUCUGUCUAGUCGGGGUCUAGGACUACAACCGAGAAAAACAAGUAUCCCUAUUUUCUUUGGUACUGUACCUACACUUGACACAGUAGUCUCAAUUCCUUAACGAUGGAGACCGCAAAAUGCUGUACUGUGCGAUUCCCACAGAAGAGAGAGUGUGCGGUGAGACGUGCAUUUAACAUCCUUCCAGGCUAAUAUUCACACUUUGUAUUUUGUCACAUGAAUCACCAAGUUCAUAGAACCUCCUCAAGAGUACACUUCAUCAUUUGAAUGGCGUCUGAUUGUAUCGUGCUCAGAAUAGUCGACUUUUUUCCCCUGCUUCCUCAACUCAUCCGUGCAAUGUCCCUGAGCAAAUUCAACUUCUUUGUAUUAUCGCAUGUAGCAAAAGCUUGAGCUGAUUCUCUUUCCCAAUUAAACUACAUCAUAUCGUUGCCUUCAUUUAUCUGUUAGACAUGAGUGGGAAAGUAUUGCAACUGUGGUAAAUUGUGGCCUUUGAACUUUCAUUAUUUGUAAUGUACUAUGCAAGAAGAUAAGAAUGCUAAGCCUUUAGGCACCUUACAUGAUAAAACACCAAUAAAUUGAAGUGGGAUGGAUUUAAAUACUUGAAAUAGUGAACUUAAAUAAAAUGUGUAGCACUUAUGCUAAGUUUCUGUGUAAAACAUAUCAAACAAUGAAUAAAACUUUUAUGACAAUAAAUUUCAAAAUUUGGAACUCUGAUGUGUACAACAUAUACAUAAAAAAUAUCAUGUCUAAUUCAAAUCAAUUACAUGAAUUCAAUUUGUUUGGAUAUAAUAUUUAAAUAUUUCUAAUAUAACAAUCUUGUCAUUGAAUUUUCCUUUUUAAAGUGAUACUUCAUUUUCUAUUUAGUAAAUAUUAUUCUUAUUUGAACAACUAAUUUCGUUGCAAACUAGAUUGUGGUUACAGAGGUUGUACAACCAUAAAAUAUUACAAAUUAAGUUUGAGCUUCAUUUUCUUAUUCUUUAAUUCUUAUAUUAUAUAAAUCAUAUAAAUCUAAUGCUUUUAUUAAUUAUUGUGAUAUAUAAACAAAGCUACUUGUGUUCUAAUACCUCCAGUGAGUGGCACAUAUGAGAGCUUAAGAUUGUUGUUAAUAUCCAAUCUAGACUAUGCUACUACAUUAUCAUAGAUUAUUAAGUUACAUUAUAGAACUCUUGAAUUCCAUCUAACUAUUAUGUUAGUUCUAACACCUAGCAUAUUUUAAAUCAUCCAUAAUUUGUUCUAUAGUCUAAAGAAUGUCACAAUUCUUGGGUUGUUUUUUUUUUUUUUUUUUUUUUUUUUUUUUUUUUUUUAAUAUACAAUCCCUUAUAAAAUGAGCUUAUAUUUAAAUAACUUGGUCCACAUCAUUUUUUUAGUAUAGACAUUACUUUGUUACUUUUCAAAAUAUAUAUUGUAAAAGCCAAAUAGUCUAUAAAUAUAAAUAUCCUAUCAGAAGCAAUAUGGAGUUAAGUUAGUAAACUUUAAAUAGAAAUAUACAUGCAAAAAUUGUUUGUUGCUAUUUAAGAAUCUUUUUAUAAUUUCCAAUAUUUUGGAUCUAAGAACUAAGUUGUUUAGAAGAAACAAGGUACAAUUUUAGAUUCCUUUUGUUUGUAUGCAUUUCUAAAUUUUGUAUAUAAUAGUUCUUUGCUAGCAAAGAAUGCAUAGAAUGCAACAAUCAUGUAUGUUAAAGUUUAUUUAACUUCUUUACUUAUCUACUGCAAUUCCUCUUUGCAAAAUGAACCAUUCAAGCAUUUUUCUUUCAAAAGCUAUGAGUUUAAAUCAAACAUCUUUUUACUUAAAAUAGAGAUAAGAAUUAGCAUUAUAUAUAUAUAUAUAUAUAUAUAUAUAUUUAUGUGUAUAUAUAUUGGUAAUGCUUAAAUCCCGAUUUUUUUGAUUUGUAGGAACUAAUUUCCUGCUCAAAUUUGUUGUAUAAGUCAUUAGAUGUGUUUUUAAGGAUUAAUAGUAGGUAUUAGAAUUGAGCUUUAAAUAUUUUUUUUAGUUCAAUAUUUAAAGAUUUAAUUUAAUUUAAUUUUUUAUAUAUAUUUUUUUAUUGAACCAUCAAAAAAAUAUAUAAGAAUGUCCUCUUGAUAAGUAUAGUUUAUAUCUAAACAAUUCAAAUCUUUAUUUGUUAAUGCUAAGAAAUUUAUACUAGUAGUUUAAGAUUAACAAAUAAAAAUCCUUCAAAUGUUUUAAUUAAGAUUCAUGAAUAACUUUGUAAUUUUUUAUAAGUUAGUUGGACUUAAAUUAAUUUUGAAAAAUUUCAUCACAAUUGAUUUCUGUCAAAUAAAUAAAUUGAACAUAUCUUUAUUUGAAAGAAUUCUUAAACUACAUUUCAAGUUGGAACAAGACAAAACUUACUUUGAUUAAUACAAGAAUAAGAAAAAGAAAAAAAAAAUGGAUCUAAAAUUAUUAAUUCAAAUAAAACAUAAUAUUUUAUUAAGUUAAGAAAUUACCAAAGACAAGAGUGGUUUUUUUUCAAGUUUGUUGUAUAUUUACAGUACUUCUAAUUAACCACAAUGGCUAAUUUUUUUUCUUGGAUGGCUACUUAAUUAUUUUGACCUUAUUUUUUUUUAUCCAAGGAUUUGGUUCUUCAAGUGGAUUAGGCAUAUUUGAUUGGUCGUGAGUUAUUAUUCAAAUCCAAAUUAUCUACUAUUUAAAUCCUAGUAGUUUAGGUUCAUUUAUUUUCCAAACCUAAUUAAUCCAAAAUUAUCUAUUACUCAAAUCUUUCUAAUUUGGAUUAAUUUAUUAUCCAAAUCCUAUUAAUUUGGAUAAAAUGCCUUAUUAACCAAGCCAAUUAGCAUGAAUCAAUUUAUAACUUGUUGCAAGAGAAUCUAGUUAGUAUAAUAAACUAUUUUAACAAGAAUAUUGCAAAGAACUUUAUUUGACAUCCAAAUGUUUCUAUAGGUGCUUUAAUCUUCUUUAUAAAGAAAGAUAAAUAAUUUUUUGGAAAUAUAAGUAGAUUAAUAUGGACUUGAGAAAUUGAUCAUAUAAAAUUAUUGACUUUUAUUUUUUAUAUAGAGACAUUUUGACCAACUAAAUGAAGCUAAGAUUUGUACUAAAAUAGAUUAAUAUGGAGUUUACAAUCUUGUAUGUAUUAAAAAAUGAGAAUAGAUAUAAUAUUAUGUUCUAAAUUAGAUUUUGUUAAUUUAAAUAUAAUGUCAUAUCUUUUGCAUUUACUAAUACUCUUGUUACUUUCUAACUUUUGAUAGAUGAUUUAUUUUGUGAUCUCUUAAAUUAAUUUAUUGUUUAUUAUGCAAAUAAUAUUUUUAUUUAUUCUAAAAAUGAAGAAAGACAUAUACAACAUGUUUACCUUAUAUUAUAAAAACUUAGAGAUGCAAGACUAUACUAAGAUGAAAAAUUGUAUAUUUCAUCAAUAUAUGAAAUACAUAAUUUAAAAUGAUGGUAUACAAAUAGAUUCUAAGAAAGUACACACUAUUAUAGAUUAGAUAGUUCCAAGAAUUGUAUAUGAUAUUUCAUGUUUUUAAGAACUUAUAACUAAUUAUUACAUAUCUAUAAAUAUUUUUUCUUAAUUUGCUGUUAUACUUAAAUAAUUAACUUAUAAAAAACUUGGAAUAGAAAAAAGAUGUAAAAUCAACAUUUUAAGGUUUAAAAACUACUUUUACUUGAAUUCUUAUUAUAUGUUUUGAUAUAUUUAAAUCAUUUUUAUUAAAACUAAUACAUCAAAUUGUGUAGUAAGUACAAUUUUAUUUCAAAUCAGUGCAAAUUAUAGGCAUUCUCUAUUUUUUAUUUUAUAAAUUUAUGAUUAUCAUAUAUGUUUUCAUAUAUUUUACUUUAUAAAAGUUUAAAAUUCAACGACAAAAGGUUUGGCAAGUAGAAUAGCAAAACUUUGAGUAACAAAUUAAUUUGGACUAUUAAUUCAAUUGUUAGUUCUAAUGUUUGAAAUCCAAGUUACUAUAAGUAACUUAUGAAGGUUUAAAGAUAAGAAAUAAAAUAUAAAAAAUAAAGUAAAUAUGUUUUACCACAAGAAUAAUUUAUUUAAGAGAUCAAGAUUUUGAGCUUCACCAAAACUCACAACUAAUGCAUAUAAGUAUCCUAAAGACAUCACAAGACCUUGGUCUAAUCUUCCUACCUUCAUCUAAGGUGCUACACUCCAUAUGAGACGUGCACCUCGCUUCUUACAAUUGCUAUACUAACUGCUCAUCCUCCAAUAUAUGUAAAAACAAUUUAAAUUGUGUUGAGUUAGGAAGCAAUGAAAAGAAAAUGUUUAGUAUAAAUUUUAUAAAGUCUUUGCAUAUAUUUUGUAAAGAAAUUUGACUACAAUGAUUGAUCUCCAAUUAUUUGUUUGAGAAGAAAUAGCAUUUUGACAAUGCUCAAGUGUUUGAAAAGAAAUGGCAUUUCAGCAUAGUUCAAGAUGUGGUUGUGUAGGGCUUAAGCUAGAAAUAUAUACACCCGGAGCAUAAACGAUCACACCUAAUGCUGGCAAAGCUGAUUCAAAUUCAUCGGUUUCAUAAUCUAUAAAUCCACACAUCGAAUGUAAGAAGGCAGAAAAGGCUGUAUGAGAUCUACAAAUUUUACAUUGAGAUCUAUCCAUUGAACUGGCAAUCGGGCACUUACAAAGACUUCCUGAGAAGGAAAAGCACAUUCCGUGCAUUUAGUAUACACCAAAGCUAGUUACUUCAUUAUCCUGAAGACACUGUAAAUUAAUGUGUUCAAAUUUCAACAAACACAGUUUUGUCUAAUGCGCUCCUGAGGGUUCCUUGAAGACCAUUGCUAGUUCUUCAAUCUUAACUGAAACUAAAAAGCCUUGCAACUAAAAGCUAAGAAAUCAAAAUAGAGAGUGAGUCUUGCUAAGGAGUAGCCAUCCGUCCCACUUCCAUGGGUUCACGUCGGGGCUGAGGAGAUAAAAACCGUAAGCCAUGGCGGCACCAGCUGCCAACGUCAAUGUAGCACUUGCACAAGAGGGGAAGGAUGACAGCUUGCCCAAAAUAGCUUUGCAGUGGCCAUCUGCAAUCUUCACCUGAACCUCCAAAUCGUGGUUCUUUUGAGGGUUCGCCAAAAUAGUUUUGUGCUGUUCAUGCAGAGAUUAAACAUUAGAUGCUGUACAUGGAAAGGACCUCGAAAGAAAUGAAAUGAAAAUUCACGUUCUUGAUAGAUAUAAUAAAACCACCCCGACUCCAAUCAUUUAUACAACAAGGUACUUACCUUAACCCUAAAAGCCUGAACAGUCUUCUUUAACUGAGUGAAUGGAGCAAGCCGAUGUGAAACCUCCUUAAACUCCUGCCUAAUGAAACUCAGCACGUAGUUACUUGCUUUCAAAUUAUCCAGAUGCAGCUUUUCCUGCAAAAAUUGAAAAGAUGCCGUGUCAUCAUUCCUGUCGCAAGCGUUGAUUGUGUCAAGGAACUGCAAUAAUUCCUCUGAAAACAUCUGUUUACAGAACUGAAGGAUUAACAGGUGCGUACCCAUUGUUGAUAACAAUCACUGUUCUGAGACAAGCACCAGAUGAAGUUACUGCAUGCCUCCUGUGAAAGGGACUCCACAUCUGCGUACAAAUAAAGAUGUGAAUGAUCCUUAUAAUUUACAUUCAGGAGGCAACAUAUCAUAGAAGCAGGAAGAUCUUCUACCUUGUGAUAGAGCAGCGACACUAAGAGGAAGGAGCUGCUGAGCCACAGGUCGAGUAGUUUUGCUGUUUUGUAAACCUGCUAAUGCAAGCUCCUUAAUAAUUGGGUACACAGUUUGAAACCUAUCUGCAGCCUGCAUCAGAUAUAAAUGCACCGUCAGAGAAUGAUGGAAAAACUUACAGAAAACAUGAACUCGAAAUAUACUAAAAAGCGUGAACGAAAAUGAAAACAUAGAUAUAGCUACAUAGAAGCAGUGUGGUGCAAAGCGAUUGCAUUCCAAACAAGGCAGCGAUUUUAUAGGCUGAUUAAAACACUAAAAAUUUCGACGCUAAAUGCAAACUGUACCUUAGUCCGAGCAGACUCAGCGGGAAAAGAAGCCCGCAUCACAGAAUCAAGAGAAGCAGCUGGAACUAAUCGUUCGCCUUUCCUCGAAACUCCAUUAAGAAGCACAGGACGAGCCUUCUUAAGGUUGGCGAACAACACACUACGCACACCAACGUAGCAAGUAUUCGCGAAAUGAGACUUUCUAUGUUUGGAAUUUGUAAGUGUCAUUCAAAAUCAGCCUCUCAGACUACAUUCACAUAUUACCUGAUAAGAAACAUAAAGACAGACCAGAGAAACAUAAACCCUAGAAAAGAAAAAGAAGAAUCAUUCGCAACCAGGGCCAACUAAAGAGUGAGAAUAUCCUUACCUCUCAAUAAACUGCAGCACAGUGUCUCGCAAAGCAGGCGUACUGGACUUCCCAACAGCGAGAGGCAAGAGAUUGUGCACCCACAAAGACAUUCCUAUAACCAGGUCCCCUUGGGCAGCCUAUCAAACACACCAGGCCAAAAUGUGAACGAUUGGCACAAAGCCCUCCGAGUUUUAUUUUAAUCAGAGUGGGGUUCAAAACUAUCAAUCGGGGUCACACGAGUUGAUGUCCUACCUGAGAAUAAGCCCACACCAGUGUGGGCAAGUGAUCCGGAGCUUGAAAUUGAUUACGCACUGUUUGAGCUUGCUGUUGUAAAAUGUCAGGCCUUCUUCUCAAAAUUAUGGCAAGUAGAAUUAGGAUACCAACCUGUGUUAUUCCAAAAACAAAAGCUCGUGAACUGAAAACGGUGUAUUUCCCAAUCGCUACACAACGAACGUUGCAAAACCCUAUACCCUAUACCCUAAAAUGAUCUUCUUGCAAUAGUAAUUCAUAUGAACUGAAUGUUGCAUUUACCCCGCAACCCAAAAUGUUCAAAAUUAUUGCUACGCUAAAUACUUCGAUUACCUUGGUUUUCUGUGACGGAGUUGCAGAAACCUUAGAGCUCUUGUGAGAACCCGAGUGUGCAUGUGCAUCUUCGAGAAUCUCUUUCAAGAUCCAGAUCAUAAAAUCAGAUAAUGCGCCUGCAGGCCUUUGGGACAACCAGUCUGCCAACAUUUUGUUCACGGUCUCAGGGAUGUAGCAGAGAGGAAUCUGCGUAAUACACGCUAACUAUCAGUAAAAUGCAAUCAGCCCUACUUCCACUAAAAACACCGUCGUCACUAAUUCUAAAUGAAAAGGCGACUUAAAAUUAAUCCCACUGCAGAGGAUGUGCACAAUACCUCAAUUGAUUUGAUCAGGGGAGUUUCACGAAGAAUUUUAUUCCAUCCGAAUUGGGCAGUGCUCACAGCCGAAAAAGCGCGACCAAAAUAGUCAGCACAGCGGAGGAGCUGUACAUCAGGAAGGGUUGCAAAAGACUCCUAAACAAACACAACAGACGGAACGCCAAAGGGUCAACCAAGUAUACAAAAAAGUCGACCGAAACUUUCUUUAUCAUACUUGCUGUGCAUUAAGAACGGACUACAGAAGCCAAAGCCGGUACAAUGCACGUCAAACCCAAAUCUGUGAAAAAAUAAUAUCCAACUGUGAGAUACGGAAAACACUGAAGUGCAAACCCACUCCAGAUUGAUCCGCACUUAUCCAAUAUUCGUAUCAACCUUUCCAAAAUCAACCACGUUUCAGGUGGCUAUGCGAAAUUGCAAAGCAGAUGUUAAACCCUAGAACAUGUGCAAGUUGGCGUAAAGACAUGGAAAGAGAAGCGCACCGAGAUAUCGGACAGGAAGGUGGCCAAAUCCGAGGGAUCGAUGGCGGCUGCGGCCUCGGAAACUGACACUUUCGGCUUUUUAGGCUUCUUAACCUUGGGUUUCUUUGCAUCUGCCUCCUGAGCUGAACUCUCAGCUUUAGGAGCCUCCCCAUCGUCGCUCUCGUCCUCAUCAUCAAAGCCAGAUGUUAGAGGCGCAGCUAACCUGGCAUCGAGUCUGGCCCGCCGAUCUUUUGCUUCCAUCUCAAGGGCUUGGAACAGCUUCGAAUCAGACGACACCUUGGAAGCACCCUUCUCUCCAUCCUUCCCGCCCUUGGCUUUGGCAAUCUCCUGACGCUUCUGCUUCUUCGGAUUUGUCACCUUCUGCCACCCGUGGUCUACGUAGCCCCCGCCGUUUGCGUUGGCAUUUCCACUACCAUGGCUGGUUUCAGCAUCCAGACCCUCAAUCGCCAUCGCCGUCGCACAGAUCCCGCAAACCCCCAACCCAAAACCAAAACCCAAAUGAUACGCUGGACCUCAAGGUUAUGCACCUGCACCGCCACGGACAGUCUUACGACAUAUCAAUCAGACUCCGCAGUCCACUGGAUUAACAAAUAGAUAUCGAUUCUCUCGGGGAGGGACAAAAAAAAUGUGGAAAAAAAAACACACGGUUACUUCUGACACAGAUCCAUAACCUACCGUUCGACUCCUACUCCUUCCUCACCCGCUACACACUACCACCCAAGACAUACACUCAGCGGUGGCCAUCCUUCUAGCGCAGACCGAAUUCACGCGCUGAACCGAAUCAGCACCGCCUUCCGAUUUGUUCGGAAAUUUCAGAAAGAUGAAAGGGAAAACAAGCGGGAUGCGAUGGGUCAACACCUGCCUCCUCCCCCGGCCAACUCCACACGGUAACCUCAAACACUCCGAUCUACAUGAAGUGGGUCGAGACAGAGUCAAAGAGCUACACUUACCCGAGUUGUUGUCAACGAUGACACUACCACGAGGAGGCAGUAGCAAAGGCGGGACAAAGAGAAGAAUCACAGAGGGAAUGCGACGCAGCCGGCAAUAACCUAUUACAGAAAGUGGACGAGAUGGGCGAAGAAGGUCUACAAUCUGCACGGAGCACAAGGAAAACACGGGUUCGACGAAAAAGAUCCUCUUACGCACUUCGAUCGACGUGGCGGGCCACUAUUCGUAGCUUCAGGUGCCAUUCGCCAACAUGGCACCAUCUGCAGACGUCGAUUUCCUUCCAACUUUCAGUUUCCAGGGCAAUCGCGGUCUUCGACCCUUCAAGACGAGUUGAUGGUUCACUUUAUCCAGCGAUCUGUGCAGAAUCUGCUCUAGUAGGCUGUUCCGCGGAGUCGCAUUGUGGUGGCAAUAACCCAUUUCACCGCUCUAUCUAGUUUUAUCUUCGCAGCGCUCGGGUGAAGGCGCGUACAUCAUGACGACAACUUUGUACGUGAGCUCUUAUGUGCUUCUCUCUCUCUCUCUCCCCUGUCCCUUUGCGUUCUCCUUUCUCUUAACCAAUUUUUGCAAUUGGGUUUGUGCACCUUCUAUUCCGGAAUGAUAAGAUCACUUGUGCAAUUUUGUAUUAUUACAGCUGUUAAAUUCAAUAUACAGAUGAUGGUGUAGAAAUUGAUGAGAAUUGAGGGGGAUUGUAUGGAGGAUGCGCAGGGUUGAUUGUUUCACAGUAGGGAAUGGGAUGCAGGUUUGCAGCAUGUUCUUGUCAUGCACCGAGCACCUGCCUUGGCGUGUUAAAGCCAGAGAUGCAGGUGCCUUCUUCUUCCCCGGCAAGGUUCGGGGGUGUAUUUUCACCAGGUAAAGUGAGAGGGUAUGGAACAGUGGUUGGAUUGUUCAGCGACUAUUGCGAAUGGGGAAGGAGGUCCGCAUACCCGAAGAGGGAAAUAGGCUGGGCUUUGAACAGACGGCAGAUGCUGCUUGGCAGCAUUUUAAUCUCACCCUUGCGUCUCACAAAGGACGAUGUUGCACUUGCAGGUAGGUGGGUAUGUGUGGCCCUUGCACUAGUCUAUUGACGGGUUUUCUCUCGUUUUUGUUGUUUCAAACUCUCGAUCAGAUCUGCUGCAUGAUGACUAAACGUAGAAUUGAUGGUCUGCUGACAUGACAAAUAACUCACUAGAAUAUACUGGAAAAUCAUGCCAGGUGAGACACAAGACAUUGAGAGCAGCUCUCCUUCUGAGACUCAGGAGUCUGCCGAAAUUGAUACGUUUGGAUUCGAUGGGCUCGGUAGCAAGGAAGAUGAAUACGCAGUUGGCAAAGUUGUGGCUCUAGCACAAGCCGGCGAUGGCGCAGUCCUCUUUCUAGGGUUAGGAUCCUUUAUCUCAUCUCCUUCCAAUUUUCGAUCUUUGGUACCAUAAUUGUCACAUUAAUUUAGGAGUUUUGCAAUUACAUGAAAUCCCUCCCUACCUGCAGGAAUGUGGAACAGUAUAUUUUAUCACCAAAGUAAAGUUGUAGUCAAACGCAGGGUGGAUGGGUUUGAUCUUCCCCUUCAAUUGGUGAUUGGGGCUGCAGAGGCCAUGGCUAUAUUAACAGCAGCCCAGGAAAGGCGAAGUCGCAGACCAGCGACACAUGAAGCUUGGAGCUCUUCCCUUGCUGCUGUUGGCUGGAAGGUACAGCUCCAGUUUACCAAACGACGUAAAAUCUUGCUUGCCCAGCCACAAAAUUUUCAACAUAAUGCGGUUGAUGUGUGGCACCAUGCUUGUUCCAGGUUGAUCAUGUCACCAUCACCACCAAGGAGAGUGACGUAUUCUAUUGUAGGCUAGUGCUGUCUCUGGGGAAAAGCUUGGGAGAGGCAGCAGCCUCGGCGUCUGGUAGUGACCGCCUCCGAAGUGUGGACAUGCGUCCGUCUGAUGCCAUUGCGCUUGCCUUGAGGUGCCGAGCCCCUCUUUUUAUUAACAAAAAAGUAGCAGAGGAAGCUGUGAGCGCGUUGAUCAAAGGUAGUGACCCGGCCAAGAAGCCCUCUGAUGCUCUCAAUCGACCAGGCCUACAAGUUAAGUCGGCCACCGACACCCUCUCCAGCAAAUCCAUGCCGAACUUGGCUUGGCAACUGGAGUCAGGUCGUGAGCCACUGUGGGGAUAUAGCGAUGAUGUUUUGCUUAGCUAUACUGUAUAUAAUUCCUGAUGGAUUAACUUCCGGAGAUGAGUGCCAUUUUACAUCUGUAAUUUUGUAAAUUGUCAGCUCUUGAAAGGAAUUCGGCCUUGUAUUAUGUAACCAGUUGGUUGACAGUCAUGUAUACAACUAUAACUUUGUAGUAUCACACAGAGUGUGUUUGCGUCGCGGAUUGGAUUUCCCAGCAGGUAGAUAGCGUUACAUCGGCUGUACAAAAUUUCACGAGUUGAUCGUGUCCAAAUCUCAAAAGGGUUUGUGUUUUUUAACACUAAGAUAUGUUCCGAACUGUGUUUCAGUUCUGUUCUGUGAAUUAGCAGAAGGCUUUACAUCGAAGAAUGUAACGAACAAACUAAUCUUUAAAUGUUGUUCUUAGUUAUGCUCUCGAAAAGGCGGUUCCCAGUUAUUUGAUUGAUUGUAUAGUGCUUGCUACAGCGCAACUUCAGAGGAAUGUCCAGCACCGUCUUCUGAUUGCCCUUGAGAAACGUUGUCUUUGCAAGUUGGUUUCCUAUUUACAGUACCAACUGGAGGAUAGAGCACCAACAUUUUGAUUUUGCCAAAAGCCUUAAUACAUUAAUAUACCUACGUCAGUCACAAGUAUCAUACCAAGUAGCCUGCUCAGCAGUUGUGGUAAUCUGUGGAAGGAUUCAGAGCUGGUACCAAUCACACAUUCUUUCAGGUGCAUUACUAAAAAGUCAUACAAUAGAGAAUGAAGACCUUUAAUUUAAUCCUACGACGUACUCAACCUUUGAAAUUCGAUUAAAUACAUUACCACUAAAUCCCACAGUUUUGUCCUUCAAAGAAAAGAAACCAAACAUCAUUGAAGCAGAUAAAUUCAUAAAUCUCACGAAAGCCAUAACAAUUAACAAUGCAACCCUCAAAUAAAUAAUAGUGUAGUCUUUGAAUGUUCUGAGGUUUGCAGAGUUACUGCCACCAGCUAAUACCUGACAGUCACGCACUGAUCCAAGAGAGCCCUGUGUCCAGAAACAUGUACACCAGGCACAUUAUGUCUAUACAAGUAACCAAGGUCUUCUAACCUCACCACUAAAACUCGGGUGCCAACCAUGUAUUAAGACCAGAGAGCAAAUCCCGAUGUGAUUGCCGCAACCACUACAAGACAAUGGCUAAGCUCUUUCUCCUUGGAGCAUAGCAAGAAGCUCAGUAAACUCCUCCUCAUCAGCUGGUGCCACGGGGUCAGAUGCGUAGGAAUACAGCGAGGGACCAGGAAUGCUACUAAAGAAGGAUUGUGACGGGUGAUAUGUAUCAUGUUUUAUAGAAGACGUACCAUUAGAGUAUGGAACAGGAGAGCCAUUUAUGGAGGCAUAGUGACGUUUAGAAGCACUAGACGGAGAGGUAAAACCAUAUGAAGGAGACGGAGAGAAAGAACCUGUACCAGAAUCUAAUAAGUAAGAGUUUCUGUCCAACCCCGGAUCUGGAGAGUAACUACUGGUCUGGGGAAACAGAGGGCCAAAGUUGUAAAUUUGGUUCAAACUGUUCUGCAGAUGAGAAUUGCCACUAUGGCCCAAAGUAAGAUGAGAAAGAGAAGGGGCACUGUAUUGAGAAACUACGUGCUUAUUCAUCUCAGGUGACGGUAUACUGUUAUUUGGUGAGGGUUCGUUACUCUCGGGAGAGGGCUUUCUGAGCGACUCUACGGCCAAAGGUGGUAACGACCAAGCCUGCUGGGGAACUACUGAAGGAACAGAUGACAAUUCCUUAGACCUAGGAAGUACGGGGCUAGAGGGACCAAAUGUUGGCGAAUUAGAAACGGAUUUAGCUGGAAUGGAGGACGAACUCGCCGAGGGACAUGUCGGCGAAUUUAACUUGAUAGGUUCCUCACCAUAAUCCACGCGAGCCAUAGCUCGUUUUACCUCGACCUUUUUUCCACGAAAUGGUAGGUGAUGUCGUUUAACUGCAGCAUUGGCAUGUCUUGGAUCAUAAAAGACGACAAAACCAAAUCCUCGCGAGCGCACCUUCCCGUCUACAUCUACAGCACAAAUAACUACUGCAUCCACUACCUUUCCGAAUUCUGCUUCAAAAAAUUCCCACAGAUCUUCCGACUGAAUAAAGUGCGGCAGACCACCUACGAAGAUCUUUCGGGCACUAAUGUACUCAUCACCUUUAUCACUGCCUAUACUUGACCCCAUGGAAUUAGCACUAGGUGGUCGUGUGUCGAUUCCAGUAGGGGGUCGGAUAGAUAUGGCAGCUGAUGAAAGAGCUCCUCGAACUUCUAUUAAACCAUGAGCGAAUGUGCAUUUAGCUCCAUGAGGACACUUUCCUGUUUUCUCAUGAUGAGUGCAAAGCUUCGUCUUGAAAUUCUUAAUCGAUUGAUCACUCCCGUCAUCGCUCUGACUUCCUCCAGUCCGCGAAUCUAUUCCAUCAGUUCUUUCAGAACCAGUCAGUUCUUCAGAGUGAGAAAAAUGACAUUUGUUUCCCCACAAACAACCCUCGCUGGAUGAGAAGAAACGACACAUCAUAGUUUUAUACUGAGGCAAGUUAACCAACUCUUUCCCGCCUAACAUGCCCAUCUCACCUCCAAGGUUGAGGUCCCGACUGUUAAUGGCUAGUGUUUGAGCAGAUAACCAAUCGACGGUACUGCCAUCCUGCAGUAGAGCGAAAAAUGCACUUGAAAACAUAAAGGUGAAAGUUGAAAAAGUGAUAAGAAUAUUUCAAACUCGAGUUCAAAUUUCAAAAACAAUAUUUACAGCGAUUCUAACCGUGGAGUAUACGAGCAACUUACAUGUGGUUACCAAUUACCAUUAAAUCUCAAAAGAAUAAAUGGGAGCCGAAGAGGCAGAUUAGCACGAUCCGUGAACGUUUAAUUUUAGGGCAUAUACUAUUCAAUUCUCAAUAAAGAAUGUUAUGAUAGGUGCUAAACCAUAUGUUCAAGAAUCACAGAUUGUGACCAGCACAGGAAUAGAAAAAGAUGGUUAAGAAUAUCAAACCUGAGUAGAUUGAUGAAAGCCAAAGGUGUCUGCAAUGGAUGAGAACUGCGUUUGUGAUUGUAUAGCCAAAGAAUAUUGAGGAUAAUUUAAGGAACCUGCAUUCACAAGUAUAGGCUUGAAACUCUCCCAGGUGUUCUCUUUCAAAACCUUGUCAUCUUGCAAUAGAAGAGCUUUCAUUUCCAUUGACGGUGCCAGAUGUAUCGGUUUCUGGUUACGCAAACUAGCAACAUUGCGGUUGGCUCCAUUCUUGAGCAGCAGGAAUGUACAAGCAAUAUGGUUGUUCUUAACGGCAUAAUGAAGAGGAGUUUCCUUUGUGGCCGCCAUAACAUUGACUCCACUUGAAUCCUUGUCCAGUAUAUCUGAGAGAGCCUCAAAAUGUCCAUGACCCGCUGCUGUAUGUACUGGAGUUGCCCCCAAUUUGUUGCCAGCCUUGACAUUUGCACCAGCCUUGAGCAAUCGCCUCACUACAUGACUAUUUACAGUCCGUCUGUUUACAGGAGUGGCUUGACGAAGAGCCCAGUGGAGGGCAGUGUUACCAUCUAGAUCUUUAUCAUUAACUGGUGCAGAUGCAUCUAAUAAAAGACAGACAAGGGCUUCAUCAUUUGCUUGAGCAGCUCGUAAGAGAGGAGAGAGAUGCGGACUCUGUGCAUGACCUGACAGUCUUGGGCUAAAAAGUAGUAGGCACUCCAAAAGUUUCCGUGCUAUCUCACAGUUAUAUUCCCCAUCAUGUCCGGCCGGUAAUGUGACAAUAUUUGAAGGGCUAGAAGUUGCUGACUUCUCAACCUCGUUUCCCCCGCUCGACGUCUUCCUAAACUUGUUGUCGCCAACAUCCCUAGUCACCACUACUGGCGCUAUGAUUGAUUUCUUUCGUGACUUGGAGGUAACUUCCUCCCAUUCACUUGAGUCUAGCGUAGGUUUAAGGGUUUGAAAACUCUCAUCCCAUUUGCUAAAAUCUUUCAACUGGCUACUUUCUGAACUUCCACUUUCCCAGUCUUUCAACCGCUUAAAGUUGUCAUAUCCAAGGCUCGCAUAAGAACCACUUGAGCCUAAACUGUGAAGACUGCUGCCUUCACCCUGCCAUGAAUCGCCAGACUCGUCCUUUACAAGAGAUUUACACUUGGCGCCCGGCUUAUUCAAAAUGCAUGAGUUAGUGUGUGCUAAUGCCAUUCCUAACACCAAAUCCACAAUGGUCCCUUCAGGAGAAUCGUCAAAUCCGUCUACCUUUCUACCAAAGGAAUUGACUACUGAAGCGUCUACCUUUCUAGCCAAAAGAUUCGGGCCAGGUUCACCUUGUUUAUAAAGUACAUUAACCACAUUGUCUACCUUUUUGCCCGUCAAGCCCGUACCACCUUCAGAUUUCUUUAUAGGAGCAUUAAUUCCGGAGGUUUCCUUUUUCAACACCGAAUUGAGUAUCGUACUUCUCCCAUUUAGUAGUAAAGCUACUACCGCCGGGAUUUUCAGGCCCCGGGCCAGCUUACAUGCAAGCGGAAGUAUCUGAUCCUUGCAUUUCCCUUCAAGAGCUUGUAUUAAACUUAAAUCCUGCUCACGAACCUUCUCAACAAUUUCCUUGGCCGGAGUGGAAAGGUCCCAUACCAGACUGAUGCUCAAUAGAGCUUCUUCCAAUUUCGCAGCCAUCUCACCUCCACCCAGAUAUUUAGCAAACCACGCUCUUUUCACCACUGUUCUCACCUAAGAUCCAAAUUCUCUUGUUAAAGCAACCACACGUAAUAUUUGUUAUCAGUCUCUUCUAGAGAUCACUUAUCCACCACACACGACCCCCUCAUUAUUGCAUAACCGAGUGCAUGGUAUAUGUUACUAUACACCCCCUUCCACCAAGUAACGAAGUCAAUCUGCACUUAUAACACCGAAGGACUUAAAUUGGCUUGAAGUUCAUGUGUUUUGAACGUUCGUCGAAGCACAAGAGUUAACGCCUAUGACAGUUGAUCCACAUGACGCUCUAUUGACCAGAUAAAAAUGCAUUGAAGGCCAGUCACGGUGCACUAUAAGUUAAAGCACAAUGCCUCCGACAAGUUUCAUAGCAAUACUGCACCCAUCCAGAAAAUUGAGCAAUGGUGGACAUCAAUUUUCGGAUCUAGCCGUUCCAUAACUGAAUGAUCUUCAAAUUUACAAGAAAACAAGCAAUAGCCAGGGCACCAAGAAAGGAUCAAGACAAACUAUAAAAACCCUACCCCGCGGAACCGGGUUGUGCAAGCCCAUCCAAGAUUUCAGAAAACCAGAGAUAGACUUUGAAAGAAGACAUGAAUUGACGUACCCUCCGAAAUGCCAAUUGCACCGUAGGGGAAAUUGAAUAAUUAUCACUUGCGAGUAAGGUUUCUCAAUGAUAUUUGUAACCUCGGCCACGAAUGCAACUACGAUGAGUGAGACCUAACAGAAGCUCAGCAUCAAGUGUCUGCUUUUAAAAAUUAGAUGGGUAAGUAAAUGUCAUGGAAGUACUUUGAUUAUGCGAGUCCGCUCAAGGGAAUGCAAUAUACCACCCCCAUCUCCGCCCCUCCAUCAAGCAUAUUCCCGCCCUAGCUUAAUAUGAACACCGCUAAAAGCGCGCCAUAGUCCUAAAACCUAUCUAGCUAUGCAAGGUAUGCUAUUUCUCCGAUUAGGCAAAACGUUUCUUAAGGCUUGAGAAAGCACAUAGCCUUAACAAAACUUUCACAUCAGGUUCGAAGGAACAAUGAAUCAUUAUUUGUAAUGCUGUUUCGUGCUAUGUCUGAUUACCAACGAUGCAUGAUUAGAUGCAAGCUUAUAUUCUUUUAAGAUCCCUUGCCAAAAUAAUCAAUUGCAAAAGAUCCCUCUUAAUACUCCCCUACCCUGAUCGUAACGCCGUUCUUGAGAUCCUGGGUUUCUAAACCGCACUCUCCCCCUAUCGCCCAGGACAUAGAUAAGAAUAAAUGAACGGAUAAAUAAAAACCAAGCAACGUCGUCGAUCGCGCUAAUCCUCUCUCCUAUCCACAAUCUAGCAAUCAAAAAACAAAAAUAAUGUCCGUCUCACUAAAACACCAAUUCGCCUGAGAGAAGCUAUGGCAGUAUACCAAUUCCUCACCAGCAAUACAAACCCUGGAAACAGAAAAAAAAAAAAAAAAAAAAAAAAAAAAAAAGACAACUCAAACACUUGCAAAUAACCUGAUUAAGAGCCGCAUAGUCUUUCACAUUCGUGACCGCUUAAGUCCACUCCCGCGUAAUCAACGAGAAGUCCUCAUCGUACAGACGGAUCACUCAGCCACACCAUCGUAUACACUCUUUCCCCUCUCUCACUCUCUCUCUCUCCCUCGCUAUUUCCCCCCACUCCACCUCCCACAACUCCCUCCAAAAUUUAAUGGCAGACUUCUUUUGGUUCCCGAAAUGCACCAUUCACAGGCUAAUUAUGGGAGGAAUAAGAAUACGAGGUGGUAAGGAAACAAGCCGAGCACAUGAAAACCUCCGCGAGCAUCACCAUCGCCUAGACAACCCCUGUAAUGCUCGGAUUACAAGACGCAGCCACAGACGCACACAGACACAACCCGGGAGGAGGGACGGGACGGGACGGGACGGGGGGACCCGGCGAAAACGACCCCCCCUCCCUAACCCUGGCCCUGAUUCCGGCCGGGUGUGCCUCAAGAACUGGCUGGUCGCCCUCGCUGUAUUCCGCGGCACUUCGUUCAAAGCCGGGGGCCGGUUCAAAUGCAUGUCGCAAGCCCCUUCCCACUCCAAAGACCCGACCCGACCCGUCCAAACCGUCGGCUCCCCCACCCCUUAUUCAUCCAGAUUAAUAAUAUGUUUACAUGAGUCCGUGUACUUCAUCCAGUUUCGUGGAUGAUUAUAUUGUCAUCCGUCUAUUUUUGGACCAAUCAGUGCAGCUUCUACUGCGGUUUAAAAGUAACAAUGCUUCGUAUGAAAUCCACUAAUCAGUGACUCUUUAAUUAUGUGUAUGUAAAGGUAUUGUGUUAUUUUAAGCCGUUACUGAAUGCGUGGAUGAUUGACCAGUGAAAUUCUCCACUGUUUAGAAGUUUGAAGGUGUGAAUGAAGUUUAUCAAAAGUAGUAUUGAAACAAAUACUUGUUUUGUCAUAAUAUACUUGAGUGUAUGAUUUUUAUAUUCUGUUAUAUUUUAAAUAAAAAUAGAAUACAAAUUGUGAAUUUUAAACAUCAAAAUCAUGCUACUUUUUUACCUUGAUGUAUUUAAUCAUAACUUGUAAUGUCUAAAAAGGUCUCAAAUUCAUCUUUCACGACACUUGAAUUCUAAACGAAACUACAUUUGCUUAACUAAAUAAAUAAAUUGUACAUGAAAUAAUUAUAAUUAAAGGCAUGGUACGAAUUUUGUGACAACAAUUUUUUAUCAAUAAAUUUAUAAAAAAGAAGUAAAGCAAACUUCUUUUUGUUUGCCAUACAAAGCAAAUAAUAUAUUAUUAAUUGCAAGUUCAUAUAUAAAAUUCACUUAUCUUUGUGAAUAACUUUUGUAAAAAGAAUGUCAUACAUUGUUAUACCAAAUUAUGAUAAAAAUGACAAAAACAACUUUAGAACUAGGUUUGUAACAGAUAAUACUAAUCGUACCAUUAUAAUGAACUAAUAUAUAUACAUCUCGAUUUUAAAUAAAUUUGAUGUAUUUGUUGUAGUAAAAAUAAUUAUUAUAUAUUCCAUAUGCAAUAAAAUCAUGAAGCUACAAAGACGGAUGUUAAAUUAUUAGCUUAGAUUUGACAACAAGUUUUUUUUGUUAAUAUCUGUACUUUGCAUUUACAUGCACAAAAUUAUUAUUUUUUAAUUUAAAUUAAUGCUAGAAUAGAAUACAAAACCAACUAUUAGAUUAAUAUGUAGUAUUAUAUUUGAUUUUGAUACUCUAAUAGUGAGUAUAGUUGGCUUAUCACUUUUUGAUGUUUCAAUGUGGUUAGAAGUUAAACUUUUUUGUGUUAAGAUUGUUGUACAAUUCUAUUAUUACAAUAUACAAAUGUUUCAACAAAAUUUAUUAGCACAUUACAAUCUUUAUCUUUGUUCUUUAAUUUUAGAUUUUACAAUGCAUCGUAUUUUAUGUUAAUUCUUAAUUUUUAAUUUUAUUUAGUCAAUUUAUGCAAGCAUACUAAUACUAAUUUAAAAUUACAUAAUUUUUUUUAAUAUACUACAAAAUUUGAUAAAAUUUACAAAAAAAUUCAUUGCACAUUAAAGUUAGUACACCAAAUACCAUCAUUGAUUUCUAAACAUCUCUGUAUUUUACUUAAGAAAUUGGCAAAUGACUAUGUUGAUGCAAAUGAUAAAUGUUAUAUAUAUAUAUAUAUAUAUAUAUUAGUCACAUUGAAUGAGAAGAAAUUGGUAAAUGACCAUGUUGAUGCAAAUGAUAAAUGUUAUAUAUAUAUAUAUAUAUAUAUAUAUAUUAGUCACAUUGAAUAAGAAGAAAUCAAUGAAAUAAACUAAAACUUAUUAUAAAAAAAUAAUAUUAUAUUUUUUAAAAAUGAAGUUGAAAUUUAUGCUCUUGUAACAUUUGUAAUGAAAAAAAUGCUUGAAAAUCCAAUUACAAGAGUUAAUCUAUUACAAUCUACAAAAUUCCAAAUCUAAAAUAGACUUAUUAAGCAAGUGGACUUGUUGGCAACAACAAUCACUGUAUGAAUGUGAAGAACUAUGCUACUCACAUGCUCAAAAAAAAAAAAAAAAAAUUGAAUAUAAACAGCUAAAGAGAUAGUUUCCAACAAAAACAUCUGGAACUAACUAACUCGCUCACAAACUCAGGUGUUUGUGGUCACUUACAAUUGGGUAAAGAGGAUUGAUUAGUUAGGCAUGGUCACAGCCAAUGCGGAUGGAGAGAGGGUUCGCGAGGGAGGGAGGGACGGUCAUGGACGGAGAUCAGAAAGGUACCUUUAUCCGCGAGGGCAAGGGUGAGUCCUAGGAAGGACCCCCGGGAUAGGGUUAGGGAACCCAUUCCUGGAGGAGGAAGACGGGCUGGACAGGGCAGGGCAGGGCAGGAGGGUGAGUGUGUGGGCUCUGGGGAGGUAAUUCUUAUGGGCUCCAGUGAGACGGGAUCGCGGGGAGGGCAGGGGAGGGUGACGGGGGGUUGCUAGCCUAAACAUACUACUUCGGGGAGCAGGCCCGACGUUCCCAUGAACUCACUCACACACUCACUCUAUUGAAGAGGAAGAAGAAGUUCUGUUCGCUUCGACCGUCUGGCUCUCUCUUUCUUCCCCCUUUCUCUCUCUUCUCUCCUCUCUCAUCCUUGGCAUUCCCCUUCUUUUUCCUUCCCUCCCCUUUCCCCUUCCGCCUUGACCCUGCCCCUAUCUACACCAGUGCUCUCCUCCACGUUGCUGUAGCCUUUUCGCGGCUGUGGCCAAGGGCUGGAGCUUAGGGAAUUGGUUGAUGUGACGUGCCGUGCGGGGAUGGGCAAGCCCGAGAGCCAUUUCGGACGCGAUUCGGCUUAGGUUUUGGCGGAGGACGGGUUCGGAGGGAGGAAAAGGAGGAAGAAGACGAGGAGGAGAAAGAGGAGCGUCGGAUCGCGAGGGUGAACAAAGCGCCGGGAGGAGUGCGUGCGUGAGGAGAUUGCGGACGAGCGUUGUCGGUGUUGUCGUUCGCCAGAAUGACUGUCAUCGCUGCACCCCCGGAAGUACGUGGUGGCGGUUUGUUGCGCUCGUUCGUUCGUGCGGUUGCAUGUAGGGUUGGUGCUGGAUGGCUUGCUCUGAUGGCGGUGGUGAUUGGAUGUCGGUGUAGUUAGGGUGUGAGGUUUGAUGAGCUUUUAGAUUUUGUGGAGGGUGUGAAAGCGUUGUCGUGGAUUGCGAGGGGAAUCUAGGACUGGAUGUUAGGGGUUUGGGGUCCGACAUUGGAUCCACAUUGGAUGUUAGACUUACGCAAGGUGUGCGGAUGUGGCAGGAGGAUGAUGAUAUGCUGGUGCCUCCCCAGGACUUCAACGACGUUAUUGAACCGAUGGAAGGUGUGUGGCAGGAAUCAGUGUGGAUAAUUAAUUCAGUCUCUUGUUAGGGAAAGCAUCGAAGCCCUGGAAUGAGGAGAUAUUCUGGCAUGCAAUGCCGUGUGGAUUUGUUCAGGGUUUGGAAAUACCGCAGCCGAAAAUAUGCUCCUUAGUGUAAUCUGUGGUAGUUGACGUGCAUGAAAUUGACUCCGAGUUUUCCUGGCGUUCCGAGUUGUCGUUGUGUAUGUGUCUUAAUGUAGAUCUCAAGUAAUUGAGGCUAUUGUUCUCGAGUGUAUUUUAUGCAAUUCAUCAGUCUUGCUGCCAUCUGUUCGACUGCCGUCGCGUAGAUCUGUAGUCAUCAGAGGGUUUUUUUUGGAGGUAGAAUUCAUCCAAUUUAUUGUGGCUCUAAAGUGAAUGGAGUUUUGAUUAUGUCGGGUAGAUCGUCCAGGCACUUCAAAAUUGGGUGUAGUGAUAUUGGUCGGCUGCUACCGCUAUUUGAACGUGGAUUUUUGGUCGUUGUUUAGGGAUUAAGUGCUUUUAUUUAUUAGUCAGGGUAGUUUCCUGUUGAGCAAAUACAUGCUCUUCAAUCAGGUCGAAUAUCUGGUCUUGAAUCAGAAGAGUUGCUCAUUAUCCCAUGGUUGUGUAGUGGUAGGGCAAGGAGAAGGUGUUGCUACUGUGGAGAAUCAGCAUGUGGAUGACCCUCAAACGGGGAAAUUUACAUGGAAUAUCGAGAAUUUCUCGAAAUUAUCUCUGAGAAAGCAUUAUUCCGAAACGUUUACUGUUGGUGGUUACAAAUGGUAAGCACUCCACCUCGUAUCUGCAUUUGUUGUAUUCCUUGAAUUUGAGGGUGGACAUCUUAGCGGGAUCAUUUAUGGUGCUGCAGGCGGGUGCUGUUAUUUCCGAAAGGCAAUAAUGUGGAUCAUCUCUCAGUAUACUUGGAUGUUGCUGAUUCCGCGCAGCUACCCUAUGGCUGGAGUAGAUUUGCACAUUUUACUCUGGCCGUUGUGAAUCCGUAUGACCCAAAGUUGACUGUCAAGAAAGGUUCGUUUUGUAUGCCUCCAUCCUCUGCAAGCGUUUCUCUUUGCAGAUGCAAUGGGCGUUGGAAAUGGUUUAUUUGCUUUUGUCAUUCUCGGACGUGGUCGUAGUUUUGUUGGAAGUGCACUUAAAGACAUGUUGGAGCAGAAUAUUGUGUAACAGCGGCUGAAGGGCACGUAUGACUUCUUUUGCAGAUACACAGCAUCAUUUUAAUGUACGCGAAAGUGAUUGGGGAUUCACAUCGUUCAUGCCUUUACCAGACUUGUACGAUCCAUCUCGAGGUUUCUUGAUGAAUGAUACUCUUAUCGUAGAAGCUGAUGUGAAUGUUCGUAAGGUGGUCGAUUACUGGGCGUAUGAUUCGAAGAAAGAGACAGGUUAUGUUGGAUUGAAGAAUCAAGGAGCGACAUGCUACAUGAAUUCUCUCCUCCAGACGUUGUAUCACCUGCCCUACUUUCGGAAGGUUAUUUCCCUGCCAUCACAGAUCAUUUCUGAAUUACAUUCUGCAAUUCAGUGCAAUUCAGUGCCAGGAGGCUCUAUCCAGUUUUCGGUUUAUUGUGUCUAGUUCAGUUUCGUUUUAUUACUGAAAGACCAGAAUGAGAAACUUUGCCACUCCAGCUCUCGUUUUUUACGUGAAACCCCUUUCAGCCAAGUAAUAGCUUAAAUUGGCAUUCAUUCCAGUCCACAAUGGUCCGAUGUUUUGCAAAACUCAACUGACUUGCAGCCAGUUAGUCCAGUAGGUGAAUAAUGACUAGCUGUCGUAGCGAUGCAGACACACUUCUGCAAUAGUGAGUGGUUGCUGGUCUCUUUUCGGAUGCCACCAGUUCCCUCUCUGUGGGUGCCUUUUGUUUCUAUUCAACUUUGACACUUUUCAUUCAAUAAUUGUAUGACAAUACUAAUCUUUGUAAGCACGGUGUCAUGACAAUUCAGUUUUUUUGACGAACAUACCGGUUUCUUUUGAUAGUUUAGUGACACUGAUUGUUUAGCUUGCUGGAUCCAAGUGAAGUUAUAGUCACCUUUUGCAGAGAGCAACAGUUCUACUAAAAGUUUUUGGCAGUUUUUGUUCUUUUUCAAUCUAAAUUUUUUGCUGUCGAUUUGAUCUGCUGCAGGCUGUUUAUCAUAUGCCAACGACUGAAAACGAUGUUCCAUCUAACAGCAUCCCUCUAGCCCUACAGAGCUUAUUUUAUAAAAUUCAGUACAGUGAUACUAGUAUUGCUACAAAGGAUCUCACUAAAUCUUUUGGGUGGGACACCUACGACUCUUUUAUGCAACAUGAUGUUCAAGAGCUGAAUCGGGUUCUUUGCGAGAAGCUGGAAGACAAAAUGAAGGUAUGGAUAAAUCUCUGUUAGCUAUGUCUUCUCGGUUUUCAAGAGUAGCUGGGUACAUUAUGUUUACUGGUGGGAAUCCUUCUGUGCUUUUACAGGGAACUGCUGUCGAGGGCACAAUCCAGCAACUGUUCGAAGGGCAUCACAUGAACUACAUAGAGUGCAUCAAUGUUGAUUAUAAAUCAACACGGAAAGAGUCUUUCUAUGGUACGACUAUGCAGUUGAAGUUAGAAGCAGGAUGGAGACUUUGACAAUCAAGAAUGAUUCUUUAUUUUGUUUCAUUGAACAUCUGUCUUAGAAAGAGGAGGGUUGGUUUGCUGGAACCUGGAAAAUAUCAUAUUGUUAUUGCGGUUGUGGUUUAGGACGUGCGCAUGAACCUUUUCCAGGUGGAAGUACAGCUCCAAUUCGGCACUAGAUUGUAAGCAUUCAGCGUUUAAUAUUAUAGUAUGUUCUUCUUUUCAGAUUUGCAGCUGGAUGUGAAAGGAUGCAAGGAUGUAUAUGAAUCUUUUGACAAGUAUGUUGAAGUAGAACGGUUGGAGGGCGAGAACAAAUACCACGCCGAACAAUUUGGGUUGCAGGUACUGAAUUUUCAUAUAAGUACAAUCAGGUGGAUGACCCUAUUUCACAGGCCUUUAGGUUCAGUAUCUGAGUUGUGUCUUAGAAUUAUUCUAAACAUAUCUUGGGGUUUGUGUCCUGCAGGAUGCGAAAAAAGGAGUCCUAUUUAUAGACUUCCCCCCUGUUCUUCAGCUACAGUUAAAGCGUUUUGAGUAUGACUUUAUGCGAGACACAAUGGUGAAGGUGAAGAGAUUUUCUUCAUUCUCUUCAAUUUGCUGCAUUGUGUUCUUCUAGCUUGUUAGUUCUGUAUUUGAUGUAUUAUUCUGCGUCUUUUUAUACUGUUUGCUUCAAGCAAUAUUUCUGUUGUGCAGAUUAAUGAUCGCUAUGAGUUUCCACUGCAACUAGACUUGGAUAGGGAGAACGGAAAGUACCUCUCUCCUGAUGCCGACCGUAGUGUUCGAAAUUUGUACACCUUGCACAGGUUUGGGGCAUAAUCAUUCGAUUCUCGUGUUAAUGUUUUCCUGAUGUUUUAUACAUCCCUUUUUACUUAUUAAUUUAUUUUUUUCUUACAGAAGGUGUGCCUUGUGCCAAAAUUUAUUGCAUCGCCUCAAUUGAUAUUGGCUUUUUUUUGUUCGUGGCAGUGUACUGGUUCACAGUGGUGGAGUACAUGGUGGUCAUUACUACGCUUUUAUCAGACCCACACUCUCUGACCAGUGGUAUUUUUUCUGCAUCAACUCGUAAUUGUCGGUUGUCUUUGCUUCUACGAGCGUGGUUACAUGUGCAUGGACUCGUAUUUUAAAAGUAGAAGUCGGUUUCCACUGUUAGAAUUCUCAGUCAUCUUUCAUAGUUAAAUCACGGUUUGAUAUAGGACAUAGGAGAGCUUUUGACGCUUUUGUUUUACUUUUGCGUAGGUGUGAGUGUAGAUCCACUCUAAGAUUCUUUGUGGAUGACUGUGGAUAGGUUUAAGUUUGAUGAUGAGCGAGUGACAAAGGAGGAGCCUAAGAGAGCUCUUGAGGAGCAGUAUGGAGGAGAGGAGGAAGUACGUAUCGCGAUCUUCCUCCAUUUUAAAAUUCGGCACAUUAAUUGAUCAUUGGAUAACCAGUUAAUAUUAAAUCUUAUUUUGAAAUUUGAUAAUCAGUAUACUUCAGAGUACUAGUUGAUAUUAUUAUGCUUUAUGAUGGUUUUUUCUAGCGUUGCAACUAAAAUCCAGCCGUAUUUGUGCGGUGAUGUUCUUAUCUUGCAGCUUCCACAAACAAAUCCAGGUUUUAAUAACACUCCCUUCAAGUUCACAAAAUACUCAAACGCAUACAUGUUGGUGUAUAUCAGAGAGGCCGACAAGGACAAGAUUGUUUGCAAUGUGGAUGAGAAGGAUAUUGCAGAACAUUUGCAGGUAAUUUAAGAAACUGGUGAAACUAGUUAUUCCUUUCAGGUGUGUCUGUUUGCUCUAUGUAAUUCGGUAUUAAACUCGGCGUUGAGAACUGCCAGUAUUGGCGGCAUUCAGCCCCUUCCGUUUAACCAAAUGAUGGUGCUUAAAAUAUAUAUAUAUAUAUAUAUAUAUGUGUGUGUGUGUGAGGAAACUCAAAAUAUAGAAAAAACCAUCUUAUAUAUAUAUAUAUAUAUAUAUAUAUAUAUAUAUAUAUAUAUAUAUAUAUAUAUAUAUAUUGAAGCUUCAGUUUCCUUAUUUGAGUCGUGUUAUUUGUUGAUUCAGGUGAGGUUGAAGAAAGAGCAAGAGGAGAAAGAAAGGAAGAGGAAGGAGAAGGCUGAAGCUCAUCUUUACACUAUCAUUAAGGCAAGUUUGCAUCUAAUUUUUUUGCAUUUAGUUAUCAUGGAAUCCAAGUAGCAGACGGACUGAUUGAAUACUUUCAUGGAUUCUAGGUUGGACGGGAUGAAGACCUACAGAACCAGAUUGGAAAGGACAUCCAUUUCGAUUUGGUAGAUCAUGAAAAAGUUCGCAGCUUCCGCAUCCAAAAGCAAACCCUCUUUACGCAGUUCAAGGCAUGUCCGCAUUAUUACCCUAAUUAGUCAACGAUGCCGUUUAACUGUGCUUGGUUUCGACUGAAUUGCUUGUCACUAGAGAUUUUAACCUCACAAGCCUGAAUAAUUGUGCGCUCACUUCUGCAGGAGGAAAUAGCGAAGGAGCUUGGCGUCCCUGUUGAGUGUCAACGGUUUUGGCUUUGGGCGAAGCGCCAAAACCACACAUAUCGUCCUAAUAGACCACUUACUGAGCAAGAAGAGGCUCAAACGGUAGCUUCUGCUUCUGUCAGCACUGGGAUUCAUAAUUAUUCUUGAUGGUUUUCUUGGUGUUGUUGUUAUUCUCUGUGUUAGCGAUUUUUUGUGUUCGCUUUAGUAUUCUCGUCCGUUUGCUGCGAAAGCUCUUGAAAUUUAGGAGAUAAGUCACUCGUGAUCUGAAUGCAGCAGUAUUAAUAAUGCUUUUGAAUUUUCUUUUGUUCUGAUGUCCAGGUUGGGCACUUAAAAGAGGCCUCCAACAAGGCUCACAAUGCUGAGUUGAAACUUUUCUUGGAGGUGCAGCGCACCCCUGGUGCAGUACGUAUCUUUCCUUUUCAUACACGACCGAUUUGGGUAUUUUUUGCGUUGCAGCUCGUCAUUUUUGUAUGACACGAUUUUGUCUAUUUUAUUUCUGUGGAUUUAAAACUCUUAUGUGCUGGUUUUUGUGUGGAUUUCACUAGUAUGUAACCUUGUUACCGUAAUUUGAACCGGUUUUCCUUCUGUUUAUUGUUUCUUUACAGGAAUCAGUUCCAAUGCCUCCUCCAAUUAAGACGAAGGAGGAUGUGCUUUUGUUUUUCAAACUGUACGAUCCUUUGAAGGAGGAGUUGCGGUGAGCGUCUCUCCGAAUAAUAUUAGGAUGAUGGUUAUCAUUUUGAGUAUGCUCAUCGUUACUUGGUUUGAUGCUUCAGACCUCAUACUAACUGCUCUAUGAGGCGUCUUUGCAGUUACGUAGGUAGAUCUUAUGUAAAGGCAAGUGGUAGACCAGCUGAUAUUUUGGAGCGGCUAAAUGAGAUGGCCGGAUUUCCUCCGAACGAGGAGAUCCAGCUGUACGAGGUAUAAUGACUCAGUAGUUUGAUGAAGUUUGUAAUUUCUCACUCUCUUCUGGAUGUUCUAAAACUUGACCUUCUAUUUAUUUGAAAAAGGUGUCCACAAAUAACAACACAAUGAAUGUGAGGAUUAUGAGUCAGCACUAUUUUCGCCAGUUGGAUCAUUCUAUCUAAUCCAUGCACUAAGCUUGCAGGAAAUCAAGUUUGAGCCGAAUGUCAUGUGCGAGCACAUUGAAAAGAAGUCCACUUUCAAGGCUAGCCAGGUUAGCUCCCCUCCAUUCCUGUUGUGGUCCAUGAAGGCUAGUAUUAAAUGCUUGUUACGAAUAUUAGUACUUAAUUAUUUUAGGAAGCUUUUUGACCCAGACGGGGUGACUAUUUUGCAGUUGGAAGAUGGUGAUAUUAUCUGUUACCAGAGAGCUCUAACAAGGGAGCAGGAAUUGGCUUCCCGGUACCCUGACGUUCCAUCAUUUUUGGAGUAUGUUCGCAACCGACAGGUAACACGAACGAUUAUGGGCGAAAUAUAUGGGUCAUGACUUCAUUGACAACAUAUUUAGAUUUUAUCUUUUUGAGCAUUGAAAUAAGCGUUUUGUUUAGACUGUUUUCACAAAGUAGUUUUCUUUGCACCAACCUAAAAAGUUGAUUUCGGUGGGAUGGUCUCAUUGCUUCCAAGAAUUUUAUGUUUGUUGUGUACUGUAGUUUUCACACUGGGUUUUUGGUUGGGAAUUGGGAAGAUCGUACAUUUUCGUCGCCUAGACAAACCCAAGGAUGACGAAUUUUGUCUGGAAUUGUAAGUUUCUGAACUUGCCUUUGCUGCUUGUAUACAUUCUGAGAUUAUAUUAUUAGUAUUAUUGUCAAUUAUACCUAUUUUUCCCAUCCGUUGUGUGACUGUUCUGCCGUGAUGUUUCAUGUUCUUUAUAUAGCUUUUUUGAAGUGAGAGUGCAAUAGAAUUAGUUAUUACUGUAUUCGCAAUGUUUGAUUAGUUUUGGUGCGAUGAUGUUCUCGGCUUUCUAUUUAUUAUAUACGGGCUUUGGUCAGCCCCCCCAUGAGAACUUUAUUAUGAAUGUAAAAUAUCCAGUUUUUCUUGGUUUGCAGGUUUUAAACUUUGUUAUCUUUUGUGUUGUAGGUCGAAGCAACACACAUAUGAUGAUGUGGUCGAGAAGGUAGCAGAAGAAAUUAAAUUGGAGGACGCGUCAAAGAUCAGGCUUACAUCACACAAUUGUUACUCGCAGCAACCAAAACCACAACCCAUCAAGUAUCGGGGGGUUGAAAGACUAAGUGAUAUGCUCGUACACUAUAAUCAGGUACAACGAAAUUGAUCAUACUGUUAAUUCGUUUAUUGUGGUGAAUAUUUUUGUUUUACAAAAUGAAUGAUUUUGGUCUGAUUUUUUCGUGGUUUGCCCAGACGUCGGAUAUUCUCUAUUUUGAGACUUUGGAUUUGCCCCUUCCUGAGCUUCAGGGUUUAAAAACCUUGAAGGUUGCCUUCCACAACGCGAAAACAGAGGAGGUUGGUUCGCUCAUUUGCAGGUUUUCGAGGCAUUUGAAAGCCUAGUUUUGACGCUGGUAAUCCAGGUGGAAAUCUUUUUAGCUCAUUUCAUAUCUAAUUGGUCCUUAAAGUGCAUGCAGGUCUCAGUUCACAAUAUUCGUCUUCCCAAACAAAGUACAGUUGGGGAUGUUGUAAACGAGUUAAAGGGGAAGGUAUUUCUUAUUUUUUCACUGCACGAUUUCUUAAUGCUACUUUUCGGGGAAUGUGUAUGUAUACAUCAGCAGCACCUGAUACACCUGAUAGAAUUCUUUUUAGUGGCUUUAUUUCUUAUGUAAUUUGUGCUUGUUUUGUUGGUUUCUGAAGGUUGAGCUUUCAAGUCCUAAGGCGGAGCUUCGCAUUCUUGAAGUUUUCUAUCACAAAAUUUACAAGGUUAUUUGCAGACUUCAGUCUAUUUGGAUCGCAUUUGAGCUUGGUAUUUUGGGGGGGAGAGGGGGUCAUUGAUUCUAGUAGAAUGGUAGCGUUAUACUAUUUUUAAUGCCCUAUUUCUGAUUUCGUGAUUUUAUUGUCGGUAAUAAGUUGAAAUGAUAAAUGUAUUUUCGCGACAUCUUUUGGGAUCUUUCCAGAUCUUCCCCUUGAGCGAGAAGAUUGAGAACAUCAAUGAUCAAUACUGGACGCUUCGAGCUGAGGAGGUGUGGCUUUUCUCUGUGUGUUGGUGAUUCCCUGUUGAUUUAUGACAGUGGAAAAGUAAUGUACAUGGAGGAAUUAGAGUGGUGGGGUGAAAGUUACUUUUGCUAAACGCGCUUGAUUUCUCUAAAAAUGUCUCCAGUGCAUGCAUCUAUGUAACCUAUUAUUAAGUGGUUGAUGGGCCUGGCUUUGACAGGUUCCUGAUGAGGAGAAAGAACUUGGUCCUCAAGAUCGCUUGAUUCACGUGUAUCAUUUCACGCGUGACGCGUCACAAAAUUACAUGGUAUUUCUUUUGACCUAUAUAUUGGUGAUUUCGUUUUAUCUUAUCACUUUGACCCCAAAAGUUGUAAGUUCAGCUUCCGUGCGUGUUCUCAUCUCAAUACUGUCUCCAUAUUAUGAUCCAUGAUAAUUUUGAUCAUUUAUCCUCAAAAACUGGUAUAUCUGUGUUAUGCGGUAUUUAGUACUUGUAUCACUUCCUUCACAGGUUCAAAAUUUUGGAGAACCAUUUUUCCUUGUGGUUCGUGAGAAUGAGACUUUGACUGAAGUGAAGCAACGUAUUCAGAAAAAGCUAGUGAUAUCUGAUGAAGAAUUCUCUAAGGUAUGUUAACUAAUGUCUGCAUCACUUGGACUUACUUCUGUGUGCGUUCCGUUCAACUUUUGAGAACAUGGCGGUAUUUAAUUACAACUCGACGUUGUCAUUUGUUCAGUGGAAGUUUGCGUUUCUUUCACUGGGCCGACCUGAGUAUCUUCAAGAUGGAGAUGUUGUUGCUGCCCGUUUUCAGGUAAGCCUGAGUAAAAUGAUCUGCUACUUAUUAUUUUUAGCGGGAUUGUUUGUCAUCCCUCAGUUAGGUUAGUGUUACAUAGCUUAUUAAAUCAAAUCGUUUCAUCUUUAUUGAUUUCUGAUCGGUUGGUUAUGUGAUUUAGAAACGAGACACUUACGGUGCAUGGGAGCAUUAUUUGGGGCUUGAGCAUGCUGAUUGUGCACCGAAACGGUCACAUACUACAAACCAGGUUUGCGGCUUUAUCAUCAACUUUUAUUUCCCCGUGUAGAGAUCGUAGGUUGUUUUUGGUAGUAAACUGCAAUUUUUCAAAUUAUCUGAUUUUAUUGUAAAACAAGAUCUUUAUUCAAUGCUUGCUUAUGUUGCAAUUGUAUUGCAUUUAUGUUUAAUAUUUUUAAUAUAAAGUUUCUGAUUCCGACUGUUACUACUGCCUUUUUGUGAUUGGAAUCUGGCAGAACCGUCACAACUUCGAAAAACCUGUAAAGAUCUAUAAUUGAGGAGCUGCUUUUGGGUGUCUGCAACAUAAUUGAGGAUUGCGGAUGAGUUUGGUUUGGGUACUGCAGACCUCUUUACUCAGAUUCCUUGCAAUAAGGCGGCGGUUGUGGUGUGGUUGGUAUUGAAGUUGAAGAGAGUGCUCGGAAGGAUGAGCAGGAAAGAGGAAUAAUACGCUUCUACUGUUACUGGAAUUCACUAUGUGGCCUAUUAUAUACUCAUUCCAAGUGGUAUAUGUGCGUGUUUGUGAAAAGUUCUGUCCCUUUUCGCAUUAUGCAGAGUUGCAGUAGCUCCUUGUAUCGAAAUGAAUCACUUAUAGUUCUUGUGUAGUCUUUCACCCGAAUUCUUCCUCUAUACAUAAUAUCUAGCCUCAACGAUGACUUUCGCAUUUUAUCAGCACGCAGUUUUCUUUAAGGGCGUUCGGCGCUCUCAUCCUUGCAGAAUAUUAUGGGCACACAGUUGCUCAGUACACUCGUUAUAUCUCGUUCAUCUUAUUCCUUCUACUUUUGUUUCAAGAUUUCAGUGUUAGAUCUAGCGAGUGUUGUACAUGAUGUCAGUGUCACAGUUGGCACCUGAAAGCUCUUAUGCAGACACAAUCUAUGUGUUCACGUUGUUUUCAGUGAACGAUAUCUUUUUUUGAUUGAUUCAAAACUUGGUUUAGUCUUUGCUUCAGACUAUAUGCUGGACUGAGCCCGUAAUGAGCUUCUUCCUUGCACUUUUAGCUACUUCUCUUGUUAUUGGAGUAUGGCAUGUUUACUUGGAAUCCAUGUUAUGUUUCCAUUGCUUUGGCAGACUCAUUCUGAGUGUGUCAUCGGAAAGUGGUACAACCAGAUGUCACGGAGAGAUCUCAAAUGAGACCUAAGGUUGAUGGAGAGGAGUGCCUGCUAUCUUCAAUUCGAAAAGGAGUGAUCUAUGUGUUUGAUUCUCAUUAGAUUUGAGUAAUUUUUCUUUACACCUACAACAAUUAAUUGCACUGAGAAGCAAACGCUAUUCUAUAACCAUACAAUAAUUUGUCAUGAAUUUUGGGAUAUAUCAUGAAUCUGUUGAUGAAUGCACACAAGAAAAAGACAUGGAAGAAGAUUGUUGGACUUGAAACAAGAAACCUCAAUUACAAUUUAUUUUGUGUUCAUUUAUUGAUAGGUUCUUAAUAAAUCAGAGUGGGAAAUAAAUGUUUUUUGAACAUUUACUUUGUCAAGUAGAAAAUCACCUCAUAGUUGUUAGAAUACUAAGUUAAUCAAAACAUUAUUUCUAACUUAAUAUUCUAACAAUUUGUAAUUUCAACUAUGUGUAACAUAUUAGAAUAUGAAGUUAGAAAUAAUGUUUUGAUGUGAAAUUUUCUUAUAGAAUCAAUUCAUAUAUCAAUGUAAAGAAUAUAUUGAUUCCUUCACAUAGAAUUGGUAUACUAUAUAUUUUUUUUAAAUCUUUUAUUGUAGAUUUCAAUUAUGAAAUUUGUUGCAUAAAUUUACAAUAGGAAAAAAUAUUCUUUUCUUACAAUUUGAGAGGCUAAUUCAACUUCAAUGCCUUAAUAAAAUAUCAAAUGGUAAAGCAAUGAUAUCAUCAAAUACCAAUUAAACUAAAGAUGUUAAAAUUGUGGUGAAUUAUAAACAAUUAAAUUAUAUCACAAUACAACAACCUAAAACAAAACUUAUUAGAACAUAGUAUUUUAUCCUUAAUUACAUAUUAAGCAUAAAUACAUAUAAAUUAUAUAUAAAUAUGUAUUUACAUAUAUAUAUAUAUAUAUAUAUAUAUAUAAUAUUUUUUUGUCAAUCUUUAGUCAUCUAUUGCCAUAAAGAUUGUCUUAUAUAGAGUUUGUUCUACAUGUACUUCAUCAUUUAUCUUUUGAAUUGCUUUCAUUUGUUAUAUUUAAGGUAGCUUAUCCAUACUUGAUCCACCCAUCUCCUCUCCUCCCUCUAUUUUUGAUCUAUAGGGUGGAAUAUUUUUGCAUGUUUGGCGUCCUAUUUAUGACUAUGUUUGACAUCUGAUGGUUGAAAAUAGGUUAGGAACUAGUUAAAUAAUGGUCAGUUAUGCACAAUCUAUAAAACACUGUACUAGGAAUGGGCAUGCUUGAACUAUUAAAUUUUAAUUAUGUAUUGAUGGAGUUGCAAACAUGAGGCAGUUGAUAAUUAUAUGUUCAUGAUGUAGUUGAGGAGUGUGAUUGUAAUCUUUAGUACUGCAUAGGUAAUAUGGAAAAAAUCCAGAAAGUUGUAAUUGGAAAUAAAAUAUUGCAUGCUCUCAACUUCUCUACAUUUGUAGUUGCAUAGCUCAAUUGUGAAGCAAGGAGCACAACUGAUUUUAGUGUUUGUAAGUUAAAUUUGUUAGUAUUCAAAGUGGCAUGCAAUCAUCAAGGGAACGCACAUAACAUGGCUAGUUUGCAUUUCAUUGCAUUGUCUAGCAUAUGACUUGCAAUUCAUGAGGGACAAUUAUUUUUUGUUUUGGAGCCCAUUUCAAAAUUAUAUUAUCCCUAUACAAUCCAUGUUGCAAUUGCAACAAUUGCCCAUCUAUCCAAAUCUUACAAGUUUGCAUCACAUUCCAAUACCUUAACUAUGGCCUAUGCAAUCCAAUGGAGGAGAGAGAUCUUAAGAGAGCCAUUAGAGUGAGGCCGGAAGAUAGAAGAUGUGUAAAACAAGGUUGGAGAUGAGUAUAAAGAAAAAAGAAUGGCAACAAUAAUUCCACUAAAAAAUGGUAGAUUUGUUACAAAUCGAUGUUUGAAUUCUAGCUGCCUCAUCUAUACAUUAUCUAUAGGUAGCACAAAAUUAGGUGAAACUUGAUAGCAUAAUUAGGUACCACACUUCUCAAUUUUUUUAAAAGAAGGUUCUUGAUUUUGUAAACCACCAAUGAUUGGAAUUAGAUUGGCUUAUAUGUUGGAUUUAGGUUGAAGAGAAUUUUCAACUAGAACAUUUAUAUAAUUUUAUUUUUUAAGUUAAAUUGUGUAAAAAUUCAUGAAAUCUUCUUGAUUUCAAUAUCCUUACAUGGGAAUUAUUAUAUUAUAUUAUAUUUUAUUCAUUAUAUACUUAUUGCAUGUAUGCUGAAUUGCUUAAGUUACUAAUGGGCCAAUUACCUUAUUUUGCCUUUUAAUAUGAAAAUUUUGUUCUUUUAUUUCUUUCAUAUUCUUUGAACAUGUAUUAGAAGCAACUACAUUAUACUAUUGUGGUUGUUAUCCAAAUUACAAAGUAUAAUCAUAAUUUAUCUUGUUGCAAAGUAGAAUACUAUUACAAUAUCUAUUAUUUUUGCUUAAAUGUUUGCAUUUGAUUUCAAAUUAAAUGGCUUAUUUUGAAUUAUGUGUUUCCAAAACCAAGUAAUUUUUUUUAUUAAAUGUUAGAUACUCUUAUCAAUUUUUUUGAUAUUAAAAACAUGAUUUUUAUAGCAAAUUCUAUAUACUAAAUAAUAAUGUAAUUUCUCUUAUAUUUAGUGCUUCAUCCAAUGUACUAGUAAAAGAGAUAUUAUAUUGUAGCCAAAAAUUCAUACUUGGCUAAGCAUAGAAAGCUGAAUGGAACAUUUAAUUAAAAAUAAAUAAAAUAAAAUAAAAUAACUAUAAUUUAUGAUUAUGUUUCAAUUUUCUCAGCAUAAAUAGUGAUUAUUAACGAGUAAAAUAAAAAAAUAAAACAUCAGAAGAAUUAAUCAAGUACAUCAACAAUAAUCUAAAUAAUUAUUAUAUUAAUAUCAUAAAAAAAUCUUGUAUAAGUGUUAAUACAUAAAAUGAAUAAACACAAAGGAUUACAGUGCAAAAUCAAAUAACAUUUUCAGAUCCACAGAAUCAAUAAUUUAAUAAUAAUAAAAAUAUUUUUUUUAUGUGUAUGUAGAACUAUUAAAAUAACAAGGAUUAUACUUUCAUAUUAUUAUAACUACUAUUGUCCUAUAAAAGUAUCCAUGCAAAUAUUUUUAUAACUAUACAAUUACAUUUAGUUCAAAAUUCUAGUUUUUCUAUAUGGUUUCAUUAACCAGAUUUAUAUAUGUUUAGCAUAGAUAUUAAGUUGACAUUUUUCUAAAUCUUUUUUCAAACUCUUGAUACUAUUUCUUUGACAUGAAAAAAUAUAUAUUAAUAAUUUAUAAGGUUUACAUGAAAAAAUUCAAUAUUAAUGACAUUUUUUGAUUCAUUGCUUUUAUGAAGCUCACAGUGAAAUAGAAUAUAUAUAUAUAUAUAUAUAUAUAUAUAUAUAUAAGAGACCCUUGGAGCUCACAUUGAUCUUAGUGAAAAUUUGUAAAUUUAUUAAAUUUUUAUGUAUGUCAUAUAUUUAUCAUGUCAAGCAUUAUUUUAAAUUGAGCUAAUGAUGUAUCUGAGCCAAAAAUACAGAAUUACAUGUAUUAAUCUAUCUAAAGACAUCAAUAAUCUUAAUUUGAAUCAAAAUUCAACUAUGGACAUUUACUUAAAAAGUAGCAUCACAAAAAACAUUAAUUAAUUGUAGUACUCUUUCAAUCUUAUAUUGUUUUGGAAUUAUGUUUUUCGUAGAAAAAAUAAAAUACCAACAUGAUGUCACCUAAUGUUGAUUAUAAGAUUGAAAAUUAGAAUAAAAAAAUUAAAAAAAUAAAAAUCAAGUUAUAUAUUUCUAAGCUAUAAGUUUACGGAGGCUACAAGUUCAUAGAGGCUACAAAUAUGUUAUAUCAAAGAUUGUCUCAAUAGCUUAUUAUUUGUAUUUUCUGCAUGUUUUGAAUGUUUAAAUGAAGGAUGUUUCUAAUGCCACCAUAAUUUUUUAUUAUUGCCACCACAACCUGACACCCACUUGAUAUGUUUUUUUUAAUUUAUUUUUAUUCCAAACAAUAUAUUUUUUCAAAAAAAUAAAAGAAAAGGUAUUGAACAAAGAAAAGUUGAUUGGUUUGAAAGAUUUUGAACAAAAGUGGGAUGUGGUGGAUGAUGGUGACAAUAGCAAAACCUAUGAUCACACUAGCAAUAUCCUAAAUAAAUAUUAGAAAAAUAUCUAUUCUUUGAAUACAGAUAGAAAACUCUUAAAUAUAGAAUUAUUGUGAGCCUUGCAACAAUGGCUUCUUGACUUAGUUUUAUAUUAUGGUUCAUAUAGUAAUAGGCAUUGCAAUGAUUUUGCACUCCCUCAUUACUAAAUAAGUAUAUCAAAAUUCUAUGCAAUCAACACAAGAUUUAUAAAUGUAUCUAAAAAUUACAACCUUUAGUACACAUUUCUUUUGCAUCAAGAAAUAGAAAUAUUUUAGUAAUGAAGAUGUUAACAAAUACAUUUCAAAAUAUAUUAUAUUCACUACAUAAUUAAAAAAAUCUUUAUGACAUUCUAAAAAAUGAUAACAAAAACUGCAAUGGUUUUGUUGCACUCUUUUAAAAAAUAAGUCAUCUCUGUGGUCAUUUUAUCCUCUUUGGUUAGGCAUUCUUGUAUUUCUUGCAACAUUAGUUUUUUAAUUUGACACUACUAUAUUCUUCAAUCCAAUGAUUUUGGGUUCAUUACAACAUUAGAUAAUCAUAAAUUAAUGACAUUAUAUCACCAUAUAAUCCUCUACAAAGUACAACUUGUCAAAAGGAAAAAAAGAAAAAAGAAAAAAAGAAUUGAUAUACUGUGAAAGAUAUUAAUAAAUGGACAUAAAGUUGUACAAGAUUGCCUCUAGUCUUGUCUUUAUUUCAAUAUUAGCAAACAGAAAAAAUGCAAAAACAUACUUACGUCUAUUAAAGACUCCAGUUUUCAAAAUUUGAGGGUAUCAAUCUCGGUAUUUUUAUUUGUUUUAAAAGAUCUCUUAAUUUAUUUAUUUUUGAGUUUAUUUUAAAUAAAAACCCAAUGGAUUGUGUAUUGUAACAUUUUGUAUUUGGUAAUUGCAGCAAUAAUACAAUAAAAUAUGUAUACUUUUUUCUUUUAUUCAUGUGAUGAUUAUAAAUUUGAGUAGGACAUCACAACUCUAGAAAGAUUUUAUAAAGUUUACUUAACAGGAAAAAAAAUUCCAAAUAAAAAAAUGUUUUGUCCUUUUCAAACAAAUAUAUUUUUCAACUAGACUGUUUAAUUUUGUUUUCCUUUUACAUUGAAUCUUUUAUAUACAUAUAUAUAUAUAUAUAUAUAUGUAAGCACACACACACACACACACACACAUUGCAAUUGAUGUAAGGAAAUCGCUAAAAUAAACCUUCUUCUUUUCAUAUUGCCUUAUCAACCAGUAAAUUAUAAAUAUAAUUCAACCUUACGUAUUUUAAAUAAUUUGAAAGUUAGCUGUACUCUCUUCUUGAUCUUAAAUGAGCAGCCUUUAUUUUAUUAGCAAUUUAUCACAGUCCAUAGACACAAUUACAACAUAGGAACAUCGCUAGAUUAUUUAAUUAAUUGUUUUUAUUUAUUUGCAUGCUCUGGGCUCGAAAUCCACGUGUUCGAAACGAAUUUCGGAGGAAUACAAUACUGGAUAAAAAUUAGGAUCCCUAAAUCCCGCAUUUUAGUUUGAAGGAAUGCAGACAAGUAAUGGCAACAGGACGGGGGAGGAGAGGGGAUGCGACGACCGAACUGACUGACGAACGAACGGACGUCACGGCCGACUGAGAAACACGACGCUGGACGACAAAACAUCGGAGGCCGCGGCGUGAAUGAUCUUCUCCAAGACAUGCUCGCGAUGGGGUCCAAAGAGCCGCAAGCAGAUCGCAAGCGCGCGCUUGCGGGCCUUAUCCACAAACAAAGAAUGCUUCCCAAAGGCCUGGAUGGUGCGCUUUAGAACCACGGCGGCAAUCUGCAGCGUCUGCGGGUGUCCCGGCGUCACUGACUUCGCCGCAGCCAGCGCCAUUUGAAUGUGCGUCUUGCGGACGUGCUUCCGCCGACGCGGCUCGUCCAUCCCCCGCACGUCGACGAUGAGGCGACGCCCGUCGGCCAGGUAAGCGGAGAGGAACGAAGCGCGGAUCCAGUUCCGUUCGUCGCGUGUGAGCCCGCGCUCCUGGAAUAGAACGUUCUCGAUGUACUCAGCAAGCUGCGCCAGGUCGAUUACGGAGUAUGGACUUGAGUAUUUGUGCCAUUGGCUUUGUUGCUGCUUGGCGAUAUGCUGCACUUGGACGGUAAUGGCGGCCUCCGUCUCGCGAAGGCUGUAGGCGCGGGCCACCAAGCGCAGGGCGUCUUCCAUGCGCGCCUCAAGAGCACAGCGAGGACAAGAGCACAUGAAGUUCCAGCUAUGAAGCAUGCUGGCGCGGCGCUCUUGCAGCGGGCGGAAGAUGUCGAAGUAGGCCACCGUGAGCUCGUCGCCGCACUUGAGAUCCCGUGCGGCCACGAUGAUCAUGGCGUUGCCGAUCACCACCGUUGCGACGCUCGGUGUGCACGAGUGGUUCAUGAAGGAAGGGAGCAUCCACAGGCCGCAGCUCCAGCUCCGCGUGAUGUCCCUGGCGUUCUUCCUCGUGACCUGCGUGUGGCCGAAUGCAUUGCACUGCACUAUGCCGCAGAGUCGCGCGAUUUCGUUCUGCGGGAAGGCGGUCGUUGCUGGCACUGGAUCCCGUGGUGGUGUCUGAUUUGCUAUUUUUUCUUGGCGGAAUAGGCUGAUUGGUGGAACGGGAAGCUCUUCGCCGCCCCGGCUGCAUAAUGUGGCCAGCAUGGCUCGAAUGUGGGAGGAUCGCCAUGCUUCCUGUGUCAGGAUUUCUACCAGCUGCCCUGCUAGUACAUGGCUUCCCGUGUAACUUCCAGCUUCUAGAGUCAGAUUGCUUUCCACAAUUUCCGUCUCCACUUUACUCGCAAUUGCAAUCGGGUUGCAUAUUAGAAGAACGUCUCCAGCUGCUACAUUGCUCGAGAGAACCAAUCCCCUGCCCCGUCCAUCUCCGACUCUAUUGAUCUUCACAGAACCUAUCAAAAUUUUAAUACUCAAAUUUGACUCAACAUUCCUUUUCAAUAUUCAUGAGGAGUCCUGUCCUUCUUUGACCCAUAAUUUCAGCUCAUUUCAAGUAAUGUGGUGAUUAUCGGUCUCUGAUCUGUCAAUUCACUUUUUGCGGUAGUUAACCACGUCAGCACCGUUUCCGGACAUGGAAAGUUCAGUGCGUGAAGUUGGAACUGACCUAUGAAAUCUUCAACUAGUGGGGGCAACAUCCUCCCCCCAGAAAGACAAUAUUCUUCAAGGCUGGAUGCUGUGAUAGGUUGUGGUCCAACCUCCAAACCACGGUCUUUCUCACUUUUAGUCUCCCUGUUCGAUCUAUACAUUUGCAGUCCCAGCGGUUCCACCGCUUCGGGCAUGUCUUUCUCAAUGUUACCGGGUGUUUGAUCCUUGUCUCUGCUCUUCCCACAGUGUUGCAUGAACAGUUGCUGAAAUUGCUCAAUAUGUGGAUUCGGGAUUGCGAUUUUCUCGGGUGAUUGGGAAAGUAAUCCAUUGCAAGUUGCUUUCCGUCUCCAGCAAUUUUCAUUAUUCAAGAAUUUGAUCGCAGAUUUCUGAGGAUGAUCCAAUGUAUCUCGCGAAGGUUUUGGAGUAACCUUCGCUGCUUUCACAGGUAUGACAACAUGUGAAGAUUUGGUAGAUAGUUGUUGGCACCUGGCUACUUUCUUUGGCCGCAGCACGUUUUGUGUACUUCUGUUCUGUUUCUGAAGUCCGUCUAAAAUCCUUUUGCUCAUGAUGCUUAAUUCUUACAGCAACCAGUGCGAGAUCCAUCAAGAAGCGGAGCACGCAGCACCAGUUGCAUUACACCUGCGCAAAAUUUUCACCAACCGCCAUGACCAAAUCCUCUGCACUUCUUCCUCUGGACGUCCGAAUUUCUGCACCACCAUACUGCAAUGCUCACGGCUACUGUGCAUCGGAGUGAUAAUGCUCGUCGGGCAGGAGUAACGGAAUCUGAGACAAUGAAUAGAGAGGAGAUCCAAGGAGGCACAAGAAACAAACAUCCAUCCAGACUCGGCAGUCUCGCUCCCUCAUGCGGAGCUCCUCCCACGAUCUCCAUUAGUUCCAGAUUGCCAAAGAAUCGACGACACUCUGAUGACGAGAGUUACCACACAUGGGUGAGAAAUAUUUCAUUGGGGAAUUUCUUCAUGGUAAGUCAUUAAUCUCAACUGAACCAAUCUCUUAUUUCUUUUUAAAAAUAUGAAAAAAUUCCCAUGUAUAUAUAUAUAUAUAUAUAUAUAUAUAUAUCCCCUACUUAGUUCCAUUUUGCAUAUGUUCAAUUUUAUUGACCAAUGUAAUUCAAUCAUAUUAGGUUUAGAUUUCAUGACAGCAAGUCUAUUCCAAGUCUAUAUAUAUAUAUAUAUAUAUAUGUUAGAGUUGGUCUUGUGGAUCAAUGAUUUUUAUCUUAAUUUUAGUUUUUGAUUUUUUUUAUAGUUUAAAUAUUUAUUAUAAUAAAUAAGUAUAUAUAUAUAUAUAUAUAUAUAUAUAUAGAAACAAAUAUUUAAACUAGAAUAAAAUCAAAAACUAGAAUUAACAUUCAUCUAUAUAUAUAUAUAGAAGAAUAUUAUAGAUGCAUGCCUUUAUUAAAUAGAUUCACCUUUGAUGAAGAAUAUAUUAAUCAUGAUAAAUAUGGUUAGUUUUUAUUAGUUGUAGAUUCAAUAGUGAAGAAAUAAUUCUAAAAGUUAUUUAUUUAUUUAUUUUUAUGAUGGUUAAAAUAAGUUAAUUUAGUAAAAAUUUAGAUCUAUUUAAUAUUUUUUAUACAUGUGUAUAUAUAUAUAUAUAUAUUUGUAUUGAUUUCAAAUGUUAUUAGAAACAACAAUCAUUAUUUGUUUGUAUCCAAAUCUUACUUGAUUGCAAAGAAAUUCAACUUGUGGACUUGAUUAAUCAUACAAUGUGACUUUUAGGAAAUUGUAAUAAUUCAAUCUAUGUUGAAAUUGAGAAUUAAUCUUUAAAAGCCAAAAAUACUACAAAUCUUCUAUUAAUAUGCUUAUUUUUAAAGGAUUUAUUUUACUUUUUAUACAAGUAUUAUGACCACCAUCUUUUAUUUUUGAUUAAUAUAUUAUAACAAGUCAAUAAAUUCUAACAAUAAUUUAAAACAUAAAUUUUGAUAUUUAAUUUUUUAAUAAUAAAUAGUAUUUUUUAUAUAUCUCUAAUAUUUAUUAUUAAAAAAUGAAGUAUUAUGAUUAUUAAAAAAAAUGAAGUAUUAUGUUUAUUAAAAAAUAAUCAUAGGGAGUGUUAAAGUUUUAUAUUAAGACAUAUCCUAUUACACAAAUCAUGUAUUAUGUUUUCUAAUGAGAUUGUGGAAGCUUGGAUUUUUAGCUUUAAACGAUAUUUUAUAACUUAUUAAUAAUAACAUUAUAAAAAAAUGAAUAGAUUUUAUAAUAUUAUUUUAUAAUAAAUAAAUAAAUUUACAAAUGAGAUUUUUAUAUCAUAAUUGAAAUUCUUAAGCACAAUAUAAAUAUUCAAUUCAUUCAAGCAUAUAUUUGGAAUAGAUAUUAUACAAUUAUUGGUUUGUUAUUGAUUUUAUUUUUAAUUGUUAAUAUUCAUAUAUUUAUAUUUAGAAAUUUUAUAAAAAAAUAAAAUUUUAAGAUUUCUUAUUAUUAUAAAAUUACUUAAUAUACAAGAUGAAUAAAACAAGGAAUUUAAGAAUACCAUUCAAUAAUAAAAUAUAACUUACACGUUUAUAUUUAUUAAUCUAAAAGUCAAUAAUAUCAUCUUAUGAAAAAAUAGUCUAUAUAACUUUUGCAUACUUGGAGAAUUUUGGCAUCUAAUGGAUAUUUAUUUUAUUAAAAAAAGAUGUAAAAAUAAGUUAGAUAUAGCUUUUUAAUUAUGAUUAUGAUAUUACACAUAAAUCAAAGAUUGCAUGUAACCUUGUCGUAUUAUGUGUGUUCUUGCUUGAGAAUGCAUUAAGCACUUAAUUAUAGAAGGUAAGUAGAAAUGCAACAAAAAUCCUACCAAGUCUAAUAGAAUCUUUAAUAAAAUUUAAAUAAAACUUAAUAAUCCUAAUUAAACUUUAACCAAUUCAAAAUAAAUGUAACAAAAGUUAGAAAAGAAUAACAAAGAAGUCUUUAAUUAAUCUCAAAGCAAAUAACAAGAAAUAUUAAAAAAAUAUAAAAUCAAUUAUAAUUAAUUCUUAAUCAAAUACUAAAUCUUGAAUAAAACUCUUAAUAACCUUACAGCAGAUCAAAAUUCAAUAACAAAUUAUUGAACCAUUGACUUUGAUUCAAACUUUUCAUACCUUAUAACAACUAAAUUAACACUAAGCACAAAUGUUUUGAAGAAGAUCUCAAAUACCAAAUAAAUAAUAAAUACUAAAAUGUGCCUGAGUGUAGGCUAACAUUCUUCUUAAAUCUUGAUGUAGAUCUAAUUGAGCCAUAAUCUUUAAUUACAUGAUAAUUGUCACAUGAUGUUGCAAUAAGUGCCAAAUCUUACCAAAUGCAUUUAUUUUAAUUUAUUUUAGUAGAUUUUAUUAAAUAAAUUUAUUAGUGUCAGCUACAAUUUAAAGACUUAAAUAAAAAAAACUUCCUCACCUUGACAUUCUUAUCAAGUCAAGUCUUGUCAAUAAUUUUAAAAGAUAAAAAGCUGUUGUUAUACAAUUUUCCUUGGCUAUGGUGAUAAGCCUUUCAGUGUAGUUUUAAGAAUCUUUUGAUCUUUAUUGAUUCCAAUGCCACAAUGAGGUAGUUGUAGGAUUCAUAGAAGUAUUUAAAUAGUCAUAAUAACAUUAGUAUUUUCUCUUCACUUACUUAUAAUUUCAAACUGAUUUAUAAGUAUGUUCAUCUUAUUGAUGUACACUUUGAGGUCUUUGUCUUCUUCCAUAUGUCACAAAUUUACUUAGAUAUUAUAGUAAAUAGUUAUAGAAUUAGAUAGAAAUAGAUAGAAAUAGAUUAAAAUAGAUUACUUUUAAAAGAUCCUUUAGAAAAACUUCAUAGACAUUGCUUGACUUUACAUCUGUUUGUAGUUGAUUGGUAGGUUAGAAACUUAGUCAACAAGUUAACCAUGUAUUGGUAGUUUGCAAAAUAAGCUAACUAUGUGGCUCACAUAUAGAAAACUUAUCUUACAAGUUAAGAUACGUGUCUUGCAAAGUCAGCAUGUUUUAGAGGUCUUUUAGGACAUCACCAUGUUGCUCCUAGUUAAGACUAUAUAUGGAUGCAAGAGUGAAGCCUUCUUCACUCUUAUCUACACUUUUUUAGUCCAUAGUCUUGUUUCAAGUCUUUUUAGUCUUCUUGUUUUUGGCAAUAGUCAUUCAUAUUCAAUAUUAUAUCAUCUUUGAGUGAUUUUUUAGUUCCUUUCAAUGAUACAAGAGUGUGUUUAGGAUUUUCUUUUUUCAAGAUUCAUGUCUUAGACAAUGUGAUAAGAGCGCUAACAUACUAUUUUUAUCUUCUUGAAAAUUGAGUAGAUUAUCUCACUUCUAUUCUUGUAUUUUUUAGGUUGUAGACUAUCCACCUUUUAAUCAAAAAAUCCUCUUUUUUAACAUUGAACUUUUCUUUAAAGAAAGUAGAUUACCCUUCCUUGUGGAAAUUUUUAAUAGAAAGUGUAGAUUAUCUUCAUUUAAUUUAAUUUUUAAAAAUUCUUUGAAUUCACUAUGAAAGAAAAUAUUAUAGAUGCUAUUCUCAUCAGAAAGGAGGAUAGAUUUGCAACUAUUAUUGUUCUUCAUGAGCUUAUGAACACUCUAAGAGUAAAAAUCUCAUAUAUUUCUAAUGCCAAUCAAGGAGGUACUAUACCUAUGCCUAUGGAAGAAGUCUAGAAUCUACAACAAUAAUUUAUAUAGUUCAACAAAGUAAAUACUAUUAAUUUGAAGAAGGAAUUUACUUCUCCACCAACUUUUUAUCACAUCGACUUUUCUAAGGCAUUUUUUAUAGAAAUAUAUGCAUCAAACUUUAUCUUUGAUGUUAUAUUGUCACAAAUAAAAACAGAUGACAAAUUCCAUCCAGUAGCUUUUUAUUCCACAAAAUUUUUAGCAGCUGAGAUUAAUUGUGAAAUCCACAAAAAAAAAAUAAAAAAAUAAAAAAAUAAAAAUUCUUGCAAUUGUGCAUUCAUUUCAAGAAUGGAAUCAUUAUCUAAAAGACACUUCAAGUCCAGUUAUAGUAUAUACAAAUUUCAAGAACCUUAAGUAUUUUAUUUUGCUCGUCUUUUGAAUUGUUGCUAAGCCUGUUGGAAUAUGUCAUUAUCAAGAUUUGAUUAUAAGAUCACAUAUCAACUUAAAAAAUAACAAGAUUUAUCAGAUACUCUUUUUAGAUACUCUUAUCUUCCACCAAAAGAAGGAGACACAUCUUUUGAUUAACAAAGAAUAAUCUUCUUGAAGCUAGAGCAUUUUCAUCUUUGAAUAAUGAAAUCAAAAUUGACUGUUGAUUUGACCUUUGUCAAACAAAAUCAAUCAAGUAUGUCCUCUGAUUCUCUUGUUCAUGAAUAUCAAGAAUCUUUCUUUCAAGUUUCAUGAUGUUUCAAAGUUCAAAUUUAAGAAUAAGCUACUUUAUUUCAAAAGACGCCUAUAUGUUCCAAAAGAAGAAGCAUAUUUACGUGUUCUUCAAGCACAUCAUGACUUUCUAAUAGUAAGAUAUUUUAGAUACAAUAAGACUUUAGAGCUUAUAUUUAGAGAUUUUUGGUGGCUACAAAUGUAAAAAGUAGUAAAAGACUUUGUCUAGUCAUGUGACAUUUAUUCAAGAUCAAAAACUCCUUGUCAUCAAUCCUAUGGACUUUUUCAACCAUUACUUAUAUCCAAACAAUCAUGGUCUUUUAUUUCUAUGGAUUUUAUUAUAGAUCUUUCAAGUUCAAGUUCAUAUGACUCUAUAUUUGUAAUUGUAGAUUGAUUCACCAAAAUGACACAUUUUGUACCAUGUAUAAAAUCUAUUUCAGGUGAAGAAACAACUAAGCUUUUCAUUGACAAUACCUAUUACUAUCAUGGAUUACCAAAGGAUAUUAUAUUGGAUAGGGAGACUCAAUUUGUAUUAAGAUUUUGGAGAACCCUAUUCAAGAUUCUAAAGGUGGAUAUAAAGCUCUCUUUGGCUUUUCAUCUUCAAAUUGAUGGACAAAUAGAAUGGAUGAAUGAAGUUUUGGAGCAGUAUUUGAUGUGUACUAUCAACUAUCAUUAAGAUGAUUGGAUAAUUUUUUUGCCAUUGGUAAAAUUUGCAUAUAAUAAUUUGGUACAUUCUUCUACUCAACAAAUAUCUUUCUUUGCCAAUUAUGAUUAUCAUCCAUGACUUGGUACUUUUGAAUUUUCAAAAGUUAAUAAUUCUAUAGCGAAAGAUUUAGCAAAUCAUUUGUUAGAGCAACAUGAAAAAAUAAAGAUACAAUUAAAGAAAGCUCAAGAAUGACAAAAGACCAACAUAGAUGCCUAUCGCAAGGAGCAACCACAAUUCAACGUAGGUGACAAGGUAUGGUUACUUUGUUACAAUGUCAAGACUACUUGUCUUUGUGAUAAGUUGGACUAUUAUAGGUUGGAGCUUUUUCAUAUUUGUGAACAAAUCAAUCCUAUUGCUUAUUAAUUACAUCUACCGGAGUCUAUGAAGAUCCACCAUGUAUUUCACAUAUCCCUUUUUGAGUCGUAUAAGAUAAUAAAUAUCUCCAAAAGAAGCCAAAUGCCACGCUUCUUAUAGAAAUAGAUAAUAAUCAAGAAUUUGAAGUAUAAGAAGUCUUAGUUUCAAGGCGACGUUGAAAUAGGUUGGAAUAUCUUAUUAAUUGGUAUGGAUAUGAUAUUAAUGAAUGUACAUGGGAGCCAUCAAAGAAUCUUGCAAAUGUAAUAAAGAAAUUUGAAUCCUUUCAUCAAUCACAUCCAUCAAAAUUAAGAUGAAGAAUAACAAAUCUUUGCUAUAAAAGAAACAAGACCAAAAGAAGAUAACACUCUACUUUCUAUCCUUCUUUGUAGCUUCUGUAUAGUUAAGAAGAUGGAGAACCAAUAACCAGCAAAUCUAACUCAAGAGCUUUUAUUUGUAGAUUUACUAAACAAGACAUUGAGAUUGUCACAACCUUCAAGAUGAUGAAAUUGAAAUGAAGAUCCUCAAGAAUAACAUGUCUUUUCUCAAAUAGAUGGCAAGAUACAAUGUGUUUGGUAUCAUGACCUUAGAAGAGACUCCUAAUGUUUAGUGAUUUUAUUAGAAGUAGGAAUAAUUCUUGAUGGUAUUCUAAAUAUAUUAUUUGAAGGAAGUUACAAAGGCCUCAACAAUGACCAAAUAAUAGGGUGGUCUUUUUGCCUUAGUAUGGAAUACUAUCAAUAGUUGAGAGGGCCUAUCAACCAUCUUCAAAGAGAACAAAGUUUGGAGCAUGUGGUAAAUAUAGUUUGUUGCAUCUUAGAUUUCUUCAACAUAUGAACAUGGUUCCUUGUGGAACUCAUCCUUAGAAGGGGGAAUAAUGUCACGGACAUACAUAGGGAUUUUAGUAAAUCUAUAUGAUUAGGUAGGAGUAGAUAAAAAUAGAUAAAAGUAUGUUAUCUUCAUAAAACCUUUUAGAAAAACUUUCUAAAAGCUUCAUAGAUAUUGUUUGAUUUUACAUGUAUUUGUAGUUGAUUGGUAGAUUAGAAACUUAGUGAUUAAGUUAACAGCGUAUUGAUAGCUUGUAGAACAAGCUAAUUAUGUGGCACACAUAUAGAAAACCUGCCUUGCAAGUUAAGAUACAUGUCUUGCAAAGUUAAUACAUUUUGGAGGUUUUAGAAGACAUCACCAUAUAACUCUUACUUAAGAGUAUAUAUGGAGGCAAGAGUGAAGCCUUUUUCACUCAUGUCAAUGCCUUUUUAGACCUUAGUCUUCUUUCAAGACUUUCUACUUUUCUUGUUUUUGACAAUAGCCAUUCUAAUUCAAUAUUAUAUCAUCUUUGAGUGACUUUCUAGUUUCUUUUAGUGAUAUAAGAGUGUAUUGAGGAUUUUCUUUCUUCAAGAUUCAUGUCUUUGAUACCAUGUAUCUUACAUGUUACAUAUGGAUCAAAGGUCGUAUACAAUGCUGCCAUAUAAUUCUUAAAUUAUAGCAUAUGUAGUAGUAAGAAUAUACCCUUCUUUACUUUUGUUGAUUUUUUAUUUUAUUUUUAGUAUAAUUUCAAGAGAUUUUAGUUAUUUAAUCUUUUAAAAAUAGAAAUUUGAUCUUUUUUUUAGUUAUAUAUAUAUAUAUAUAUAUAUAUUUCUUUUUUAUCUUUUUUUAGAAAGUACCUCAGUUGAUCUUUUAUAUUUUUUAAGUUUUUAUCUUUGAUACUUUCAAUAUUGAUUCUAUAAGAAAUAUUUUGAUUUACAUUGUUUAAUCUUAGAAUGAGUAUUUUUAGAAGUUUAAAGACUUUGAAGGUCUUUUUUAGGAACAAAAUGAGUCUUUUAUUAACAUAUUACAUAUUAACAUCAGAAGUGAAUAUAUAUAUAUAUAUAUAUAUAUAUAUAUAUAUCUAAGAAAUUUGAUAUGUAUUUGAAGAAUGAGAGAAUUUCUAGUCAAAUCAUAAUUCCAUACAUUCUACAAAAAGAAGAUAUUGGUUAAAGAUAAAAUUUUAUUAUUAUGAAGAUGUACAAUUUUUUAGUUAUGAAUUUUGAAGUGAAUCUGUUAACAAUGUUUUUUAUAUAAUAAUUUAGUAUUUGAUGAGUAUUUUUAUGACAAUGAUAUUAUAACAAGAUUAGAGUAGAAGAAAACCUUACAUUUUUAGACUUAAAGACCUUCAAAUGUAUUAUAUGUGUCAAGAUAUUAGAUUGUAUGAGGUUCAAAUUUGAUAGAUUAUAAAUUGUUUAUUGCUAGGCUAUUGUGAAAGUGCUAAAGCAUACAAAGUAUUAUAUAUGGAUAGCAAAAAGAUCAUCAAAAGUUGAAAUUUUUGAAUAUAAGAGUACUAUUAGCUCUUAGAUGUUUAUCAAAUUAGACGUAAAAGUGUGUUUUUUGAUAUAUUCUACAAACAAUACAAAUGAAAAGAAGACAAUGAAGCAUUGACAUCAAAUGAAGAAUCUAGAACUUAUAAGGAUAAGACUUUAUUAAUUCAAAAGACCAACAAUGACGAUUUAUAAGUUAAAAAAGAUGUUUUAUAUCAAAAUCAAUAUUAAAUUAAAAAAGAUAUUUUAAAAGAAUGAAGAACUUUAUUAGAAACAAUAGUAUUCACCAAGACUAUUCUUAUUGAAUGAAUGGAGAUAUUCCAAUUAAAAAACGAAUUUCACUUGGUAAAUGAUAUCAUAACUACAUUUUCUUCAAGUUAGUUGGAAGCAUGCAAAUGUUGCUCUUCUUGUUGGUGUCUUAUCUUUGUACAAUGCCAUAAAAUCCCAAGAUGCAAAGAAAGCCAUAUUAAAAGGAUAUGAAUCUCUUUUAGACAAUCUUACAUGAGAAUUGGCUUGUCAUAUUAUAAAUUGAUUUAGUAAUGGUUAUAAGUAGGCAUUUAUGGCUAAUAGAGGUGCAAAUAUUUGAAAAUCUACAAUAGAAUACAUAUUCUUUAUUGGAGUGAAAGCCAUCUCAGAGAAUUACAAAAAACAACCAACUAUUGCAAAAUUUACCAUACGAGUUAAGAUCAUGACAAGAAGUCAUUAUGCAAUUGAAGCAAUUUAAAUAAAAGAACUCUAAGAAGACAUUGGAUUUGUGCAAUUGGAUGCAACUUUAAUAUUGUGUGAAAAAUAAGAAUGUCUUAUAUUUGCUAAAAAUCUAAGCAUCGUUAAGAACCAAAUAUAUUAAUGUUUGAUAUUAUUUCAUAAGAGAGAAGAUUAAAAAUAGAUAAAUGAAUAUAAAGUAUAUUGCUACAAAAGACAUGCUUGAUGAUAUGCUUAUAAAGAUGUUAAGAUUGACAAGUAGUAAAGUAAGAAUAUUAAGGAUCAACAAUUUUUUGACUUAUUACCACUACUUAAAGUUUAAUCUUAAUAAGUUGCUAGUUAUUAAAAAGUAGCAAAAGCACAAACAAAGUUAUUUGGGUGAUGCAAAGUAUAAUAAAGAUUAUUAUAGAUAAAGUUCAUUUAUAUUACAUCUACAUUCAUUAAGACAAAGUAUGAUAAAAAUUAUUAUAAAUAAAGUUUAUCUUUAUAAAGUGUAAUCAUCCACUUGUAAGCAAAGGGUGUUAGAAGUGAGAGUUAUCUUAUUCUAUACUUCUCUUUAUGUGCAACCUUGCUAAUGACAAAUAUUAAAACUUCUUACUUCUCUUUUUUUUAUUUUUUUAUUUUUUUAUUUUUAUUUUAAUAAUAAUGGGUGUAAAUAUAAUUUUUUGACUUAAAAAUCAAUUUUAUCUUGUUUGUUUUAGACUAAAAAUUUGAAUGCUUCAAAAAACACAUAAUGCAAUAUAUCAAAGAAUAACAAAUAAUUUCAUUAAUUUCUGUAAUUUCUAAUAUAUUUAAAUAGAAUCAAUUUAGAUUCUUAAAUGUAAUUAUAUAUCUAUUUAAUCUAUAAUUAAAAUUGCAAGGCCCAACAUUAGUUUCUUUUCAAUACCUUAAUAAUCUAAAUGUUUAAACAAAUAGAUUUUUUUAGGUUUAUCUAAUAGUAAUAAUAAAUGAAUAUGUCAAUUUAUAAAAAAUUGAAGCAAUUAUGAUUUUUAAUAAUUUUUUUUCUUAACUCUAUUUAUAAAACAAAUAAUAUAUAUAGUUAAUUAUAUUGUUAGUUAAUCAUUCAAUUUUUCUUAUAUAUAUAUAUAUAUAUAGGUUUCAAAAAAAAUAAAAUGUCAUUUACUUCAUUAAUGUAUAAACUUAGUAUUUUAAAAACAAACUAUAAUAUUAUAUCACUUAAUAUAUGUCAUUUUUAUUUGAUAUUUAUAAUGAAAAUUAUGUUGUAAUAAUGUAAAUUAGAUAAAAAUUUGUAUGCAAAUUCUUUAGAACUAUUUUUUUUUGUUAAAAUGAUAUAUAUAUAUAUAUAUAUAUAUAGACAUUUGUAGAAUUAGGUAUUGAAAUUUUUGUACUGAUAAAUGAAAUUGAGUCAGACUUGCAUGUGUAAACUCCUCUCAAUUAAGUCUUUGGGAAAAAAAUAAUUAUUAGCAAGUUUGCUGGUACACGCAAGCACUCACAGGCACAAGUGUAAUCAAAAUGAAAACCAUUAGUAAAAUUGGAAUUAUGAAUUACACUUCAUUGAAAGAGUCUAAGUCUAAUUUAAAGAAUAGCUGUGCACUCAGAAAACUUGGUCAAUCACAUUUAGACCCUGAUGCAAACACAUGGAAAUAGUCCAUGAGUCCGUUGAAUAUAUAAAUUUGGAUUUCAAUCAAAUAUGGUGAGUGAACAGCCAACUUCUAUAUAUCCUCUUGGCGUGGCAUUGGUGCGGGGGGAGAACCACGCCGAUGUCAGCAGCUGACGUGGCAUCGAUUAAUUCGUUUAUCCCCUCGAUUACAUCCUAGUGAUGAAUGAAAUCUGCGCACUUUUACAUCAUCUGUUUAUUUGCCGCGCGGUGGUGAGGCAUUCCCACCGUAGAUGGCGAUAAAUCAAUGAUUACCGUCGAUUACGAUCGACGGUGUAGGGCUACAGUCAGAUAUCGAACGAUGUAAGGACUAUCGACUUGGUUGAGGGGGAGGGGAUUAGGGUUUGACGCCUUUCUCAUCGUGCAUCCGACAGCUUUGUUUGUUUGGAGACGCCCGCGUUCUUAUCUGUUUGGCGAGUUGGUUGUGUUUUGAGGGUUUGCGGAGCUCAUUGCCACUGUUUGUUCACGCUCUUCGUCGGGACUGCAGCCCGUGGUGUGUCUUUCUCCUGGAGUGUUGUUCUCUAAGGUUAGGUGUAGGGGUUAUCCGCUUGCCUGCAGCGAAGAUUAGACACCUUUCUUAGCAGUUGCAGCGGUCGGUGCUCGCAGCAGGAUGGGCGAUUCCUACCCCGAAACUGAGGAGUUGCUCGACUACGAGGAGGAGGAAGAAGCGGCGCCCGAUGCCGUUGCGGCGAAGACCAACGGCGAGACCGUCAAGAAGUAAGUUUUUCCUCCGACAUCGUCUGAUGUGUCAGUGUUUCGAGGGUUUCAUGGAUACCGCAGCUUGAGUAGUCAGAUUACGGUUACCGUUGCAUUCGUGGAGUUCUUUUGCAUGUGUAAGUAGCUGUCUGUGCAGUGGCCUUCGACACUUUCUUACAUCCGUUAGCUUCAUGGACUGAAGUUCGUGGUCGUCUUGUUAAAGAAGAGUCUGGGAGCCAUCGGAGAGUGGGAGUGUUUUCAUUUCUUUGUAUUGGGCGGAUGCGUUCUAUCUUUUUAUAACUUUCACAAGUGUCUACCCCUGAUCAACGUAGUUUAUGUAGCCACGUUGUUUUCAAGAGUGUAUGAUACCUCGGCUUGCUCCCUGGAUCAUCGUUUUUAUGGUUUGAUGUUUUUGUCUGUGCAGGGGCUACGUCGGAAUUCACAGCUCCGGUUUUAGGGACUUUCUUUUAAAGCCCGAACUUCUUCGGGCUAUUGUCGAUUGUGGUUUUGAGCAUCCAUCUGAAGGUUUGAUUACUCCUAUGUGUUAAACUAGUAAUUACGAAUGUUGAGAAGCGUAGUAUAAGUUGUUCGUUGUAUUUGAUUUAUUUUGAAUGUAGAGUUCCUUCUGACACCUAGGCGAUGAGGGCAUGGCAGCCGCGUUUCUGAUUGUUUGGAGCAAACUUUUGUCACUUGUCUUCCUAAUGGUCGUUAUUGAUGCUAGAUUUUCGGAUUAUCUAGUCUCUCGGUUCAUGCGUUUGCUUCUGCAAUAUGAUGAAUUGCGUUAAUCUUAUUAUUAAUGUUAUUUGCACUUUUUUCAGGUAAUAAUUUACUCCAGUUUCUUCGUCUGCCCUUUGGAGCCGUUUAAUCUGAACAUGUAAGCAUUUUAUGAGUGUGCCAUCUUAACACGGGCAAUACGCUAUGGGUGGUGAACCAGUCCAACAUGAGUGCAUACCACAGGCGAUUCUCGGAAUGGACGUUAUUUGCCAAGCCAAGUCAGGAAUGGGGAAGACUGCCGUUUUUGUGCUUUCAACUCUUCAGCAGAUUGAGCCUGUCACGGGUCAGGUCGCUGCACUUGUCUUGUGUCACACCCGAGAGCUGGCUUACCAGGUAUGAUUCAGAUAUCCUGGUCCGCUUCUUUUCUAAUUAUUGUGGUUCACUGUAAAUUCGGGUAGUCUUAGUUUCAAUGGCUGUGUUCGCUAGCGAUAUAUGUCCAUCUGAUCUGUACCUUUUGCAUCAUACAUUGUUUCAAUUUUUCUACCGUUGAGAUCGGGAUUAACUCCCAUUCUUAUUCAUUAUUGAAUUGUGUGCAGAUUUGCCACGAGUUUGAACGAUUCAGCACUUAUCUUCCAGACAUUAAGGUGGCGGUUUUCUAUGGCGGUGUUAAUAUCAAAACACAUAAAGAUCUACUAAAGAAUGAGUGUCCUCACAUCGUCGUGGGUACACCAGGCCGUAUUCUGGGUUUAGCAAGAGAUAAAGAUUUGAGUUUGAAAAGUGUGAGGCACUUCAUUCUUGACGAGUGUGACAAAAUGUUGGAGUCACUUGGUAUGGCUUUACUUCUCUAGAUGAUAGUGCCAAUAUUUCCCUUCUUGACUGCUGCACACGAAUUCGUAGGUUCAUUCCGUUAAAGAUGCUUGUUGGCUCGCAGAGAUCUAUCCUACCUGACAGAGUUUUUUCGUUAAAAUCCUUUAUCGUAAUUUGUAUAAUUUAUCUUUUGGAAGAAGGGAUGGCCUAUAUCACUGACCCUAAGUGUUUUGUAGACAUGCGAAGGGAUGUACAGGAAAUUUUUAAAUUAACUCCUCACGACAAACAAGUAAUGAUGUUCUCUGCUACAUUGAGUAAAGAGAUACGACCUGUCUGCAAGCGAUUUAUGCAAGAUGUAAUUUCUCGUGGCCAAGUAAACUCUUCACAAUUUCCGGGACAGUAUCUUCCUUGCUUGGUGAUGGCAGGCUGCUAAGGGUCUUUCCCCGGCAUGGCUGGUCACUUGUUUAGUGGGUGGUUGAUUCGAACACUUUCUGGCUCAGUCCAACUCAUGUGCCUGGGGCGGGCAGGUCACAUAUCAGGACACGAAUCUGGGAUGCAUGGUUUGGGUUAUGAUCUUGAGCCACAGCAGGUUGUUCCUACUAAGUCUAGGUGGAUGGAGCUGGUAGUUUAGGCAAUGUCGUACUCUAUCUGCGUAAGACAUGGAAGAAUAUGUGGGAGGUAUUUGUGUGUCCAGUGUUUGGGAAUCAGGAGAUAUUAUACAGACUUAUGCUUUUCUCUCUUCAAAUGUACCGCGGUGAUGAGGGGAUGCUUCGAAGAAAGCGUGAGUCGUUUCCCACAUGUGCAGUUGUGCAUCUUGGGUGAUAACCUAGCUUUUCUAACGGGAAGGCAACAGAGACGCUAUUUUUACACCAAGGCCUCCUCCCCACUUCUUCCAUGAUCCGCGUACAGUAGCUGCAGUCGUUUUAAUGCCGGUUUCUUUGGGGUUUCUGGAAGCUGCUAAGGGGAAGGAUUCAUCCUGGAAAGAUAUGGGGCUCCUUUAUGUUUGAUUGUGGCAGCUUUGGGAACUCAAUUUUGUCAUGAGGCGUUCCCGAUAGGAUUGCAGAGACAGCCACAAAAUCCUCACCUGUCUGUGUGUGUGUGUGCUCCUAUGUUUCAUUCUGGCGUUUCAUCUGCAGCCUAUGGAGAUCUAUGUGGACGACGAAGCAAAACUCACCCUGCACGGACUUGUUCAGGUAAAAAAAAGAAAAAAAAGAAAAAAAAUGUAAUGCGGAUGUAAAUUCCUUUUUGUAAUAUUUCAGUAUAUUUUAUUUCCUGGUACGAUGACAGUUGGUAUAUCUUUUCACCCGCUCUUACAAUGUAAUUUUCAUCGUACACAGCAUUAUAUCAAGUUAGGUGAGGUCGAGAAGAAUCGGAAACUCAACGACCUUCUGGACGCUCUAGAUUUCAAUCAGGUGGUGAUCUUCGUCAAAAGCGUCAGUCGUGCUGCAGAGUUGAAUAAGCUUCUGGUGGAGUGCAACUUCCCUUCCAUCUGUAUCCACUCUGGCAUGUCUCAAGAGGAACGGUGAGGAUCUUUCACAUUUUCUGCUCUCUGUUAUGUCUUGUUCCAACUAUCAUUUCUUUCUUUUAGUCGCUUUCCUCCAAUAUUGAGUGCGACAUUGUAUUGGUUGUUGAAUUGACGUGACAGUCAAUUACUCUGACAGAUUGACACGGUACAAAGGUUUCAAGGAAGGGCACAAGCGUAUACUUGUGGCAACUGAUCUUGUGGGCCGUGGCAUUGAUAUCGAACGUGUCAACAUUGUCAUCAACUAUGAUAUGCCAGAUUCUGCGGACACAUACUUGCACCGAGUAAGUUGUCCUCGAGCUCUUUUUUGUCUUUGCAGUACUUGUUUUAAGUGUGCCUUGCCCUGGAAUCCUGACGGUAACCCGUCGAGCAGGAUAUUGCUUUUUGUCUCCUGUUUUUACUCAAGUGUGGUGCCUCAUGAAAGUAUAGACUUGAGUAGUUGUUUCCUCUUUGUAAACCCAUCUAUAUUGCUGUUCAGGUCGGUAGAGCAGGUCGAUUUGGAACGAAGGGACUUGCUAUCACCUUUGUGGCCUCGCCUUCUGAUUCUGAUGUCCUCAACCAGGUACUGAGUAAUUUCCUCGAUUUGCUUACAUCAUGAGCGUUAAGAUGUUAAAUCAGUAAUUUGUUUUUUUAUUAUUUUUUCGCUACGUGAUGUGAGGAUGCAUUUUGCUUACAGGUGCAAGAGCGCUUUGAGGUGGAUAUUAAGGAGCUGCCUGAGCAAAUCGACACAACUACCUACAGUAUGUUGUGUUUAAGUUGAUCUUCCAAUUGUAUCGAUACCCUAAAAUUGAUUUACUGCUAUAAGCUAGGUUUAUAUGAGUUUUUUACUCAUCACACUGACUUACGUCUAUAUGACUUGCAGUGCCAUCAUGAUGUGGAGCGAAGUCUGGCUCUGACGAGUAGGAAAAGCUGGCUGGCUGUUGAGGUCCUGAAUCAGCAACCACUGAUAUAGGGUGGCGAUCGUUAGUUUCUUUUGGAGUGUUGUAGUAGCGGAUUGUGCAGAUGAUAGCUCCUGCGUUCUCUUGUUUAUUCAGAUUGGAUAUAAUCUACUUUUUGCUUCGGCUGGAGCAGUGACACGUGCUUCGCCUUCUGUAUGCCUCAAAGGAAAUCCAGAAAAAGUUGUUGAAAAUGCUGAUUUUCGUACUCUAGUUUUUUACACCGUAUUCGUACAUAAAAAAAUUGACGUCUUCUACCAAUGGAAUCUUAGUCAUAUCAAUACACCGUGUCUACAGUUUUCGUAUUCAAAUUGUUUUCUUCAAUACCCAUCACUGAAUCUAACCUCUAUUUCAGCCCCAGUGCCCGUAUCUUCGGUAAGAGUUGUCUGCCACCAGGAUCUACCAGCGAUAGCUCACGCCUAUCCUCUAAUUAGAAGCGGGGAACAGUGAGCGGGUCACAGUGAUGAACAUUUCUUUCGAUUCCUUUUCUGUUUAAAAACCUGCCGAAUUCGGGUUAAGAUAACAUGCGAAUUUGACGUCCCUUUGAGGGUGGCUGCAUCCAAACGGUCAACCUUUGAAGUAUCGGUGUGAUGAAUCCGUCAGCCUCGCAUCAGCAUGACGGAUGCACAAGCAUCGAUGCCGACCUGUUACCGCCGAAAUGGCUCAACGUUCCCUCUUGGGGCUCGACGCGGCGCAAGGGCAUUUUUCUAUAUUGAUGCUGUGUCUAAUCCCGAGAUUGUUCCUCAUUGUGGUGGUGGACAGUUGAUCUUGUAAGUGGGUCGUAAGCCUCGGAGGCCUAGAAGUGAACUGGGGCCACCUGCAAUGAUUUUCGCAUUUGAGAGCCUUACGGAGAAUGCCAGACAGGCAUGCAUAAACUUAGAUGUCGCAGUGACGCACCUCAUGUGCUGCUACGCAAUCCCAGGGUCUCCUUGUAAAGGAUUGAGGCUCCAGGAAUUAGGGUAUUUUGACCAAAAAUAAAUCACAUACCAUGACUUUCAAGCCAAGCACUUUAGCAUAGAUUCCUGAUUAAAAACUGAACAAAAUAACCGUUUUACCUUGAAGAGCUUGUGAGCGUUUUUUAAAUUUUUUCCCUUUUUUUCUUUUGCCAAUAAUUAUGAGCAUAUUUAUUAUAAAUUUUAAAGUUCUAACAUUGAUUUAGGGUGUCUUUAUACCUAAAACCCACCUUUGACAAGCUCUAAACGAAUAGAACAAUAAAAGUUUUCUACUUGGUGAAGAAACGUAUUCAAUAAAAAUAAAAAUAAAAACUUGUAUUAUACUUUUUAAGAUAGUACAAAGUGAGAAGAGCCAUGGAAUGAACCAAAUUACAUUUUCUAUAAUAGUGCAGUUCGAAACUGAAUGUGGAUAAUAUCAGUAUCUGUAAAUUAGGCCAGUUGGAAAAAAUGACCAAUUCUAACAGUUACGUAAAAUAACCAUUUUUAAAUUUAUAAACAUGUUUUGCCAAUUCCUGACAUUUACUUCAUAAGUUUCUAUAAAAAUCACUUUGUAAGAUGAACCUGACCCAAAUUAUGGGAAACAACACCAUUGAGUAUAUUCAGUACAAAAACAUACCUUAUAUUCUUAUAUUCUCCUCUCACAGCCUUAGAGCUAGUUCCACUAACUUCAAAAGCAACUAACCAAAAAUUAAUUAAUUAAUUAAUUAAUUUAUUUUUCUCAAUCUUAUCAACUCACAAGCUUUGAAAGGCGUGCCUUCAUAACCCUCUUUCCAAUCUUAAAGACCCUCUUCCUUUACUCUUCAUUUGUUUUCAUUUCCUAUUCAUUUUUCACCUUUUCAACGAAAAAAAAAAAAAAAAAAAAAAAAGUGUUUGCAACAUCGUCUUCUAGAGUUAGAGUAAGAUAUGUUUAUCUUCUGAAUCUUCGGAAGAAUUCAUGACAGUUGGUUGGAUGUGAGCGGAAAGCAUCGAUCCAGCGAAACUUUAGAGAAGCGGAGGCCUAAAAUUGGAAGAACCGAGGACAGAAGCGGAGGAAGAAGAGUAACAAAUGUGUCGGGUGAUGCUGCAAUGAAUCGUAUGAAAGUGGGUUUUUUACCAAAAUAUGCUGACAAAUGAUAUAAAAUUAAUGCAUUUCGGAGUGAAUGGUGGAGUCGUGUACAAAACGAGGAUUGCGGGACAGGUACAAAGCGGGGUGCUUCACCGUGCAAUGCAUUGCUGGGGCAUGGCGGAGGAACACGGGACUAGGUUGACGAAGAUUGGGAGAGCAACAACAUGACAGUUGAGGAAGCGUUGUUGUUGGUUGGAGAUUGUUGUUGUAGAGAGCCACCAUGAUUCGAGGGAGGUGGGUCGCUUGUGAGUACAGGACUCAUGUGUCGGUAGCGGACAGGAGGAGGAUCUCCAGCGCAUUUUGUGGCGCUUCGCGAGUGAAUGGUGCACAUUGUGCAUGGAAACCUGCGACUCGUGGUACAGGAUACUCUGAUUCUGCAACUCUUGUGAUGGAGUGUUUUUUGUGGGCUUUGAUUCUUAGGGUUGUGCCCAGUGUACACGCUUCUAUUGAAUGGGUUUGUGUUCUCUUUUUGCAAACAGAUACAGUAUGGUGUUUUUAUCGAUGGGUUCUGCGCUGCUGCCAGUUUAUCUCAUGGAUAGCUCGCGACUUGACUGUUUUUUUGGAUUCAUCUCUGAGUUGCUGGCCUAGUUGCUUCGUUUGUGCAGCAAGCGUUGUCACGAGAAUCGAGCUGUUCGAUCAGCUGAAAUUGAGGGUUUCUCGAAAGGAGGCAUCCGUUUUACCCAGCUUCGUUUCCGCCUGCAGUAUGAAAGACCGCUUGGAGGUUACGGACGUUACAUCGCAAGCGUUGGUAAACCAAUCGAGUACGCUAUUCAAGGAAGUCUGCAUCAAUCCGAAGGCCCUCUCUGCCGAAGCCGCGGAAUUCAUGCUGAGUGUGUCUGCUUCUCAAAGCGUUAUCUCCAAAGAAGAAUCCGAAGACGCUAGUUACGCUGACUUAAUUCUCCAAGGAGUUCAUCCCACGAGCUUUGGAACAGUUUUGUUGGUAUGCACAGUCACAAUGUUUGCUACUCCCGUUGAGGAGUCGGACAUUGAGAAAGCGCGCAGGAGGGCGUUGAUUUGGAAGAAAGCUGUCGGGCCGCUUUUCUCCGUUUUGCCUGUUGUGGCCGGCUAUGACCUUCCGCCAGAGAUUUCCGCCAUUUCCAAGGACUUCGGUGUUCUCUGCUUCGAUGUAAGUAAGUAAUCCGUAGAAGCUUUGUAGAAAGAGAGAGCUCAUGUGCUUUGUCUAUUGAUGGAUAAAUUCUGACUGCAGCCAACGGGUUUUAAACCAUGUGGGACUUUAAAUUGUUGGGAAAUGGAAAGUCCCACAUUGGGUGGAAUUCCUUCAUAGCAAUAAAACCCUUUGGUCUUUUUCUUGUUUAGCUUUUUGCAAGCCUCACAUCAAUCUUGUUUCGGACCAAAAACCCGGAGCCUUCCUGCUUCAUCUUCUAGUUCAACUUGGGAUUGAUUUCCUCACUGCAUGUUGAUUCUCUUGAAACGAUACUAGCUGCUGCUUCCAGUUGAGUUGAUACAGCUUUUUUUCUUUUCCUGUCCUCAUGUUUUACUGUCCAUUUCCCAGAGAAUUGAGGCUCUACCAAAUCUCCUGCUCCUUAAUAUGCACUGAAUGUGGGUCGAGGCCUCAUCUUUGCUCACCAGUUUCAAAAUACACACAACUCUGUUAAUACCCCGCAGAAUGAAUUCGGCUGCAACUUGGAAGUUUGCUCUAUCUAGACCGAAAGAGCCUUUUGUGGUUUUAAUGCGACGCAAUGUCUGUAAUGAAGCUUAUUAUCUCGAUCUGUUCGUAGCAAUCUAGUGCAACGUAUUCGACUUAUAGAAAGAGAGUUGAUGGAGUAGGCUGGUUGUACAACAUUUAUUGGCAAAACCGGGCAAAACUAUUCCAACAUCUUAAAUUUUUGUCUCUGUAGUUGUAGGCUGGCAAUUUGAACCUUGUUGCAAAUGGCAAUUUGAGUAAAUUGUGCUUUGUUUUUAAAGUGGUUUUUACACCUAGAAGUCCAUUGUAAAAAGUCAUGGUUCAAAAGCAGUAUCAAAGAUUCUCAUUUAAUGAAGAAAAGCCCUCCUUUGGAAGCCUUUGGAUAUACUGUAAUGAGAAGAGGUUGUAAAAUGAAUACAAUCAUUUCUUUAUUACAAGUCUAAAUGUGUCAACUCAUAUCUUUAUUUUAACAAUUAUAAAGAAUAUAUAUAUAUAUAUAUAUAUAUAUAUAUAGUUCUAAAAAUUAUUUUUAAUGGUUAUUUGUAGCAUUUGGGACAUAGCUUUUUUUUUAAAAAAUAACAUGUUUAUUUGAAUUAAGCCAAAUGGAAAUUCCAAAAGAAAAUACUAUCUAAAUUAUACAAGAAAAAUAUAUUCUACCUCAAUUUUUCCUCUUAAGGUUUUCAGGUUGAAUCUUUCUAAGUGUAAAACUAACUCAUAGAGUCUUCUUGAUGUUCUAUUUAAAGUAUUAAAAAUUAAAAAAAAAAUUACUCUAUUUUUAUAAGACAAAAAACCUAAACUAAAUAGAAUUUAAUGAUAUAAAAUAGAUUAAUGAUUUUUUUAAAGAAAAUAUACUUGAGGUUGAAUAAAAUUUUCUUUGGUUGUAGGUUAGGUGGUUUAUGAGUUUUUAUUUUUAUUCUAUUCUUGUGAAUUAUAUAUAUACAUAUUAUAAUUUUUUUAUAUGAUAUAUAAUUUUUGACCAUUUAAAAUAAUAUAUAAGAAAAUACAUUGUAGACUAAUUUUAAGAAAUAUUAAACGUUUUACAAAAAUAUAAUUUAAUUAAAUAAACUAUACUUUGACUUAUUAAUGAAAAAGUUUAUAAGUUAAGAAAAGAAAUUAAAAUUUCAAUCAAUGCCACGAUAUAAAAAAUAUAGGAUUACUAUGAUUAGAAUCUCUUUUUAUAAUUUCCACUUUGAUAUUAUACGUCUACUAAUUAUAUGGAAUAUAUACCCUAGGUUGGCACUGCAUUUGACCUAGUGUUUGCUAUAUUUGGUGAGAAAUUUUAAAUGGGUGUAAGGGGAGAGGAGGGCUGGAAAAAUCCCAUCCUAAGAAACCCCUAUUUUUACCCUAAAUUCUCAUCUUGAACCAUGACAACCUUUCCUAGUGAUUGAGUACUUAACAUUUGUUUAUUUUUUAUUUUUUAAUUAGUCUUCUAAAGAAGAUCUAAUCUGAUGUUUUUAAUGAAACUCAAUUGGCUGCAUCAAGAGUGAUUUAGUGUUGCAAUGCAAUUCACAAGCUUUUACCAAAAUUAUGCAUCAAAGGACCUUGACAUUGAGGAAAGUUUUGCUCUACAGAAUCAAGUAUCCUGAACACGCUGCAUCAAUCACAAAAUACUGUAGAUGGAGGACAAGGUGGCAAGGAAUGGGGAACAAGAAACAAAGGCCAGGAACAAGAGAUAGAGAUGGGGAUGGAUGGAAUCAAUCAUGAGAUGGCAAAGGGAGGUCUGGCUUUAACAACUCCUUAUAUAAAUAUAUAUAUAUAUAUAUAUAUAUAUUGAUUGUUUGAGCAUACUUAAUGUUUGAGAACUUUUAAGUUUGUUAUAUCCUUUAAAAAAUAUUUUUUAUAAAAUUAAAUAAAUUACAUGAAUGAAAAUAAGAGUAUAUUUGUUGUGUGUAUAAAAAGUUAUUAUUGUUGUAUUUUGAAAUUAUUUUUAAUUAAAAAUAUUAAUUAAUUUUCUUAUCAUACUAUUUUAUAAUACAAUUUAUCUUAUUUCAUAUUAUCAAAAUUUAUAUAUUUUAAUAAUAAAAAUUGUAAUAAAAAAUCAACGCAUUAUAUAUUGCAUUGCAAAAAUAAAAGAAAAUUUUGUUUUAUAUUUUAUAUUUCUUUAUCUCUAUAAAUAAAUAAAUAUUGGAUAUUUCUAAUUAUUUUUAUAAUUUUUAAAAAAUAAUAAAAUAAACAUAUUAAAAAUAUUAACAAAUAUCUUUAUUAAAAUUAAGAAAAUUGAAGAAACAUAUUGAGUAAGUAGUAGAUUGUAGCAACAUUCUACCUAUUAUAUAAGACAACUUGGAUAUAACACAAAGAGACAAAGAAGUCUUUUGAUUGGCUAUGAAGAAGAGAACUUGGACAACACAGGAACAUAAGAAUCAAGGAACAUAGGAAUGUAGGAAUGUAAGUACUAGAGAACAUAGAAACAAGAAAUCAUGGAUGAACAAGGAAAUAGAUGGAUAUUCUAGAGAUUGUAGUGCCCAAUGGCAUAGGUUUUUGCGAGUAAAUAGUAGAUGUAAAUAUAAUAUAUAGUAAAUAAUUUAUAUUAAAUAUAAUAGAUAUAAGUUUUUUAUAAUUAUUGAGAAUUUUCUAAGAUUUAAAAUGAAAUAUUUAUUUUAUAUAGAAUAUUAUUUGUCAUUACAAAGGGAUGUUUUUACUUAGAGAAAAAGAUGAGAUGGAAGGCACUUUUCUCUUAUAUGGCAUGAAUAGUGUUGUCUUCCAAAUUUUGUGGUAGGUCCACUUUAAGAGGAUUUUUACAAAAUUUUGUGAAGUUAUAUCAACAACUACUAAAAAUAGAAAUUAGAAAAUAAGAAGUUAACUAUUAAAUGGUUGUCAUAAUUAUUACAAGCAAGAUAUGAGUUGGCAUAUUUAAGAUCAUGACAAAAGAAUGACUUCGUUCACUUCAUAGAUUCUUCUCAAUUUAUACUAUCUUUAUAGACCAAGUCUUCAAAAUAAAUGUUUCCCUUUACUAAUCAAGGGACUCUUUAGGAGUUGUAUACCAUUAUAUUAAAUUAUUAAUUAUAAUUAUAAAAAUGAAUGUGUACUUUCAAUAUUAAAUAGAAUUACCUAGUAAUGUGAUUCACUAACUUGAUUAGUAUUUUGUUUGAGAAGUUAUUACAUUAUUGUUGAAUUGUUUCUGAAUGAACUUUUGAUAAUUUAAUCCAGAUAAAUUAGCAAUCAAAUAAAGGUCUUAACAGUCCCCAAAAUCUACCAUCAGGUAACCAGGUGGUAACUAAUCACGAUUAAGUUUAAUAGUCAUGAUUAUUGUUUCGAAACUUAAUCAAAAUAUCAGUCAACGACACAAAUGUCAUUUAUCUAGUAAUUUGCCGCUGAUCUUUGAAAUUAGAUCCAAUCUUUAAGAAUAUAUAUGUAUAUAUAUAAACAUUUCACGACACAUUUAGACUGGAAAACACCAAUUCAUACUAAAACUUAUGGAUUAAAAUUUCUCAAUUCAUUGCUUGGAUUGGUGCUGUAGAACCAUGAUAAGUCUACCCAUUAAAACUUAUGCAAUAGAUCUGCUCUAGUCAAUCAAGAAUUUUGAAAGUUUGGUACCAUCAUCUGCAAAAUAGUGAUUGCAUUCUGGUGGGUGUAUAACCAUAUAUUACUCCUUGGACCAAAUGAAUUCAUCUGAAUACCUUCAGUUCAAAACGGGCACCAACCUGAGUAUUUAACACGGUUUGAAAAAACAAUAAUAGGGGACUAGGCCAAUAGAGCAAACCCCACUUUUCAAUAGAAACAUAAUCCUCAUGCACAACCAGAUGUACGAGUCACUAGAAAUGUUAGACACAGAGCCAAUGAUGGGUACUUUUCUCAUGGAACCGUAGCGUACAUUUCCAUCAGAUAGGUCUAAAGAAUUCUGCCACAAAAUCUAACCGAUCCAGGCACUCAAAUAAAUAUGUUCAUUCAAAUGGUGUAAAACUCAAACUGUAAGUUCUCCGCAGUCUGGUGUACAAUUUCGUAAGGUAACUGACAACUGAAAUGGAACCCAUUAGGGCAAUUCACUAUUAACUAAAAUGGUACACAAAAGCCAAAUCGGAACCUUGCAUCAAGCAAGGCUGGUCAACAGCAAUAAUUCCGGUAUCUUGCCACUACUCAUCGAAAAAUCAACUGUACAAGAUGUUAAACAGAUUGGAGGAGUAGACUCCAAAGCAUUCACAACUAGUCACCAAAUAGCUCGUGACUAGUCCAAAGUCCAACUAAUUCAUGGCUUGGCGUCGGAAGAUUUACUUAAAACGAGAGAUUGCUCCAACUCGGCUAUGUCCGCGAGGGCAGUUUUACACAGUCCUAGUCUUCAUCCCAAGGACCAUGAAACACAGUCUCGCGAGUCUUCAACCAAUGUAUGCACUCUUUGUUCAGCUUGGUUUUAGCAACAGCCGCAUCCAACAUCGGGCUACCAAACAGGCCUCUAUCACUUUUGAAGUUCCACAACUCGGGAGUAAAUUUCCGCGUCCAUUUUUUCUGUGGAUGAGUCUCCUGCGCAUGCAUCAUAGUUUUUCAUUGUUACGUAGAUAAUACCAAAAAAUAAGACGAGCUUACGAAACAGCAAAACAUGAAUAUAGACAGCUUAACAGAAUAAAAAAGAAAGAAAAAGAUCCAGACACAACAAGAAAAAGAAGUGUAUGACACUAGUUCUGAUUUACUCGUAACCAGCUGAACUCUGGACUGUAAGAAACCGAAAUAUAAAAAAAAUAUGAUGCGCUACCAUGUGCAAGAUCAUCCUUUUGCGAUCUUUAUCGCUGUAUCCACACCGAAAGUCAUGUUGAAUGGUUCUUGCGUAGCAAGACGAAAUAUCCGGAAGCAUAAGGCAUCCACGGCGGUCCUGAACCAAACUCGCUCCAGGAUCCGCUGAAGUUUGUCGGAACCAUGAAAUCAAUUGACCCCAAAUAUAGUUCUUGCUGUAGCUCUUGCGCCACAUGUAUGGCCCCGCGCCUGAAUGUUUUGGACCCAGAUCACAUGCGUAUAUUAAGAUAGGUGGAGAAUCAACCAUCCCAUAAUCCUGUCGAGCAGAAAACAGAAAGUAAUCGUUAAUCAUAAGCAAAAUUCUAGAAAUAUCAAACUGAUCAAAUAUUAACCCCCGAGGACUUCACAAUGAUGCUCAAAACUAUGGAUUCUGUUAAGGACGUCCUACAAUAAUAGCGAGGAAAGAAACUCACGUAGUUUGUGAAGAAGUGCUUGGUAUAUGCAUAGAGGUGUAUCAAAUCAGCCGCUGCAUCGUGACGACCCAUACAAGUUGCUGGAACUUUGCGAAGAGUAUCCCUCAACCUGGUUGCAAGAACAAAUAUUCAGUCAAACAAGCUGAGCAAAUCGGUUCUUAAUUGAUGAAGUAUGCAAAGUAGAAAAAGUCGAGAAUAAGAAGUAGAUGUGCUACCAGAGUAGAGACUUCCGAAGAUUUUCUUCUAUAUCCCCUCCAGGAGGUGGGUUGUGCUCCUGGAUUUGUUUAGUCAAAUCUGCCAAACCUUCCGGAGAAUGGAGGGCCAUACAUUGAAGAAGUUCUCCAACAAUUGAGUCCUUUCCCGUCCAUAUGCAUUUCACCAACUCAUGAGGCUCAAGCAUCCGUAAGGGUGGAGGUGCCUUGCUUGCCUCCUCACCAUACAGUUUGACCAAUAUAUGACGAACCUGAGGAAAGCGAGGACUCGAAAUUAUUUUUCCAUGAUAUCAACUUUUUCAAAAAUACAGAUUAAAAGAAUAUAGCAUGAUCUGAUAGCGCACUACAAACUGCACUCUUUUCAUAUGCAUCCAUUCUGUGUCCAACGAAUUAUCUUAAUUUGAAAAGAAACAAUCUAGAAAAAUUUAACAAUAAAACCUCAGAUUGUACAUUCAUUCACAGGUUAAAACGAUCUUCAACUUAAAAAGUGCACAAAACAUUACUCCACAAAGUACAGAAGUUAAGGAAAGUAAUACAUACAUACAUCCAUCCAUACAUACAUACAUCCAUACAUACAUGCAUAUGCAUACAUAUAUAGAUGUGUGUGUGUGUUCCCUCGUUAAUCAACAGUACAUCCAGGAGCAAAUAAUCCACGUAAAAACUAACCUUAUCCAAGGUAAUGGCAAGAUUCUGAAGCCGUUGAUUGUAGACUCCCUCAGUCUUCAAGAGAUCACAAAGCAGCCACAAGAAGUUCAGCAAAUAAACGACGGGUAAAGUGAAAUGAAUAUCAAAAGGAUUGAUAUCGUGCAACAAAUGUAUCCACCAGAAAUAUGAAUAAUAAAGAAACUUAGGGGUACUGGUUAUAAUCCAAACCUGAACUUCAAUGUCCUGUCUAUCGAUAUCGAUUCCAGUUUGUUUCAGCAUCUCAGCUUUCAUAAGUUCAUCGGGAAGCCGUUGCCGUUCAAAAUUCAGAUAUGAAACCUGAACAAAGACCAUCAAAGUCAUAGUUGUAACUCAAGCCCUGUAUAUACCCUGAUCUAUUCGAAACCAAGGCAAAUCUCAUGAGACACGAGUAAUUCCAUUUUAAAAAUAAUACCCUCAUAAUCCAGGAUUUGGCAGUAAAGAUUGCACGAAUAUUUUCCAAGUUCGUGAGUCGAGUUAACAUAUAGAUUCAGAUACAUCCACAUGACAACAAGUCUCCAUAGACGUUAGCAACUUGACAGAUAUAUCAAAUAAGGAUCACAAAGUUACGUACAAUUCCGGCAGCAUAUUUGAUGACCCACUGUGGAAGUCCAUCCAGCAAACAUGGUCCAAGACCAGCCUGCUUGAGAUCUUCCUGCUCUCGGAAAGUCACUGCCCCACUUGUGCACGCCUGCAGUAAGAGAUUGUGGCGGUCAAGGAUGCCAUGGUACUCCUUAAGUACCUGCGCAAUAUAACACGUCUCGUAUCAGAUAAAUGAUAUUUGAAGCAAAAACAAAUAGUUCCGAUACACCUGAUUACUCCCAAAUGAGAUGAAAUAGUUAGAAAGUGUUGAUGCCUCCACCUCAAAAUGUCAUUAGUUUCUAUAUCGAUAAGGCACUAACCUCAUCAUACGCUCCAGGUCCUGUAUAGCAUAAGUAGCUGCCCUUGCAACCCUGACUUCCACAAAGACAAACAGAAGAAUCGUGCUCCUCCUUGCUCUACACAAUCCAACAAUUCCAAACCAACACAGGUAAGAAGAUAGUACGUUAGCAGAUGCAUACGACUGCUGAACACUACAAACGAUACAACUCAAACGAGCGAAAUUUCAUGAAAUCACAUACCUCGGUAACACAACAAUAGUCGAAUGUAAGCUCCUCUCCAAACUCAAUCUUGCGCAGUGUAUAGACACCUAUCAUAUACUUCCCAUUUACAGCUGUGACCCUGCUCCAGAAGACGGCAAUGAAUACGGUUCUUCAUUUUAACCAAUACAAAAAGCUAAUUAGUUUCAUUAUUAUAUUUAGAGUGUUACUCAUCAUGCAAGAAGUGUUUAAUUAUGAUAAAACCUGUGCAGGACAGCGACCUGGAAUAGAAUGAAUACAUAUGAAAAACCAUUCAAAUGAGCGAACUUGAGAAAAUGAGUGAUUCAAAAAUUAGGUUAAAUUAGUAAAAAUAAUUGCCUGAUACUCACUUAGCCUCACAGUUGGGUCGGCACGAGUGACAUAGUCGACUUGCAAAAUUGGCUUUAUGCAUUGCAUCAACUACCAAGACGUCGUAACCUAAUGAAUCACCCUGCAAAAAAAAAGCUUGUACGUCAGACCAUGGCUCAAGCAAACGGGACAAGUAAUCGAAAGUUUUACAAAAGUUCACCAGUUAGAAAUCGACCAAAAAUGUGAACAUUCAUAGAGUACCUUUGGUCGCUCAAACACUAUGUUGUAAAAUUCUGGCGCUGGCUCCUUCUCCUUCUUCUGUAAUGCUCUGAUUCCAUCUUGCUUCUCGUACCAUCUCCAAGGUGGAUAUACCUUUAGAUUUUACGGGAUCGUUAGUAUACACUUGCAUAGAAACUAAAGAAAACAGCAUCUAAUUGUCAUCAGAGUUUUCUGUCGAGUAUAAUGAUAGUCAGAGAGACUACAAAAAAACAUUUUUACAACAAUCAGCAAUUACGUUCAUAAUUAAUUAGAAAUAAUCAAAGAUUGGUACUCUGUUCGACAAAUAAAAAUAAAUAAAUAAAUAAAUAAAAAAAAAAAAAAUGGCACAGGAAUUGCUAAAAAAAAACCGAACGAACGAACGAACGAACUUAAUAAAGGGUAGAUAGUGAAGUGAAGUAGAUAGAAGAAGAUUACAAAGAACAAGAAGAAGAAAAUAUGUAUGAUUAGAAAUACCUCUCCAAAGAAUUCUACAACAAAGUCGCCGUCGUCAAAACCUUCUGGUUUAUUGCACACAACACCAAGGCCCUGUUCACCGCAAAAAAUUCAUCAACUUAUCAAUGAAUAUAGAAAGCAUAACCAUGAGUGCAAAGUAGAAGAAUAGUAGCAGCAUGAGGCCAGAUGGUUAAACCGUAUACCUUUCUGUAAGCUACAUAUUUAUCAUUAAGAUGGCUUUUCAUAUUCUUCAAUAAACUUCUGCAGAAUACUUGCAGAGGCUGAUCCGCAUGCACAUCACUACAAAUGUGUGAUAUGACUUUCUCAAGAGAAUACUCCAUAGGGGCUUUCCCACUCCCUGUAAAUGAACUGACUUCUCGAUUUAAAGCCCGCAACAACUUCUGUAACAUAUCAAGUGAACAAUCUUCAUCACUAAAAGCCUGGUACAAAUGAUUGCGAGCAAAACUAUGCAUGAUUGCAGAUAGCCGUGCUAAAAAUAUAACAAGAUAUUCUAUUUGCAUAUUAAAAGAUUAGCCAGUGCUGUUGGGACACAAUAUACCAACACGAUUGGAACACUUGCCCAAUGAAUAAAAACCCUAGAAAAGAAUGGAUGUAAAGACUAAAAAUGUAAUGAAAUAAGACAAAAUAUAGACCAUAAACUUUUUCACACCCGUUGACCAUUCAGAUGAAAAGUCCCUGUAAACAAUUUUAACGAUAGUAACAACUAUGAAUUGGAACUUUACUGCAGAUAACACACAAAGAGAAGUAUAAAAUAAUAUUUAUGAUCUAGAUUUUAGCUUAGUAAUUUUUUUAUCCAAAAAAAGUGUAGAUAGCAGUCACAAACAGAAAACGAACCUCUUCGAUGAAGAGUUGUUUCUGCUUGUCCGUAAAUGAUUCAGUGUCGGCCGGCAUAGUAUUGAGUAAUAAGUUGUACGUAUAUGGAUCAAUUCCAUAAACCUCUUGCUCCAAAACUUCUUCGCCCAACCGCUUCCGAGGUUUAAAUUCCUUAAGUUCGGGAACAUCCAAGUGAGCAAACCGAUCGCCGCCUUUCUUUGCCACCCGUAACUUCUCUUCAUAAUCAUCUGGCAGUUCAACCUUCCGUCGGAAGUUUACACUUGUCAUGUCACAAUAAUUCUACUUAAAUACCAAUUACUAAAACGAAGAUGCAAAAGCAGGUGCACUAAAAAUUAAUGUGCCGUUUAAGCACAUUCUCCGCAGGCGCCGGACAGAAUAUCACACUGAUGUCCCGAAGUUGAUACAUCAAACACGAACAAAAUGCGAAUAGUUCUUAGAUCCCUAUUUAGUUUUGUAUCAUCGCACACUACCCUAUAAUUUUUGUCUUUCUAAUUAGGGAAAAAAUUUAUAGGCUUCUGAGAAUGAAGACAAAAUGGAAACAGAACAAUACCAUACAACAAAGUAUAGCUUCACCUUGAACAUCCUAAGGACUCACUAGAAAUCUUCAAAAAUAAAUAAAUAAAUAAAUAAAUAAAAUAUAAAAAACUUACCUUCAUCUUGGCAACCACCCUUUCAUAAUCGUCAACAAUCCGGUACUCCUCGAUCACUUCAUACUUGCGUGUCAAAGGAGGCACCAUGGCUGCUUUAGUCAUCCUAGCUCCCCACCAAUCUCGACUACUCCCUUCUCCACCAUAACCGGAAUAUGCAUCAUCGCUCUCUGAACCAUCGUUGUAGUCAUCCAUAGCCUCAUCUGCUAUUCCAGAUUUGCUGGCAACAUCCGACCUGCAAAAUUCUCAAUUUCCCAAGAAAUGAAUACACGAAUCCUCACUAUAAGCCAUAAAUUUAAGCAAAUCACCCAAGUACUCGGCUAGAAUAUCCAGAAGUAACUCAUAAGGAAAGACAGGAAUGCAACUUAACCAAAUCAAAUAAUCAAAUGUUCUUAGAAGCUUUAGCAGGACAUGUUUGAAUUAACACAAGUGGGCAAAAGGUAUGUACCCUGAGGUCUCUGUGUCCUCCUCCUCCGGUUCAUCAUAUAAAGCUUCAUCAAUGUCCUCUUCGUCAGAACUUUCUGCUUCUGAUUCGGUCCACUGGUUCCUUCUCAUCCUUUCUCUGCGAGACUCUCGCUCAUCUCUAUCAAUUGAUCCUUGCAAGUCAGAGUCCUUACUGGCUAUGUCCCCAUCUGAUCUGAUAUUAGCAAAGCUUAAUACCUUUCUCUUGACAAAGCGGGUCCCCCCUGUUUCUGAAUCCCAAGAUCGCUUUGAACCACGCUGUUUCUCAACAGCCAGAUCUUUUGACCCUUUCGACUUGGAGAGAGUGCGUGUCGAAGUAAUACAACUGCUAAGAGCCUUACUUUGACCAUCAGCGAGCUCUCUGUUCUGAGAUUUUGAGAGUAAUUUAUCCAAUUGUUGUCCCACUUGGUGUGCAACCUUGAAUAAUCGUCCUGCUGUCUUAUACAUAAGAGAGUCAUGUUCCAAUCUGCACAAACGUGAAGACAUUACAUCAGAUGAAGCCCUCAAAACUAGGAGUAAAUAAGACCCUUUCCUGCCUUCAAUCUGUCACGGUCAGCCAUAGAAAUACAACACAAUUUCAAAUACACACAACAAAGGUAUUUUGAAAAACCAAGAGAUGACACGCGCUGUUAACUCCAAGGCAUAAAACAAGGAUAAAAUACCUGAAGGCAUUACGGAGAGGUUGGAGAAGAUCCUCCUUGAAUGAUUUUACCCCAUCUUUUCCUCCGUAAUGACCCAUUUUCAGCUUUUUCUGCACAGAACAAAAGUCUGCUUGCGCUGGCUUGGUAAAGGCUCCUCUCCCCUCGGACACUUGCUCGUUUGCCUAAAAAUAGAAGGCAUGUUCACUUUAAUGAAGAGCAAAGAAGAGCUAAAAAGUAAAUCAUAUAAAUUUAAAUAUUUAGAUAUUCCUGAGAUUUUACCAUUAUCCAACAUGUAGGUUCAUAAAUAGGCAUUAAAGAAUCGAGAUCACCUACAAGCAAUACAUCAAUUCCUCAUUAGCUUACUAAAGUUCACUAUGACCAGACGAUCUGAGGAUAAUUUAUUACAAUUUCUAUAGAAUUUGAGAAAAAAGGACUAGACACUAAGCCAUGUACCUAUCACUUUCACACAGAGAAAGGCAUCACUUUUUGUCAGUAGCAAAACCAUUUAACCAUUUCACCAUUUAAGGGGAAUUAAGGACACGCAAUUUGAAGUACCAAGCGGUAAAAGACAUGUUCGGAGUCAGCUUCCAUGACAACUCUGAGCGCCUUCGCCAGCGCUUUAUCAAGAUCCUUCUCCGCAUUCUUAAAAUUUGAUAAAACUUCCUUUCCGGUGUUGUCAGGUUUUUCACUAGAAACUGCAGCUUUCGUUAACGAACUUCGAACACUGAAUUGCGUCUUCGUGGUUAGCUUGCUAUUCAGUUUCCGCUUGCCCACACUGUGUUUGCCAGGACUAACGCCAAAGCCAUUGCGCACUCCGUUCACAGCAUUUGAUUUGAGUCUCUUGGAAUCUCGAGAUGGAUAUCCCACUUGCAACGCGUCUACAUCCUUUAAUAGCGGAUCGAGGGUGUGAACUACCCUGCGGAUGAUUCCUGGACUUUCGCUUUCUUCUGUACUUUUAUCUCGAUAACCAGUCUCGUCUAAAGAACAUCCACUGUUGACAUCAUCUCCAAAUUCGCGCUUGAUACCACUGCUCUUGGGAUUCGUUUUGUUAUUCUUCAAAUUAUGCCGUUGAGAUUCAAGACCAUGAGGAAUGGCAAAUGGAUUACCAACCCAACUUACUUGAGGAUAAAGUUCGACCAACUCACUUAGCUGCACACAACCACUAAUUGAAACUUCACGGAUUGAGGGAUAAGACUUCAGCAAGCGCCCAAGUGCUUUAGAGCUCACAUUCAAACAAUAGUCCAAUGUUAUACGCCUCAACUUUCCCCCGCCAAAACCCUGCCACACAAACAUGGAUUGGUCACAGAUAGAUAAAACGAAUAACCUGCAAGUAAUACGACCCAUUUUGACUCAUACCUCACACAUACUCUAGCCAAAAGAAUAAUGAAAGCGUACGGCAACACAAACGUAAGGCAAAUAUUAAUCAUCUUGACCAAGUUUAGGUCAGAGGCCCCACAAUUUUAAUCCUUGCAAUCUGAUUGAAUAUCACAAUCAAUCACUGAUCACCUAAAACUGGCAAGAUGCGCUACUGACGUAAACAAGCUACGCAAAUUACUUCCAAUUGUACAAGCAACAAUAAACCACUUCAACAAGAUACAUACCAACAAACCACCAAUAAUUGCAUCAUUACAAUGCGAUCCUAACCCAGACAGGUCAACAUGCUUGGUGGACAUUCUGAUGCUUUGAGCACAAUUCUUCCAUGACUGGCAAGUGGCCAUAGCUGCAACAAGUGAUUUGGGAUCGCCCCGCAGCAAGCGCAAAACUUUCGUCAAUAUUCUAGGUGGUAGCCAUGCCCGUCCAGUCUGUGACGAACUUCCUCCUGCGUCCAAGUUUGAGUGCUUUCCGUGCACUGCACCUGUUUCAGAUGUUUCUUGAUCAGAAGGAACUUCUUUUGCCUUCUUCUCUGCAGAUGUAGCCAUAGUUGCAUGAACAGCCACUUGUGACGCUGUGCUGCUGCUUCCAUCCAACUCAACCACAGACAUAUGGGGUAAACUCCGCAUGCAGAGUUGCACGUCUUCAGCAGAACGUCCACCAUCACUCCAGGAAUUAUGUUCCACCAUGAAUGGGCUGCCAUCCACAUUUGAAGAGAUUGUUUCUGUGAGAAGACAAGAGCAACUGUAAGAUACUCACCGUGGUCCUGUGUGUCUAAUAUUAGUACCUCAAAAAAAAGUAAACUAACAAGAUUCAUUGAAUUGGUGCUCAAAUGAGAUGAAGUUGAACUUAUAAGCACUAAACGAAAAAACAGUCCAUUGGCACAUACCUGAACCCAAAGGAGCACUGUCGGCAGCCUUUUCUUUCCUCAUUCGGAUAGACUUGGCAUUGAAAGGAGAGUCGUCAUCAAGAGCCUGACUUGGAGACUGAUGGGACUUCAGGGUCUCUACAUCCUGCCUGCUAUCAUUACCAGUCUUAACACCAACCUUUUUCAAUCCAGAGCUCCGCUUCAUCGAGAUUGGACAUGCCACAUCUACAACGGCACUUGCUGAUAGAGCAAUGUCUUCUUCCGAUGUUGCAUCAAGCGACACAACUUCCGGCAGUGCAACCGAACGCUUCGAAUUGGACCAGACAUCCAAAGCAUCAUUAAAGAAUCCUGCAAAGCUGCCUCUAAAGGAUUUCAUGGCAUGUUCAUGUAAUUUCCCAUUAGUGUACCCAAGAAAUUGUGGGUGAUCAUCAUGGAAUAUCGAAGAACUAACACUUCGCACAUCUAACUCCAUCAGAUCGGGAUGAGCAGGAUGUGCAGUAUGUGCGGGAUCCUCACAGGAAAUUGCUCCAGAAGGAACAGCGGGCCUCACGGGAUAUCCGCUUCUCUCAAGAGAAUGAGGCAGUGGCUUUGACGCAAAAGCUGGGGCGUGUGCAUUAUGAAGCUGUAUGAGGUGAGAGACCGGGACCCAUAGAUUGUCUCUUUUCCUAAAUACACUUGCUCCAGCAGGCAAUCCUCCUUCUGCAACAAAUCCCUGUAAAGCAGACAUGAGGAAUGGUCCCCUCUCAUGGCCUGCAGCAUCCAAGUAAUGCCAGACACCGCUUUCCAGCUGUAACUCGUGCUUUCUUAACACUACUGAGGCGGGGUUCUUGGUGCAUUUAAAUGCGACAGCAGGAACUUUGCCACUGAACGAGUAUAAAUCUUGAGCAUCACCCCCAGACUGUUGAUCCGGCUGUGGAAGAGGAUGUGUUAACUCCACAGAAUUGCGACCAACGUUUUUGGAGGCAGUAUCAGCUACUCCAUUGAGCGAGUCGAUAUCUGAAGUAGUCCCUGGUAGAACAACUUGAGCUGUGACACUCGCAGUGUUCUGGUUUGCUGCAGAAACAGUCCUAGGCAAGGUAAGUUUCGUUUCAGAUUUCUUUCUUUUAAUGCGCAAUUGCCCAGGCUUUCUCCGAGGAUUUGUAGUAUAGCCAGGCUCUUUCCCACGAGUUCCGGACGUUUCAACUGGAACAUUCCCUCCAGCACUGGAUUCUUUCGAGGAUUUAUGAGUAGCAGCAGUACAUUUGGUUGGAACGACUUCGAAAGGGCCGCCAGCUUUACUAGCUAUUGAGUCAGUCAGAGGAGGGUGCACCGACUGACUAUCAACGGUAUUUCUCACCUUGUAAACAGCAGCGCAGGCCCAAGCUGGAACCUCUAGUUUUUUGUACUGGGAAACCACGACUCCGUGGAUCAGCCUACGAGGAUCUAAUACUUCAGAAUUACCAACCUCACAAAGGCUAACACCCAUGUUCAUGACCUCCUUUCUAAAGCUUAUAACUUUGCCCCCAGGGAGUCCUGCAUUUUCAGCCCUCUCUGUCUGAAUGAGUUUCCAAUCCCCCCCUGCUGUCGGAAACUUCCAACAAUUCGUGUUGCUAGAUUGUGAGGGCAACUUAGCUCUCCCAGAAGACUUUAUAACAGGCUGCACAGCAAUUAUAGCAGCCUGACUUUCUGCAGGUGUAUCGAUUCGAACAGCCAUUUCCUGCGCCUCCGAGACAGCACAAGGAGCAGUCGAUAGUCCUGCAAAUACAAUUGAACCACCUUCAUCACCUUACUUAUAACCCAACUCAUAUUGUAGAGUCCAUGUUUGUACUGCACUAAUACACUAGCAACAAAAAUGAGUUGUAAGUGCACAAGGUAAGGUGAAGAAUCAAUGCCUAAGCUGUAUAUUCCGUACUGCUCUCGAUGAGCAGCAAACACAUUAGAACAUUCAAAUAAACAAAGAAACAAACCUUUGAAACCCCACAUCACACAUCCAUUAAAGCUGAAAACCAUUUCAUGUCAUAAAAGAAGAUGAAACGAGCAACGGACAUGUGCCAUCCGUUCUAAUUUCUUGCACUAUGCCAGGGGACUACGAUAAGAUCCCAGAGUGAACCAGCAGAAAGGGACUCGGCCAGUUUAGAUGUACGCCCUCUAAACCUUCAGCACAGCCAACUCUUAACAUAUAUCAACUUAAACCCUACCCACCUUCACUCCCGCACUCGAAGUCAUCCUCAAUAAUUCGCUGUGAUGCAGCCAUCAGGGCAUCUGCGACAAAAGAAGACCUCUGAUUUAUAAACGCUGUGAAAAACCCUGGAGGGAGCCCUCAUACUUAAGUAGAGAGAGUAGAGAACCACACGAACACCUUACUGCCCAAAUGAGCAGAGGCGGAGCCUGGCGCAGCCAGGUAAAGGGAUCAAACAUUCUUAAAUGGAACAACCCGCCUAAACAAAAUUAUUAGGAAAAGACAAUGCUCGUAAAGAAUUUGUACCUCUGGAUAGGAAAUGAGUAAGUAGAAUGCUAAUUAGAAAUUCUCACAGCUUUCCAUAGCGAACAAAAUUUUGAUCCCCCAAAAGAAUAGCAAUUCAAAACAGUUUCCUUUCGUAGCGCCUAAUUGAACCAAAGGAUAUGACUCGGACGGAAUAGCAUUUGCCUCCGUCAUGAUGCGUACAAACUCCCCAAAAAGGAAAAAUAAAUUGUCCACUAAUGUCACGAUACAUACCUGCAACACUGUCUUGCUCUCUGCCUUGAACUAAAGGAAAAUUCAGCAUCAGCUUCUCCACCCGUGCAUCAAUAUUAUACUGUUCCUCGCACAUAUCUGAUUCUAUGUUAGCUUCUUCCACUGCCUUCGAAGAUUCUUUUACAUCAGCGGAACUCACACCCCCCAUGUUGUGCGCGUUUGGCUUUCCGAUAUUGUUGAACCUUUCACCUCCAUUCACUAACCCGACGCCAACGUCUGCUUGAGAGGCUGUACAAUUUUUCUGAGACCGAGGUCCUACAACCUGUUUCGAGUGCAAAGAAAGCUUUUUUUCUGCCGAUGACCACUCAUUCGUUCCGUCGUUCCUUAUCAUAUGCUCUGACUGGAAUUGCCGUCUCGGAAAAGAACUAGUGUUGUAAUUAUGCAAUGACCCCGCAAACCCUCCAGAGUCAAUAUUUAGAGCCUCUCCACGUUCAUUUGAUCUAUGAGAAUUAUUCCGAUCAAUAGAGUGACGUCCUCCCCACCCUGAGUUCAAAUUAAGGUCACGAGCAGGCAUACAAGCACCCAUAUCAGAUGAACGCUUAGACUCCUUGUGUUUGUAGGCAGACGGAGUAGAGCUGAGAGCACGACUAUUUGCGUUAAAAUUAGUAGCACUAGACAUUAACUCUCCUCCCGACGAGUUCCAAUCACUGUGCCUGUUCAAAGUGUCACUCGAGGCCAAAGGAUCCGCACUUCCGUCAUUACAGUGGUUCAACUCACCAUCCCGAUUCCUGACAUUGUUACCACCCACAAGACCUGCAGGGCUACUGUUACUCUGCGAAGCACCCCGGUAGACAACUUCCUGUCCAGAUUGAUGUACAUCCUUUCUCGCUGAUAACCACUCAGUUCCUUCUCUACUCUGUCCAUCAAAUUUACUUUCUAAGCAAUCAUCUGUCCCAAUUUCUUUUGCGGUGAUAUCGGUCCUCAAACUAGAAGAGUUGUCUGCACACAACCGCACUUCUAUUUCAUUAUCAACUACGGAUUUCAUCUUACCAACUUCCACGCCUGGACAAUGCAUAAUCUUCGAUGCAGAUUUGUCUCCCGCAUUAGCACUAAGCUCCGCAGAAGAUUGUUGAGGGACUAGUUCAUUAGCAUCACCCUCAGAUUGCAAUUCCCCGUUCUCUAGAUCUGAAACUAGACUCUCUCCCUUCACCACUUGAGAUGGUCCUGCGUUACUCCCAUUGAUACAAGAGUCCUGAUCUUGACUCUUGUGUUCUGCUUCGUUGAUACAUAAAGCUCUUGUGACCUCAGGCCCAGCGCCUGCAGAAACACCAACCUUCGAAUCGGGGUUGUCUGAAGCAAAUUCAGAGCCACGAUCGCUUUCCAUUGGAGGUUUGAUCCCAGACAAUUCAUCGCUUCCUGCAGAAGAGAUUGUAGUAGCUUUUUCUUUCGUUGAAGAAACAAUUCUACCCUCCUCGCCAGCGCUAGAGCUAGCAUUAGCAAGGGCCUGGAAGCACCCAUCGUUGUCCUCGGAAUCCUUUCUUGGUGCAGCAUUACGUUUAGGACUGCUACGCGCUUUCCCUACAGGUCGCCUAGACGAGAUCUUUCUGUUGCUUUCAUCAGCGGCCCGUGAAUUUGGAGAAGGAUUGAAAUCCGCCCACCCGUUACGCCUAUCUCUGGAUCUGUCACCCACUCGAUUCUGCAUAAAGGCAACAUUCCGAUUUCCAGAUUCCCGACCGACAUAUCCAGGCAUGAGAGAAUCCGGGAAGUCACCAGUAAACUGUUGCUGCCAUCCAUGUGGCCCAUCGUCUCUGUUCAAUAAGAAGGCAGCUUCUCUAGGAUGUAAACCUAUAGGCCUAAUUCCAGUGUAAGGCCAAGCCCGCUGCUGUUGAACACCCCUUCCGAAAAAAUCAACGUGUAAACCAACACCCCUGAAGACUCUCUGUGAGCAUUCCCUAGCUAAAUGUCCCGGCUGCCCACAAUUGAAACAAUUGCGGACAAAAUCGGGCCGCGGAAACUGAGGUCGUCCUUCAAACUGGUGGCCACCAAAGCCUCGACUUCUAUCCAUGCAGUUAAAACGGUCAGGGGCUGCUGCCUUCCCGCAGUCCCACAUCAAAUCACCAACAUCCGGAAAAACUUCAGAGCCUGCUAGUCAUUUUGUACGACACAGGUCAAUUGGGACUGUUGAGUGCAGUAACGCAGAAAUGAGCAAAACCAAGAAUGAGAGUAACUUCGCUCAAACCUCAACUUCGGAAAUUUCUAGCAGUGACCAAUACAUCAGAGUCAAAAUAAUUUGACAUAAACCUUGGUAAUAUAAAUUCUGUAUAAACCUAAAAAUUCGACUGGAACGACAAAACUACGGAGCCUUUACAAAAGGAUGUACUUCUACAAACUCAUGUACCCGAUACCAAUUCAGCUGACGUUUGAUCCGCUUCUGGAAAAUUCCUGAUACAAUAGAAACCCCCUAAAAAAUUCACGAUUGUAUUUCACAAAGGCAUGUGAAAAUUAACUCCUACGUCUCCCAGCCCCUGCCAUCUAACCCAAACACUCCAGUCGAAACAGCAUUUUUCUAUAGAGGGUACUUCUAAGGUCAUCCCAUGACCUGAGUAUCUUAGUAAUAUAGUAGAGGUUGAGAACAACAAAACCCUAAGUAAAACUCCUAAAACCUUCGAAUAAGCUGGAGAGUGUUCGCUGCGACUAAAUUGAAUUCCAAGUACUACGUAACCAUCUGUCUCGCAUGGACCAAGGCAGACCAUAUUUCAAACAACGAAAUAGAAGACAGUUUUAGGCAUAACACCACAGAGGAGCUACCAAUUACCUCCACGCAUGCCGCAAGGUUAGACUCUUGAACACUAAUGACAGGCCAAUCAACAUUACCCCUGCCUCCAUGCACUCCCGUAAAACAGACGUGUGAACGAGAAGCCUCAAUGUAGCAGCUCUGCACAAUUCCACAUACCCUACGUCUCAAUUCCGCAACAAUGGCUUCGAGAGAUUGACACAAUUGCACUACAUAUAGGCGCAUCACCAAAAAGAAAAAAGAAAAGUGACAAAAAGAAUUUAAUGCUCUCUCCGUUGACGAGGGCAUCCUACUGCCAUAACAAAACCCUGGUUCUCGUAAGGGGGUUAAUCAUUAACAAAAUCUCAGCAUACUGCAACAAUCAUAGAGUGCUAUAACCUAUGGAUGAUAAUAAUCGUCCAAAACUACAAAUAAACGAAAAAAGCGUAAAUAAAUAAAAUCGCUCGCAUGGCAGUUCAGGAACACUAUACGGAAUAGAGAAAGAGCCUUGCCAAAGCAAACCCUAGGAGCUAACUCCAUCUUCGAGCGCGCGCGACAGUCUUCCGCACCACCUCCGAACGCGCAAAAAGCGAGUAGCAGCAUCCACAGGCCACAAUUCCACCCAAGGCGCAAAUCUAGGAAGCUAACAUGGCAUGAACCGAAAAUCACAUCACAUCACCGCACCGCACCAUGUGACACCACACCGCAAGCCAAGCACCACCGCGUGCAAAAAACAGCGCACUCACUCAGCUCUCGGCUCCUCUCUUUCCUCCCUCGAAGAACCGAACUGAAAAUGAUACGCACACGCGCGCGCUCACAUGCACACAAUAACAAAAACAACAACCAAAAACUACUCUAAAAAAAACGCACAAAAAAAAAAAAAAAAAAAAAAAAAAAAAGAGCACAGAAAGUUCGGCGACCGCAGCGCGAUGGUAGAUGGAAUCCGUAGGCAAAAGGCUAUGACGAGCGAUGGACGUGCGGUGGUGCGGUUGAAGGACGUCGGGAAGAAGGAAAGGGAAGGGAGCAGAGGCGAACAAGAAGAUUAACGAAGUCUCACCACCAUCCCCUCGUUUCAUUCCCGCCUAGACUGCACCAACAGCCCUAAAUGAGACAGAGCCUUCCUUCAGACCCUUCCCCCCUCCCUGCUUUAUAUGAAUGUAUGUAUUCGUGUAUAUUUGUACGUAUAUUUUGUUUUAACUGUGUGAAUGCACUCCUCGGUUUGUUCUCGAACCUGCUUCCUGUCCUGCUAUUCCUACCCCGUCCGGUCCGUAGCGCGGAAAUCCUUCCUACCUACUCGGCCUUGGGGCCACUCUCUUCUGCAGUUAGGUUCGGGACAAAGUAAUUCCACCCAGAGUUUCUGUGCAAACCCGGGAUCAGUUACUCCGUCACUCGCACAACGAUCGAUGAAUGUAGUAUUACACAUCCUCUGUUCGUUGACUGAGCAGCCUUUUAAACAAUCCCGUGUUUCCUACUUGUAAAUUUAGAAGGAAAAAGUAAAUAAAAAAGUGAAAAGUGACCAAAAGUUUGCAAAGACCAACAUUGAAGGUGGGGUUGUAACCAUACGAUUUUUGAACUUUAAUAUAAUUAUCAUUUAUGGGUUUGUUUAGAAUAGUGUUUACUAUUCAUUAGGACAAGUGUGUGGGUGUGUGUAUAUAUAUAUAUAUAUAUAUAUAUGUACUAGAGAUAAAAGAUCUAUACCAUCAAUAAUAAAAUUUAUUCAUCACUUGUGAAAAGCAUGUAUUGUACUUCACAACAUGUUGAGUCAAAUAAUGUAAUUACAACAUUUUAUUUUUUGAUUAGUAUCUUUAUUAAACUAUCAUACACUCAACGUUUCAAUCUUUCAAGAUUUUAAGUUAAAGGAAUUUUAAACUGUGAUUUGGUGUGUGUUUAAAUCGAGGUUUUCAUCAUUUGAUUUUGCAUGAUUAUUAAAAUAAGUUUGAUUGUAUUGGCUGCAACAAGAUAAGAGAAAAAGAAUAAUCACUUACUACAAAAGCUAUAGGGUUGUGUAAAGAUUACUAAAGGGACUUGUGACAAAUGACAUAAAUGUUGAAAAUUACUGUAUCUCUUGAUUUCAAAUUAUUCUUCUUUAUUUGUGUGCUUCAUUUAGCAUAUAAUUAUUAAAAUGUAUAUUUUUGAAUUUGGCAUACACCUUCAAAAAUAAAGAAAUCUAUUAAUAUAUAUUAAAGACAAGACAAUGAAAAUAUUGAGACAAUGAAAAUAUUGCAAAUAUUUGUAUUUCGUGAAAGGAACAAAAAUAAAAAUAGAAAUUAUUCAAUUGAUCUAUGAUAAGAUUAACAAGAUGUGUUUGUAUUAAGACAUCUAAGAGAAUAUUUUAUAAAAUAAAAUUAUAAAAUAAGGAUGUUUAAGAAUCACAUUUGCAAAUUUAGCUUGUUAUUUUGUUAAUGACUAUUUAUAUGUGUCAAACUUUUAAAACGAAAAUAAGAGUUUUUUUUCUUGAUUCACUAAUUAGAAUUGUAUAAUCUCUCUACUUGAUAUGUUUGAUGGACCUGCUUGCUAUAAACAGUUGCUCUUAUAGCUUAGCACUUCCUAUUUAGUAGGUGUUUUGAAUAUCUUAUAGAUAGUCUCUAGUAGAUUUAGUGGCUUUGGUAUUUAGUUUGAUGAAAUUGUGUAAAUAGUAAUAUAAUUUACAACAGACAAUAGUAAUAUAUUUUACAAUAUAUGGAUCCUUGAUUUGAUUGCUCAUAUUAUAUAUGUCCUUAAGAGAAUUGGUUUUACACUUAUAUUCUAUAUUACAAUAAAUCUAUGUUUAUGGGGAACGAUAUACUAUUAAAAAAAAUCUGAAAAGUGGCACAAUUUGUAACAAAGUAAUUGAUAAAAUUAUGAGAACAUUGAUUAUUGUAAGAAAUACUUAUAAACUAGAACAAAACUUUAUUUGGUUAGAUGUAGUAGAAAUAGUUGAUUGUAAAUGGACCAUAGAGGGCAAAAUUAUGAACAUUUUUUUUAAGAAACUUAUAUGGUGAUGAAGAUUAAGAGGAUUAAUAAUAUAUAUGAGCUUGUAGAAGCACUUUAAAAAUUUGAAAAAGUUUUUUUUUUAAUCUACUCAAAAGAAAAAUUAAAUAGAUAUAAUCAAUUUUUUGAAUAUAUAAUUAAAUCAAAUAAGUGAAUUAAAGAAUUGUAAAACAACACAAGUGACAAUUCUUUUAGUAAUCAUAUUCUUAGAAGAUAGAUUUAUUCAAGCAUUGUGCAUUUGAGAAGCAAUGCAAAAUAAGAUUUGAUAUUAUUAUUUUUUGUAUUGAAGAUAUGCAAAUUUAAAAUAUUAUAAGUAUUUUAAAUAAUUAAAUAUAAUAUUUUAAAAUAAAAUAUACACAUAUUUGACAUAAUUGUACUUAAGAUGAUAUUUCUAAUGGUGAAGUAUAAGAUGGAAAGAUACAAAAGUGAAUACAACAAAUAUGUUAAUAGAACUAAUAAUAGUUGAAAAGUUCAAUAGAAUAUAUUAGACUUGCCAAUAUUUUUUAUAUUGUUCUUAUAGGGGUUCUAACAAAAUACACAAAUACUACUAUGUAGCUUCUUUUAAAUAGAGAAAGCAACAAUAACAUAUCUACAAUAUGAUAUAUAUAUUAUUUGGUGUAUGUUUAGGAUAUUUUGUAAAAACUCUUAAAGAAGUUAACAAUUGUAGUGCUUAACUUAAUAAAAUACAAUUGUAUUUUGUAUAUAAUAAGUUCUUGGUAAGACAACUCUAUUGUAUGAUUUUUUUUAUACAUGCAUAAUUUUAUGUUUUUUUAUUUAAAAAACUAAUAUUAUGAUUUAAAUAAUAAUAAGCCUCAAAAAAUUAAAUAAAAGUACUUGUUAAUUUAUUACUAUUAUUAUUAUUUUAUUUUAAAUUUAUUUUCCUUUAUAAUAAAACUUGAUUUCAAAAUUUCCUAAUAAAACAUUUCAUAAUAAAACAUUUCAUAACAAAACAUUUCAUAAUAAAACUUGAUUUCAAAAUUUCCUAUCAAAAUUUUCUUGAAGUUUAUUAAAAUACUGUACAAACAUCUAGAAGAGUGAAAUACUUUUAUUGUCUUAAAUAACAAUAAAACAAAAUAAAAUAAAAAUAAGAGCAACAUCAAAAGAAAGAUAUAAAAAAGAAAAAAGGAAAGAAAUUGGAAGCAGAAUAUUGGACAUACUAAAAGAAGAGCAAAGCCUAUAGUAGGAACUAGAAGAAAUAUGUAUAUAAGAACAAGCAAACUUUGAAGAAAAACUUGCUAGAGAUCUCAGACUAAAUAUUAAAAAAAAAGACAGAAGCAAACUUUGAAGAGGAAUUAGAAGAAGCACACGCAGAAGAGAACGAUGAAGAAAACAUAGAAGUAGCAGAAACAAACAGUAAAAGCAGGAGGAGACGUGAAAGCAUCAGGAGAAAAGACACAACAACAACAACAAGAACAGUAGUCGAGGCAAAGAAAGGGAUUGGAGUUGGAAAAGCACUAAACAACGACCCAUUGUCACACUUAACUUCCAAUUGUCGAUGCAAAAGUCUCUAUAUUCUCCACAAUCCCACUCUCUCUCUCUCGCUCUCUCACUUAGACUGUCUCUGUAGCAGCCGACUCGCUUGAAUCACCCCACUUCACCAUCACUGAAUCAAUGCACCUCGAUCGAUCGAUCGAUCGAUGGGCACUGUUCUGCAAAGUUUGCACAUCAACCUUUUCCAAUCUUUCCAGAAAGCUUGUUGCUUGACGUGUAUCUAAUAGCGUUAUCAGCGGGAAAUGAGAGGCAUGAUCCUUGAUGUUAAAGCCAAAAGUUAAAAAAACGUCUUUGCUGGGAGUAACUUUGACUGAGAAUUUAUUCACUGUGUGGAUACCGCAUUGUUCAAGUGGUGGUUAUUGUUGUCGAGUUAUUUUUAGGUCAUCGUCGAUACCUGCCGACUCCAGUCACUCAAGCUCAAAUUAGAAACCUCGCUGAUCCCCCCAAGCUAACAAACUUGGAACUUAACCAUGAGACCACUCAAUGAGAAAUACUUUCGCCAGGCUUGUUACUAGUUAAGUCACAGAUGAUUUACAAUUAAAAUCAUCUGCUUCGGGAUUUGCAGGCCUAUUCUUGGUUUCACUCUAAACACAGUACGUAAAAUCAGAUAACUAAGUAAUACACUGUCAAACUCAUGCCACGCUUAGACCAUUAGGAUCAUACAUCAUCUCAAUCUCCUUCCACCAUCAACGCAGCACGGGAAUGAGCACCGGAGGCUCAUCUGCAUCCCUUCCAGUGGCAGAAGUCAGUGUACGUGACCCACCCUUGCCACCGCCAGCACGAAAUUAAUACAAAGCCAACACACAACCACCCACUCAAGGCUCACUUCUGGACACAAUUGUAUCAGACACUAGCAGAAAAUUAUUUUCUGAGGCAAAUUGGCCAGACAGCUUGUAAGACAGACACAGACCUGCAGGUGAAAUCGCUGCGGAGGUGAUGCUGCUGAUGUCGAUGUAUACCGACACCCGGUGUCUGCGAACUGAUCUUCCUCCACGGCUGUGAAGAUUGCCACGCAGUAAUUUACUAAAUAAUCAGAUGCUACCCAUACCCCAGUUCAUGAUUUCUUAGCAAAACUCAACAAAAAAUCUCAUCUCAACAUGGCUUGCGUGUCAUAUUUGUGUUGACAUGAUGUUUGAUAAGAAAUUAAAGUAAGUAAGUUAGCAAGUAUGUAAGUAUCUUAACAUAAAAGUUGAGAUUGAAAAUAUUGUGAGUGGAAUUUUUUGGGAGAUUUAUGGUAACAAUUCUGUUUGUUUUUCAUUUAUUUCUUUACUUUUUUGUUUAAUGCAUGAUGGUUUUAGAAUGAUAAAUGUAUAGUGAUACUAUAUAGGAACUGGAUAUUAACAAGUGGGCUAACAAGCCAAUUGUAGGAGAAAAAUCAAGAAAAAAUUAUAUAUAUAUAUAUGUACAAAGAAAUAAAAUAUUCAAUUGAUUUAUGAUAUUAAAAAUAGAGAAUCAUAAAUGCUACAUCUCCAAUUGAUAUUGCUACAUUCCACAAGACUUUUACACAACUUAAAU
RNAcentral lists this long non-coding RNA (93234 nucleotides) under Physcomitrium patens. RNAcentral describes it as "long non-coding RNA (PPAT_LNC007158)". The record is from RNAcentral. Lineage: Eukaryota; Viridiplantae; Streptophyta; Bryopsida; Funariales; Funariaceae.